This 124676-nucleotide long non-coding RNA is filed under the name Coffea arabica (coffee). Its description in RNAcentral is "long non-coding RNA (CARA_LNC007267)". The stretch from base 116933 to 117039 matches the Rfam family "Plant small nucleolar RNA R71". The record is from RNAcentral. Lineage: Eukaryota; Viridiplantae; Streptophyta; Magnoliopsida; Gentianales; Rubiaceae.
AGUCUACAAGUAUAAGUCACCACCACCUCCUUCCCCAAUUUACAAGUCACCAUCACCACCUUCUCCAGUAUACAAAUUACCUCCACCACCUCCUCCAGUUUACAAAUCUCCACCACCAUCAAUUUAUAAAUACAAGUCUCCUCCACUACCUCCUCCAGUGUACAAGUCAUCACCACCACCUGCUUACAAGUCUCCACCUCUUCCAGUUUACAGUUCCCCACCACCACCAAUCUACAAGUCUCCACCUCCACCCUACCAUUACUACUACAAUUCUCCUCCUCCUCCUCCUCGUCACUACUAAGCAAUUGUAUGCAAGUUUUUGAGGUAAUAACGCUUAACCAAUAAACUAACUUUCGCAUGAUAAAACUUAUCUCUAUCAAGACAAACUGCCAUGUGUAUCAUGCCAAAUACGUACACCUAGAUCCAUGAAAAUGAAUGGUAGAAAAUUUUCUUAAGAACUAAGGAACAGCAUUAGUAUUCCCUCUGCUUCCAAAAACUUGUGUAUUAAAUAGAUUAAUGAAUUGUUUAACAUGCUCAUUUACUUGAAAAUACACAAUACCCAUAACCUACUGAAUUUUUUGCAGGAAAAGGGAAAGACAAUCUGUGUUUGAGAGCUUCAUGAAGAUGUUGAAGAAUAAGAAUAAAAGCCCAAUGCGAGGAUGUUUCAAGUUUUUCUAUGUUUCCACUUUAAUUUGUAAAUUGAAUUUUGUGACUCAAUUAAUUCCCUGUUUGUGGGGUACGUGUUGUUUUACGUACCAUGCCGUACAGGUUUGUAAGGAUUUCUAUCCUAUUGGCAAAAGUCGGUUCCAUACAAUUAAUCAAUUCAUUUCACUUCUAUUGGCUCUACUAUUUAUGCAUGUUACGACAUUUUUUCUCUCUUUCCCUUAUAUUUUGCCUUUAAUAUUAUUGAAUCAAUAUUAAUAAUGGGCCUUUUUCUUAAAAUUAUACUAUUAUACAUAGGUUGUUUGGUCUAACGCUAAAUUCAUGUUUGUCUUUCUUUUAUUCCCUUUACAUCUCAAAGUAUACUAUAGUUUGUAAUCAUUGUGGUGAUGAUAUUGCCAGCUGGUACUUAUAGUUUAAGGCAGAGACAUGAUAUUAACAACUAUCUCAUUGAAACAUAAAGAAAAAUCAUGACAAGUGUGAGUCUUGGUUAAUGCACAAUUUGUUAGUGGAAUUUAUAUUUAUAAAACUCAAAAAAAAAUUUUGACAAUGCUAUUACUAAUUAAUUAAGGACUUUAUUGCUAUAAUUUAUCGCUUACUAGUUUAAACUAUAAAUGAUCUCAAUACUUUUCUCCAUGAUGUCGAUUUCUUUAGAUUACGAAAGGGAAAAAUUAGUGACAUAUCCCUUACUGAUUACAACAUCAGCAAAAAUUAGUUAUAAAUUUUUCCGGUGGUUUUAAAUCCCUCGGGCACUAAGAUUUUUUGCACAUCGAGUGAAUUGAGGAACAUAGGCAAUUCGUUCUGCAUACCAAGUCCUUGUUUAAGAUGCAAGUACUAAAAUGCAUCCACUUCAUUAAUUUGGGAAAUUGCCAUAGUUUUUUUUAAGCAUUUUGAUUUUUUACAUGAUUCAAAAUUUUCUUAUUGGAUACAAUCACUUUGUAUCAAGAACAUUUUCAAUCAUCCUUUUUAUCUUCUCAAUAAGAAAAUAAAAAUUUAUUCAUGCUUUUCUAACAUAUCCAAUCAUUGAUCUGAAAAAUAAAGAAUUUAAAAAAAAAGACAUUUUCAAUCAUUGCUUACAGGGCAACUUCCCCAUGUGAACCUCUUCAAACAAAGCCAAUAAUAUGAAGGAACAUCUAAAUACACUUUUGCCCUAAAGGCUGGUUGCCUUGGGGUCAAAAUUUAACCUUCGGGAGUAUAAUUACCCUGCCAAAUUUAUUAUUUUUUAUGGGUAUAUAGUUCCAAUUUUUCCUCCUGUUAAGCUUAUAAAUAUAUUAUCACCCAGAAAAUAAAGGAAUCUUGAAUACUAACAUGUCCAUUUACUUGAGUUGUCAUCAAUUUGGCUACUUCGAUUCCAUGAGGGCAAUCCAAUUCACACUUGCUAGAGAAAAUGGUGAUAAAGGCACAAAGAAAAUUAUAUGUAAUAUUGAUUGGUAGUAACCACCUUGUAUUGAUCCCACUAUUGUGGAUACUCGUGCUCUUAUGAAAAAAAAUUAUAAAAAAUUAGCAAAAUUUAAAAGAACAAAGUAAAUUUAUUCGUACAAAUCAGUCAAAGAAGUAGCAUUUUAAAGACCAUGAUGAAAUUAAUACUUUCAAGGUCUCUAUUAGGAAGACUUCCUUUGUUGGUGAAACUACACUAGGUACGGUUACAUGCAGAUGUUUACUGUUUUGGUACCUAAUUUCCUUGCCUUGAGUUGGGUGCAGAUGUUUAUAUUACAAAUAGAUGGUAUCAUAAAUUUGUUGUAUUAACGUCUGUUCUUUUUUUUCUUCCUUAAGUUUUUUUCUUUAUUCUCGUGACUUCAAAAAUACGAACUCAAGAAAUUAACUGCUUCGACAUUAAGGUAUAACUUCACAACUAGAGCCAAUAGAAAUCGUCAAAUGAUUUUUUGACAUCCAAAUUAAGCAAUAAAUUUUGUUUUCAUUUCACGGGAGAUUUUAUAGUUUCUUUUGGGUAUCAUACCUACAAGUGAUAAUUGUCAUUGGAUAGUGAAAGAAGUGUUAAUGAUUGUAAGAUUAAAUAUUGAAAAUUUAAACUAUUUAUCUUUAUUGAGAGAUACAACUUAAAGAAUCGUAUCCAAAAGAGACUAUAGAAUUUUCUCUGUUUUUCAUCAUCUGUAGACAUAAACUUUCUACGGUUGAUGUACUAUAAGGAAAUUUUGCCUAUACAAUGUGAUACCAUUUUUUCAAAAAGACAAGAUGGCAAAUUGCCCCCUUGAACGGAAAAAAUCAUGAUCUUUCCUCAAACUAGUCUACUUGUCAAUUCUUUGAAAAAGAAUACACUGCCCCGCAGAAUUCUAGAAAGUUAGGCAAAACUAGACAAGUUGACAGCUAUAAUCAUACCCAAGAUCAGGAACAAGCAGUUACACAUUUCAAAAUUCGCUGCUGCAACAACUAAUUUGAUGACUUACAACACUAAAUGGUCAAACUUUGAAUGGCAAUGAAUCUUUUGUUGUACAUCAUGAUGUAAUUUUCAUGUUACAUAAUAGAUUGAUAUCUAUGUUCUUUAAAUUAUCAUAAUAAUUAAAUUUAACUGAUAAAAAGAACACAUAUCAAUACACAAAAGUGUGUAACGUGAAUGUUAUAUUAGUGUAUUGCAGAAGACCUAUAGUCUCUUCACAUCUCUUCCUGCAUCUUUUAUGUUUUAUUACCUCCAAAAGCCUUUACAGGGUCUUUACCCUAAAAAUCAAUUCACCGACUCGCAUUUGAUGUCAGAAAUUCUUAAGACGAAUUCUACUUUACUCAAAGAUUGACUGUUAAUAAUGAGACAACGACCAUUUUGUAUUAUUACACCGUCCUUCUUGAUAGGCAAAAGAAAUAGAGAGGAAAGCGGGUCCGUAUAUGGUCUUUUAUUCAUAGAUAAUACAACAUUACGCCAUCGAGCAUUCACACAAUAUUUCAAAGUCAUUGCAUGCCUAAAGCCCCGCUUGAUAAUCCAAUUUCAUACUUAAAUUUAAUGGAUUCAAAUUUUAACACAUUCAAAUUGUUUGAUAACAAAAAAUUGAACGUCUAAAUUAAUUAAGUAACACUAAAUUUUUUAGACAAAACUUGCUCCCAAAAUUAAGUGAUAAGCUAUAUCACUUAUCACUGAAUGUGAUAUGCAUUCAAAUGUAUUAUAUUUAAUACUUAAUAAUUUAAUAAUUUAAUGGAUUCAAAAUUCAGAUUUUAGAUUUCAGUUUUAUCAAACAUACCCUAAGUUGCAAAAUAAUACCAAAACUUGUUAUUAUAUAGCUUGAGAUUCAAAAAUUUAGAGCAUAAUUCUCAACCUAACACAAUUGAAUAAUGAAUAUUCACGAUUGUCAAAUCUAUCAAAGUACAAUUUGAGGACAACCCAUUCCAACGCGUACACAAUUUCUCACUUUUCUAAAGUUGUUGAGAGCUGUUAAAAGAGAUUUACCAUGUUUACAUCUUCCAAGUCUUGGGAGUAAAAAAUGAAGCCACCGAGUGCUAUAAAAAGGGGGCUAGAGGCUGCCUAGAAGCAUAUCAGCCUAAAACAAGAAUUUGUAGUAACAAUGGGGAGCAAAGCAAAAGCAACGGGGUCUAGGCUGACUCCUCUUCUUACCACUGUUUUAGUGGUAUUUGUCGCCCUUGGCUUGCCCUUGGAAACUGCAGCUGAUUAUUACAAGUAUUCAUCUCCUCCUCCUCCUCCUUACCACUAUUCUUCACCACCACCUCCAGUGUAUUCACCUCCACCAACCCCUGCUUAUAAGUUACCCCCACCAUCUCCUCCAGUUUACAAGUCCUCACCACCACCUUACCACUACUCACCACCUCCGGUGUAUUUACCUCCACCAUCUCCAGUUUACAAGUCACCACCACUACCCCCUCCGGUAUACAACUCCCCGCCUCCACCAGUGUACAAAUACAAGUCCCCACCACCACCUCCUCCAGUUUACAAAUCUCCACCGCCACCAGUUUACAAAUACAAGUCACUCCCACCACCUCCUCCGGUAUACAAGUCUCCUCCGCCACCUGUUUACGAGUACAAGUCUCCUCCACCACCUCCUCCAGUGUACAAGUCCCCACCACCUCCAGUUUACAAGUACAACUCACCUCCACCUCCUCCCCCAGUUUACCUGUCUCCACCUCCACCCUAUCAUCACUACUACGGUUCUCCUUCUCCUCACCACUACUAAGCAAGUGCAUAAGUUUUGAGGUAAUAAUACCUAUCCAAAACUUUAUCAACACAAACUGCCAUGUAUAUCAUGCUAAGGACGUACACUUGAUCCAUGAAAAUGACUAGUAGAAGAUUUUUUUUAAGAACCAAAGAAAUACAUUAUUUUUUCGGUCUGUUUUCAAGAAUUUGAGCAGUAUACAGAUUAAAGAGUGUUUUUUUUUUUGUAAACUUGCUUGUCAACUUAAAAAUGCACAUAGCUGAAAGCCAACUGAAUAUUUGCAGGCAAAGGAGAAGGCAAUCGGUGUUUGAGACCUUCAAGAAGAUGUAGAAGAAUAAGAAUAAAAGCCCAAUGCGAGGAUGAUUCCAAGUUUCUACGUUACCAUUUCUACAUCUAAAUUGACUUUAGCUCCUGAGUUCCAUGUUUAUGGGGUUUGUACCGUUUUACGUACCAUGCAGUACAUGCUUGCAAGGUUUUCUGUCCUGUUGGCAAACUGCAGGUCCAUAUAAUAAAUGAAUACUAUUUACAUUACGACACUUUUCUCUUUUUCUCUUAUAUUUUGUCUUUAAUAUUGUUGAUCAUUUUUUUUUUAUCAAAAGCAUCAAAUGCUUAGGUAAUUUGGUCUAAUGCUAAUUGUUUUACUUUUAUUUUUCACCUACACCCCUUUUCAACUCAAAGGAUGCUAUAGUUUGUGAUAAUUGUUUAAGACCGAAGCAUGAUACUAAUAAAUAUCUCAUUGAAAGUCAAGGAAACUAACAUUAGGAAAAGUUUAAAUCUUGAUUUGAUGAAACUAUUUAUUCGUGGAAUUUAGAGAUACAAAACUCAAAUUGUGACGGUGUUGUUGCUAAAUUAUUAAGGACAUUAUCACCAUUAUUUUUCCCUGAUCACUAGUUUCAACUGCAAUGAUCUCAAUCUUUUUGUGACUAAUUCUUUCCUUAAUAAUUUAUAAAGACAAAACUCACAAAGAAUAUGUGACUAAUUCUUUCCUUUCGUCUUCUAAAGAAAAUGCCAACUGUUAGUUUAUCAAGGGGAAAAAGGAUCGACAUCAGUUAUUAUUGAAACUAGUAAGGAAUAAAUAAUGGUGAUAAUGUCCUUAAUAAUUUAACAACAGCACCAUCAGAAUUUGACUUUGAGCUUCGGUCUUAAACAAUGAUCACAAACUACAGCAUCCUUUGAGUUGAAAAAGGAAGUAGGUGAAAAGAAAAGUAAAAAAUACAAUUAGCAUUCCCUCAAAUUGUAGAAAGUUAGGUAGCAUUAUAGACAAGUUGAUAGCGGCAAUUUUACAUUUCAAACUUCACCUAUUCAAUAACUAAUUCGAUGGCUUGCUACAUGGUCAAUCUUUGGACCCCUUCCUGCCUCCAGAUAUCCCUUUCCUCAAUCAGGGGCUUCUACAAUUACCAGUUUCAAUUGUAUGGUAUAGUGUAAAUAUCAACAAAUUAGAUGUAGAUGCUAACAUAAUAAAUGUGAAUGCUAAGACAGCAACAUACAAUCGAACCUGCAAUUGUAUGAACCCCAAUCUCGCUUCCUAGUCCACCAUCUUUCUCUAGGUAAUAAUCUCCCUUCUAAUUUAUUCACAAAAUGCACCUUUCAUCACCUCCAAUAGCGUCGACAUGAUCUUUACCCUAGAAGACUAUUCACCGACUCUCAAUUGACGUCAGAAAAUCUAAGAGUAAUUCUACUUUACCCUAAGAUUGAUAUCAACAAGACAAGGACAAUUUAGAAUUAUUACACGCCUCUUCUUAAUAGGAAAAAGAAAUAGAGAAGAAAGUCAGGCCAGGUCUAAUUUCUUUUCAAAGGCAAUACAACAUUACGAAAUCAAGCAUUCAUUCAUACAAAUAUUUCAUAGUCACCGGUUUGCUGAGUAGAAAAAUUUAGACAAAAACUUAAUAUUAUAUUGUUUAAGAGUUAACAAUUUAGAGCUUAAUCUCCUUGUACUUUGGAGUUAACAAUUUAGAGCUUAAUCUCCUUGUACUUUGGACUAAACUUGAACGUGAAAGGAAAUCCCAAAACCAUAUUGGGCAUGAAUUCACACUUAAUAUACCCAAUAAAAGAUGGCGACUGGUGAAAGGCAGUGGAGACUGGUGGAGAGAUUUGAGGAAUAGAAGCAGACGGAAAAGCAACAAAUUUUUGCCGAAAAACGGUCACUUUCAUGGUUAAUUUUGCUACUCUCCAAUUGUACUUGACCAAUUACAACAAUUUCAUGGAGUUUGAUACGUGAAAAGAAUUUUUUAUAAAUUUUAUUUUGAUCCAUAAUGUUAUCUUUACAUAUAUAAAACAUUUUACAAUUUUGAUUUUGGCGCAGCUAACUUUUGGUUAACAAAAAUGCUCAUGUUUAAAAAACCAGAAAUAAAACAAAACAAGAAACAAAAGAAAUAAGAGGGUAGCAUAGACAUUUUGGAUUUUUCCGUUAAUUUGGAUGAUUUCCACCCACGUUCUAAUUUAAUCCAAAACACAAAGGAAUUACGUAGAGGUUUUAAAUAAUCAGGGAGCUUCAUGAUCGAACCCCAAACCACGUGAUAGCAUACAAGAGUUCUAUUUCACUAUCGGUAGACAAAGACUUUCUAUGGUUGAUGUACCGUAGGAAAAAAUCUGCCUAUACAACGUGAUAGCAUUUUUUCAAAAACACAAGAUGGAAAAUUGCCCCCUUAAACGUGGAAAUUCAUGAUCUUUCCUCGAACAAAGAAUACUCACGCCUAUUCAAGAUGGAAAAUUGCCCCCUUAAACGUCUAUUUGUCAAUUCUUGAAAAAAGAAUACUCACGCCUAAAACACGGCCUCUUCAUCUGCAGAAUUCUAAAAAGUUACGUAAACUCUAUAAACAAGUUGAUAGGUACAAUCGUACCCAAGAUCAAGUACAGAUAGUUGUACAUUCACUGCUGCAAUAACUAAUCUGAUGACUUACAAACAUAUCAUGGUCAAUCGUUGAAUGGUAAUGAGUCUUUUGUUAUGCAUUAGUAUUAGUGUGUACACUCUAAUAGAUUGAUACUUAUACUCUUUAAAUUAUCAUAAUAAUACCCUUAAUUAACUUUAACUCUUAAAAAGAAUACGUGUUAAUACACGAGAGUGUGUAACCUGAAUUGUUACUUAUACAUUAGUGUGUAAUAGAUAGGGAUGGCAGUGAGGGCGAGUGCCCGCGGGGGGCUCUCGGGGCGGGGGCGGGGGAGAAUUUUUUCCCCCCGUUUAGAAACGGGGCAGGGGACGGGGGAGUAUACCCCCGCCCCAUCCCCCGCCCCGCCACCCGCAAAAAAAAUUAUAUAUAUAUAAUUAUAUAUAAUAUGUAAUUUAAUUAGUUAUAAACUUAUGAUAAUGAUAUUAUUAGUUAGAUGUAUUAUAUAAUGUAUAUUAGUGUAUGUAAUAUAAUUAAUAUUAUCAAUUAUACGAAUAAUUAGACAUGUCCACUAAUAGAGUUUAUUAAUUAGUUAUACUAAAUUUACUAAUACAUUUGUACUAAAUUUCUAAUUACACUUAAUAGAAUAACACUUUUUUCUAAAAAAAAAAGCACAAACACAAUAAUGAAUUAGUGAUUGUAUUUGUACCAAAAGUGAAAACUUAACUAUUUUAGUUGUAUUUAUUUCAUCAUGUUGGAUUGUAUUCAAAUAAUUUUUGUUUGAUUGUUUUUAUGAGUUUCAAUUGUAAAAUUAAAAUGAAUAAUAACUUGAUGAUGUGUUGAUAUUUUAGUACUUGAUUAUUUAUUGAUUUAACUAUAAUAAAAUUUUAUUUUAUUAAAAUUUAACUAUAAUAAAAUUUUAUUAACCAAACGAGUUAUUAAUCCCGCGGGGGCACCCACGGGGGAAGCGGGGCGGGGCGGGGGAGUGGGAGGCGGGGGACGGGGCGGGGGUGGGGGGAGUUGUAGGUAGCGGGGCGGGGGAUGGGGGAGGGGUCCCCCGCCCCAACCCCGCCAUCCCCCGCCCCGUUGCCAUCCCUAGUAAUAGACUGGCAAGCAUUGUGGUGGUCAUUGAGAACUUACUGGAGAAAUAGUCCUAUAAGCUGUUCAAUGAGCAAUCACAACUUGCUAAUUGGAUGACUAAUAUAGCUCUAGCUGUAAUGUUUUAAUUAAAUUACAUCACUAACGUUGGGAUGACUUUUUAACCAAAAAAAAAUGCCUUAGUUCAAGCUUUUCCCUUUAUUGUGCAUUUUUUAAAGCAUUUGAUAGGCACUGCAAAUCUGUCAUUUUGGACAUUUUAUUAUUGACUAACAAUGAAAGCCGUGACGUCUACCCAUAACCAACACAAGAUUAAAUUAAUAUUAGAAAAAAUAAUUGAGUAAUUGGAAAAAAAAAAAGAGACUCAUUUUCAUUGAAACCCACCGACAAACUAAACGUGUCCAUGGCUUUUGAAUAGUGCAUUCAACGUUUAAUUGUAUAGUCCAGUUCAUUGCAGAUUACAUGGAGUAAAGAUUGUGCUCUUUCCUUUUUCACCCCUUUUGGAAUCGAUACUGUGGAGAAUUGGGUUUUUCCCUUCUUUUUUUCUUUUCUUUCCUUCUGUGCUUUGCAAAACAUAGGUAAAAAUAUGAAAUCCGAAGCAUUCUUUAAUUGGGAUUAAGUAUUGUUGUUGAAAUUAAAAAGAAAAAAGAAAGAACAACAAAAUUCCCAAUCUGGGUUGAUUGUUGAGCUCUAGAUUGGUUGCAUCGUGCUUCCAUAGAAGCUCUCUUAGUGUGAUACACUGCUUUCAAUCAGUUUAACACGGGAAAAAAAAAAAAAGAGAUGAAAAGCAAAUUUGGUGGGGAUAAUUUCAGAAACCUCCCCUGAAGAUUUUGACUAUUCUACUGGUCUCCCUUCAGAUUUUAAAAAUUACACUAAUCUUCCUUGAAGUUAAUUAUCUUGUAACAUUUAAAUUCAAUCAAUAAUUUAAAAAAUGAUAUUAUGAGAGAGAAAAUAAUGAUUUUAUCAUUGCCCCCCAUCUUACUACAUUAUUUAAUUAAUUUAAUAGCAACCCACACAUUAAAGAAAAAUAUUAAAAUUUGUUGUUUAUCAUUAAAGAUCAAAUCGCUUAUAACAUCAAAUAAUAGUAUAUUAUUUAUAUUUUUCACUCAAUAUAAUAUCCAAAUUACUCUUUUCAAUUACAUACCCAUUGUUAGACAAUCAACAACAAAUAACCAAAAAAUUUGCAACCAAAAUAUUACAAAAAAAUAAACUUUAACAUAUAAAUAUUCUUAUCAACAUAUUAAAGUUAGUUACUGAAAUUUUUAUGCUGUUAAACUUCACUCUUUUUGGUUACAGAUUUUUUUGAUUAUUUGUUAUUAAUUAUGUUUGAUGAUGGAUUUAUAAUUGAAAAGAACAAUUUGAAACUUACAUUAAGUAAAAUAUAUAGAGUGAUAUACUAUUUUUUAUAACAUAUGUGAUUCAAUCCUUCUUGAUAGGAUUGGUAAUAGAGGUAGAGGGGGGAGCCGGCUGCAUCCGGUCUACUUUUCAUAGAUAGUACAAUAUUGCGAAAUCGAUCGCAUUCACGCAAUAUUAUUUCCAAGUCAUUGCAUGGCUAAGCUGCAAAAAAAGUACGAACACAUGUUAUUAUAUAGCUUACGAUUCAAAACUUUAGAGCAUAACCCUCCACCUAACACAAUUGAAUAAUGAACAUUCACGUUUGUCAAAUCUGUCAAAGCACAGUUUGAGGACAACCCAUUCCAACCUGCAAAAGAUUUUUUACUUUUCUAAAGUUGUUGAGAGCUGUAAAAAGACUUACCAUGCUUGCAUCCUCCGAGCCUUGGGAGUUAAAAAUGAAGGCACUGAGUGCUAUAAAAAGGGGAAUAGAGGCUGCCUAGAAGCAUAUCAGCCUAAAACAAGAAUUUGUAGUUAAGAUGGGAAGCAAAGCAAAAGCAAUGGGGUCUGGGCUGACUCCUCUUCUUGCCACUGUUUUAGUGGUGUUUGUUGCUCUUGGCUUGCCCUCACAAACUGCAGCUGAUGAUCACUACAAGUAUUCAUCUCCUCCUCCUCCUUACCACUAUCCCUCACCACCACCACCAGUGCAUAUACCUCCACCUCAUCCUGUUUACAAGUACAAAUCUCCACCACACCCCCAGUACAAGUAUAAGUCACCACCACCACCUCCUCAUCCGGUAUACAGUCUCCUCCGCCACCACACACCCAGUUUACAAGUACAAGUCACCACCACCACCUCCUCAUCCGGUACCACACCCAGUUUACAAGUAUAAGUCUCCUCCGCCACCAGUUUACAAAUACAAGUCUCCUCCACCACCACCUCCAGUGUACAAAUACAAGUCUCCACCACCACCAGUUUACCACUACAAGUCUCCACCACAGUUUACAAAUACAAGUCUCCACCACCACCCCCAGUUUACAAAUACAAGUCUCCACCACCACCAGUUUACCACUACAAGUCACCACCACCUCCUCCCCCAGUUUACAAAUACAAGUCUCCACCACCUCCUCACCACUACUAAGCAAUUGCUUCUGAGGUAAUAACACUUGUUCAAUAUACCCACUUCUGCAUGAUAAAGCAUAUCUCUAUCAACACAAACUGUCAUGUCUAUCAUGCUAAGUGCCUUCACUUCAUCCACCAAAAUGACUGCUAGAAAAUUUUUUUUAUGUUACCAAAGAAAGGCAUCAUUUUUUCCCUCUGUUAUCAAGAACUUGUACAGUAUAUAGAUUAAAGAGUAUUUUUUUAACUAGCUUAUCAACUGAGAAAUGCAUAUAGCUGAUAGCCAGCUGAAUAUUUGCAGGCAAAGGAGAAGGAAACCAGUGUUUGAGACCUUCUUGAAGAUGUAGAAGCAUAAGAAUUAAAGCCCAAUGUGAAGAUGAUGAUUUCAAGUUUUUCUACGUUACCAUUUCUUUAUCUAAAUUGGUUGUAGCGCCUUAGUUCCUUUGUUUAUGGGAUUUGUAUCGUUUUACGUACCAUGCAGUACAUGUCAUGUUUGUAAGGUUUUCUAUCCUGCCGGCAAACCGCAGGUUCCAUGUAAUAAAUCAAUACUAUUUAUAUUACGACACUUUUCUCUGUUUCUCUUAUAUUUUGUCGUCUUUAAUAUUCUUAAUCAUAUUUUUAACAAAAAUAUUCAAACACUUAGGCAAUCUGGUCUAAUGCUAAUUGUAUGUUUUACUUUUCUUUUUCACCUGCUCCCCUUUUCAACUCAAAAGGAUGCAAUAGUUUGUGAUCACUGUUUAAGACGGAAGCAUGAUACUAAUGAAUAUCUCAUUGAAACUCAAGGAAACUAACAUUGCGAAAAGUGUAAAUCUUGAUUUGAUGCAACUAUUUAUUCGUGGAAUCUAUAGUUACAAAACUCAAAUUCUGACUGCGCCAUUGAUAAAUUAUUAAUGACGCUAUCAUCAUUAUUUAUCCCUAACUAGUUUCGACUACAACUGAACCCAAUAUUUUCCCCAUGAUAAAAGUUUUUGACUAUUUUACUGGCCUCUCUUCAAAUUUUAAAAAUUACACUAAUCUUCAUUGAGAUUAAUUAUCUUGUAACAUUUAAGUCCAAUUAAUAAUUAAAAAAUGAUAUUAUGAGAGAGAAAAUAAUAUAAUUUUAUCAUUGCCCCCCAUCUUGCUAUAUUAUUUAAUUAAUUUAAUAGCAACCCACACAUUAAAGAAAAAUACUAAAAUUUGCUGCUUUUCAUUAAAGAUCAAAUUGCAUAUGCCAUAAAACAUAGUAUAUCAUUCUAUAUGUUUCACUUAAUGUAAGAUCCCAAUUGUUCUUUUCAAUUACAAACCCAUUGUCAAUAACAAAUAACCAAAAAAUUUGCAACCAAAAUAUUACAAAAAAAAACUUCAACAUCAUAAAUAUUCUUACCACCUCUAGUGCAUUCACCCUCAUAAAAUAAUUCAAGACCCUACUGUCAUAAAAUGACUGAUCAACUCCCGUAAACCUAAUUUGACAACAUUUAAAUGGAGAACUUUAGCUAAAAGAAUUAUGGUCAAGCUAAAGAAAAAACCAGUUAUUUUCCAACAUAUGCAAUCAUUGAUCAGGGAAAAAAAAAAGAGCAAAAAGACAUCUUCAAUCAUUUAAUAGCUUACAGGGCAAAUUAACCCCUAAGCGAAAACUGGUUGCUCUAGAAUCAAAAUUUUACUUUAGUUACCCAGGCAACUUUUUUGUUGCUUUUUUUUUUUUUUUCCUUUAGUUUUGCCCCCUCUGUCAAGCUUAUAAAAUUAUUAAGAUAAUAAAAGUGCCUUGAAUAGUAUUAAUAUAUCCAUUGACUUGAGCUGUCGUCAGUUUGCGAUUCCAUGAGGCCUUUUCAAAGUACUCAGAAAAUGGGGAGUCAUGAAAUCCAUUUGUUCUAUUCAUUGCUAAGAUGCUUUUCUCUAUAAAGAGACUUCCUAACGAAAAUACUUUGUAGAUUUCUUUACUCCAAGUGGUGCAUGGAAAAUUAAUAUUUUCAAUUAUCAAAUAAAAUUCCCUUUUUUCGGCGUAGAUUUCAUCCAUCCAGCUGUUAACACAUUCUAUAAAUCCGAAUUGACUAAUCUUUUCGUUUCCAUUUUCCAACUUGCGAAUACGGCAUAUAGUGUCUGCUAAACACUAUAUAUUCUCUGCCAAAUAUGAAUACAUAUCACUUUUCUGAGCAAGUGCAGAGUCAUUAUCAUUUUUAUUCCCACCUAACAAAUUAGGGAUAAAAAAGUUAAUAAUCUUUACAUGCUAUCAGGUCACAAGUUAAUAAUCUUUUAAAGAACAUGUUAAAUUAAUUUAUUGGUAUGAAUAGUAGUCAAAGAAGUAUGUUAAAGUUAGUAAUCUUUAAAAUAAUAUGUUAAAAUCAUUCGUACAAAUUAGUCAGAGAAGUAGCAUAAACACCGCGAUGCAAUUAAUACUUUCAAUCUCAAGGUCUCUAUUAUGGAAAUUUGCAUCGGUCAAUAUACACUUGGCAUAAUAUAAUCUCCCAACUCAUUUCUUUACAAAUGCACCUUUAAUCACCACCAAAAGGUGUGGACAUGAUCUUUACCCUAGAAAACUAUUCACCGACAGGCAAAUUGACGUCAGAAAUACUGAGGAAUUCUAGUUUCCUUCGGGUUCAUGCCAUGUUGUAUCCUUCAACUGUAACUCGAUUUCUAAGCUGUAAUUUGUGACAUAAUAGUCCUUAAACUAUGAAACCCUUCUUACUUAAUUACAAUGGUUAAUACAAUGCCCGUGACUAGACAAGUAUGAAGCAACCAUAACAGAAAAAAAAUCCAAAAUUAGAGAAAAGAAAGAAGUUUCGCGACCACCACCAGUUUACAAGUCACCUCCACCACCUCCUCCAGUUUACAAGUCACCUCCACCACCUUACCAUUAUUCCUCACCACCACCUCCAGUGCAUUCACCCCCACCACCACCAGUUUACAAGUCUCCGCCACCACCUUACCAUUAUUCCUCACCACCACCUCCUGUGCAUGCACCUCCACCACCAAUUUACAAGUCACCUCCUCCAGUUUACAAGUCUCCACCACCACCUUACGAUUAUUCCUCACCACCACCUCCAGUGCAUUCACCCCCACCACCACCAAUUUAUAAGUCUCCCCCACCGCCUCCCCCAGUAUAUAAGUCACCACCACCACCUCCUCCAGUAUACAAAUCACCUCCACCACCUCCUCCAGUUGACAAAUCUCCACCACCACCAAUUUAUAAAUACAAGUCUCCUCCACUACCUCCUCCAGUGUACAAGUCAUCACCACCACCUGCUUACAAGUCUCCACCUCCUCCAGUUUACAGUUCCCCACCACCACCAAUCUACAAGUCUCCACCUCCACCCUACCAUUACUACUACAAUUCUCCUCCUCCUCCUCGUCACUACUAAGCAAUUGUAUCCAAGUUUUUGAGGUAAUAACGCUUAACCAAUAAAUUAACUUUCGCAUGAUAAACCUUAUCUCUAUCAAGACAAACUGCCAUGUGUAUCAUGCCAAAUACGUACACCUAGAUCCAUGAAAAUGAAUGGUGAGGAGGGCCAUUUAGGCUCGGAGCGCCCUAGGCCUAGUUCCCCACCAUUUCCUGAAGUGCCGCCUCGGGUAUUAUCCUGGAAGGCGAUCGCGGCCCAUUUACCACCUCGGCUACAAUGUCAGGUCGUAACACCGAGGUGGACAUUGAAUGACAACUACGAAAAGGGGAGAUGUGAUCUCUGACACCUGAGCAAAGGCUGCUCUGACCCGCCGCCUGAAUCUGACAGAAUGUCCCAUCACGUCUCUUCAUGGAGACCGGUCAAGUCCACCUGAUCCACUGACUAUCUCAGAUCUUUUGGGACCCGUGCAAACAUCUCCUCUCUCCUAUCAGUCCCCUAUAAAUACACGAUACUUCUACUGAAAAAGGAGAUGACCAAUUUCUGGUAAAACACACUCCACUCAUUAUUUACUUCUCUAUAUCCGAACUGACUUAAGCUUCGGAGUUAUACCGGGGGAUCCAGCCCCUUUCUUAUCCAAGCAGGUGACUUCGUCCAAGAGAGUUGCCCAAGGUAAAGAUAUUCUUCCAAUUGAGGUGACUCACUCCUGCGGGUCGAAAAUCACCUCUUCAAUUGGCGCCGUCUGUGGGAACCGCAAAGAUAUUAGAAGAUGAAGCCUGCGCGUUCUAGAAGCAGAAAAGCUCUCACUAUCGAGGCUGGGCAAAGCAAUGCAGCUCAACAAGAAAAUAUUUCUGAAGGGCAGGAGUCCCCAAGGACUCAGCCCGCAAACGAAAAAGCCAUAACCCGUAUGGCCGAGUUUGUGACCGAGAACCCCAACAUCUUUGAAGAGUUGGGAAGAUACCUGAAGAGGCAAGGCAAACAAAAGGCCGAGUCCUCUAAAAGGAUGUCAGAUGGGUCUCUUGAGGACUCAUCUGAGGAGGAGUCGGAUGGAAGGCACUUAAGCCGAAGUGCCUCAAAGCGAGCAUUUUCUAAGGCCACUUCUAAGGUAGCCUCCCUGACCAAGGCGUUUUCCCGAGGGCUCUUGGGCCGACGACCCGAGGAAGAACCUCGGCCCUUGGGAAUACCCGGGGUGGACUGCAUGAGGGCUCCACCGUUCACGGAUGAUAUAAACGAGGAAAGGCUUCCUCCCAAUUUUAAGCUCCCCGCAGUACAAUCUUACGAUGGCCGAGGUGAUCCCGAGAAUCACAUCCAUACCUUCAUCUCGGCCUUCCAAAUAUACUGCAUCCCAGACCCUGUCAUAUGUCGGGCCUUUCCAGUAUUCCUCAGAGGAACUGCUCGAAAAUGGUUCUGAGCUCUAGAACCUAGGAGCAUUUCGACCCUGGGUGAAUUAGUGGAGAAGUUUCUCCACCGAUUUGUCUCCUCCCGACCUACGACUAGGACCUCGGCUUACCUGCUCACCGUGCAGCAGAACCCGGGAGAGUCACUCCGGUCGUACGUCCGGAGGUUCCAUGAGGAAAGCGUUCAGAUACCUGACCCCAAUGAGCAGGUAACCCUCGCUGCCUUUACCCAUGGACUCGUUGCCGGGGAGUUCAAUACGGGGAUCCAUAAAAAAUACCCCCGCACACUGCAUGAAUUGUGGUUGAAGGUUGAAAAGGGCAUACAGGCCGAAGACCUCCAUCGCAUGAAGAAAGAGGUCCAAGCCACCCGUCCAAGGGCUGAGCCCAGAAAGGGAAAAGACGCUGGCCGAACUGAAGUAGGGUCGGGAAGUGGCUUCCGAAGUCCUGGCCGAGACCGCCGCAGCGUGUUCGACAGGAUAUCCAAGGGGAAGUCACCUAUUCCCGAGUCCGAGUUGACUCCUUUAAAUACUACCCGAUCUCACGUGUUGUCCGUGAUGGAACAAAACAACCUCGGCAAGGGCCCGCCGAGGAUGUUUGGAAGCAGAGACAAGAGGAACUCGAACCUCUACUGCUUGUAUCAUCGUGACAUUGGUCACGAAACUGAGGAUUGCAACGAUCUCAAGAAGGAGAUCGAGAACCUCAUUAGACGGGGACACUUGAAACAGUUCAUCCGCAGAGGUGGAGGUCACCAACGUGACGAAAACCGGCAUGACAAAUGAGGUGACCAACGCCGAGAUGAGCGGCGGAGCUCCAGAAGCAGUUGCCGACCUCCUGAGGAUCCCAGGGAGACGAAAAGGCCUCCCCCAGACGGAUCUUCGGGACAUGGGCCAACCAUUGCCCGGGUCAUUAACACCAUUGCCGGAGGUCCGACGGGAGGGGACAGUCAGAACUCCCGGAAGAGAACCUAUAAGCAGGCUAACCCGGAUCAGGCCGAGUCGAGUUCUCGCCUGUCCGAGGUGAUCACCUACGGGCUCAGUGAUCCCAUCCCAGCUGCAUCCAGCAGUCAUGAAACCUUGGUGAUUGAAGUCCUCACCAAUAACUACAUUGUGAAAAGGUCUACAUAGACCCGGGAAGUUCAGUUGACGUCAUGUACCUCCGUACCUUUGAGAGCCUUAAAAUGGCUAAGGGGUGCAUGACCCCGCUGAGAACCCCUCUUGUAGGGUUCGGGGGACACGUGGUGCACCCCGAAGGGAUGGUGACUCUGACAGUGACCAUAGGGCAUCACUCUCGCUGUAGAACCGUCCCUGUCAAUUUUGUGGUGGUUAAGGCUGACUCCCCAUACAACCUACUUUUAGGUCGGCCUACGCUCAAUGCCUUGCGGGCGGUCUACUCCACCUACCACCUGAGCUUCAAGUUUCCUACCCCAGCAGGGGUGGCCGAGGUCAGCAGCGACGUCUGUGCUGUCCGGGAGUGCUACCUCGCCACCCUACAAGCAGCCUCCCCGUCUACCUCCGGUGCGAGGUCCGAGAAGAGGUCAAAUAUCCUCUCAAUAGAUAGCAUCGAUCCUCAGUGAGCUGAGAAGGUCCCGAGGCUGGAGACUGGGGAUGAGGUGGAAGAGAUUCCCCUGGACCCCACGAAACCUGAUCAGACAGUUCGCGUUGGUACCCGAUUGCCCGGUCCUAUCCGAAGAGGUAUGAUGGACCUCCUCAGGGAAUACCGGGACGUCUUUGCUUGGGCCGCCGAAGAGGUCCAAGGAGUCCCGCACCAUCUCAUGAUGCAUGACUGAACGUCGACCCCCAAGUCCGUCCGGUCAAACAGAAGAGAAGGCACAUCGGCCCUGAGCGCAGCCAAGCUGUUGGUGAGGAAGUGGACAAGCUUUUACCCGCUAAAAUAAUCCGAAAAGUCCAAUACCCGAUCUGGUUGUCUAACUCGGUCAUGGUCAAGAAGGAUACGGGGGCUUGGAGAAUGUGCGUCGAUUUUACCGACCUCAACAAAGCCUGCUCCAAGGAUUGCUACCCCUUGCCCAAAGUCGAUACUUUGGUAGACUCAGCAAUGGGCUACGAGAUCCUCUGUUUCUGGGAUGCAUUCAAAGGCUAUCACCAAAUUGGGAUGAGUCAAGAAAACCAGGAGAAAACGGCCUUCUACACCGACCGCGGCACGUACUGUUAUACUACCAUGCCAUUCGGGUUGAAGAAUGCCGGAGCCACUUAUCAACGCUUGGUCAACCAAGCAUUCAAGUCUCAAAUCGGCCGGAAUGUUGAGGCCUAUGUAGAUGACAUCCUCCUCAAAAGCCAGACGAACUCCACCUUCCUGGCCGACUUGAAGGAGGUCCUUGACAUCCUGCGGAAGGUGAAAAUGAUGCUGAACCCCAAGAAAUGUGUUUUUGGGGUCACCUCGGGGAAAUUUCUAGGUUACCUCGUCUCAAGGCGAGGUAUCGAAGCAAAUCCGGAUAAGGUGCGAGCCAUCCAGGAGAUGUCUCCACCCCGGUGCGUCCGCGAUGUCCAAAGGCUGACAGGGCGAUUAGCCGCCCUGAAUCGGUUCUUAUCGCAGUCGGCAGCUAAAGCACUGCCCUUUUUCAAAGUGUUGAAGAAAGCUGACCAUUUCUCCUGGACGGAAGAGUGUCAACAGGCGUUUGAGCAGUUGAAGGAUUACCUUCACUACCUUCCAACGCUCACCUCACCUCGUCCGGGGGACAAAUUAAUCUUAUACCUUUCUGCUGCGGCCGAAGCGGUGAGUGCCGUGCUGAUAAGGAAGGAAGGGGUCCAAAUGCCCGUCUACUACGUUAGCCGAGUCCUCCGAGGUCCAGAGACCAGGUACACACAAGCAGAGAAACUUGUGCUAGCCCUGAUCCACGCCGCCCGCAGACUCAAGCCCUACUUCCUAGCUCACCACGUCUGCUUGAGGACUGAUCAACCACUUCGGCAGAUUUUGACACGACCAGAGGUUUCGGGACGUCUUACCAAAUGGGCCAUUGAGCUGGGGGAGUACGACCUAACUUAUGAGCCUCGCACAGCGAUCAAGGCCCAGGCUCUCGCAGACUUCGUAGCCGAGCUCACCUUUGACGAGGUGCAAGGAUCCGUCCCGGCUGCCACAUCGGCCACAGUUGAUGUGGCCACCACUGGGCUCCAGCGGUGGAUCCUACACGUGGACGGUUCGUCAACAGUGAGGGUAGUGGAGCAGGCUUGCUCCUCGAAGACCCCCAAGGAGAAAUAUGCUAAUAUGCCUUAAGAUUUGACUUCGCUGCUUCAAACAAUGAAGCUGAAUACGAAGCCGUCAUUGCUGGACUGCAGCUAGCUCGCAAGCUCGGGGCCGCACACAUCUUGGUUUAUAGUGAUUCCCAACUCGUCGUGUGCCAGAUAUUAGGUGAGUACGAAGCCAGGGACGAGGUGAUGCAUCGUUACCUCUCCAAGGUCCUCCAGUUGGCGACUCACUUCGAGUCUUUUGAAAUUCAAAGAAUACCGCUAUCGAAAAACAGAAGGGCUGACGCCCUCUCCCGGCUUGCCUCAACCUCUUUCUCUGACCUGAACAAGACGGUUCUCGUUGAAGUUCUAGCCGAACCAGGAUAUGUAGCCGAGGUAGUAUACCCCGUCUACCCUGGGGACACCUGGAUGGGUCCCCUGACUCGAUUUUUCAGCCAGGGUGAGCUCCCCGAAGACCGAGCUGAGUCACGGAAGCUCCAACGAAAAGCAGCACGGUACAUUCUCCGACAAGGCCUUUUAUACAAAAGGUCUUACCUCGGCCCUUAGUUGCGAUGUAUCACGCCCGAGGAAGGCCAGAGAAUCCUCCAAGACAUACAUGAGGGGCUCUGUGGUGCUCACGUCGGCUACAGAAUGCUGGUAAAAAAGGCUUUGUUACUUGGGUAUUUUUGGCCCACUAUGAGGAUAGAUGCCCAGGUCAUGGUCCUUUGCUGCCCCUCCUGCCAGCAUCACGCUCCUGAGCACCACCAGCCGACCAAUUUAAUGAUCCCUAUCACCUCGUCAUGGCCAUUUGAGCAAUGGGGAACGGACAUAAUUGGCCCCUUUCCCAGAGCUCCAGGCAAUUAUACCUACGUGGUGGUAGCAGUGGACUACUUCACCAAAUGGGUCGAAGCUGAACCCCUAAAAAAUAUCACUGGUGCGGCAGUCCAGAAAUUCUUCUGGAAGAAUGUGGUUUGCCGCUUCGGCCUACCCCGGGUGAUCAUCUCGGAUAAUGGCCGACAGUUCGCCGAUAAUCCUUUCAAGGCCUGGUGUGAGAACCUCGGGGUCAAACAGCAUUUCACUUCGGUGGGACACCCCCAAGCCAACGGACAAGCCGAAAACUUCAAUCGCACGCUCCUCCAUGGCCUCAAGACCAGGCUCCACCAGGCUGGAUCGUUUUGGAUGGAAGAGCUCCCCAGUGUGCUGUGGUCCUACCGAACUACGCCGAGAUCAGCAACCCAGGAAACCCCGUUUUCCUUAACCUACGGGUCAGAAGCUGUUGUUCCAGCCGAAUUCAUCACCCCGAGUCCACGAAUGGCCGCAUAUGCUGCCGAAGUCAAUGAAGAAGAACGGCGAGUUGACCUCGACCUCGUCGAAGAGAAGCGUGAUAUGGCCGCGGCCAAAGUUGCUGUUUACAAAAAUAUCGUAGCUGGCUACUACAACGCUCGGGUUAAACAUUUGCGGUUCAGUCCGGGAGACCUGGUGCUCAGGAAGAACUCAGUCAGCCGGGCUGAACCUCAGGGUAAACUAACCCCCAAGUGGGAGGGACCAUACCGUGUUGUUGAGUCCAGCCAAAAUGGAUAUUGUAAAUUGGCAUACCGAGAUGGGUCUCUGAGUGCCCCGAACUUGGCAUGCUGAAAAUCUUAAGUUGUACUACCCUUGAGGGUAUGUGCUUUUAAUCUUGAGUUAUUUCACACUUAUUUUCAUUUCAUUAUAAGUGAAAAAUAAGGGGACAAAGUAGCAGUAAAGAGGAAAACCGAAUUUAAUUAAAAAGAAAGCAAGAAUAUGAACUCAAUUCCAUUGAAUUACAUAAAAGUAGAAAGCCGAGGUCACCUUUAAUUAGGAAGAAAGCAAGAAUAUAAACUCAAUUCCAUUGAAUUACAUAAAAGUAGAAAGCCGAGGUCACCUUUGACCUCGGCCUACAAUGACAAAAAAAAAAACAAGUGCCUCUAGGCACUCCCUACCCUGACAUCCUGGCCCCCCGUGGUCGCGCCACCCGUUUCGGCACCCUGUCCACCCUCAGCUCCUCCACCGGCCUGGUCGUCUUCAGUACCAUCUAGUUCAAACUCCUGGAGCCAUUUGUUGAAUUCGGCUCGGACUUCGGUUAGGUCUUUCUCAGUCCGGAUGCCCUCAGCCAUGCUGUCGCAUAGCUCCUUGGCAUCCUCGUUAUAGUGCGAAGUGCUCUGAAGGGACUCCAGUUGUUCAGAGGGAAGAAAGGAUGCCGCGUCAUUAAUAGCCGACGUGUACCCGAACAUGAAGCUUGGCCGGGUGAGCUCGCCGAGGUCACGGAUGAAGGACUCUGACGUCCGGAAGGCUUCCACAGCAGUGACCCCGGCCUUGUCCAUGGCCUCCCUGUUUGACUGUUCUUCUUGGGCCCUCCUUUUUUUCUCCUCAUCAAGAGCAGUCACCAGGGAAUUGUUCGCGACCUCGGCCCUUUUGUUAGCCGCCUUGGCCUUGUCACGCUCCAACUCGGUUGCCUUCAGUUUUUCUUCCAACUCGGCAAUUCUCUUCUGGAGCUCGGCAGGAGGCUCAUAGUUUUCCAUGAACUUUCCAUACCGUUGAAUCAUCUCGACAAAAAAAGCCGUGGUAGAGGCCCAUGACACCGAGGCGCUCUGCAUCAACUCCCCUGCGGAGAGCUUCCUAGCAUAAGUGCUAUCUCGUGGCAGCACUGAAUGCACCAAGAGCUCCUGAGCGACCAAAGGGUUCUUGCAGCGAUCGUUGAAAUUAAUCUCCCACUCUGGACACCAGUGUGAUCCGGGGUGUCUCUUGUCCUCCUCAGCUGCCUUGAAAGGCACAUGAUGGAGUUUGAACAAAGAUGACCCCGUGACGGGGUUCUCCGGAAAUAUGGUCACACCCUGACCCCGGGGGGGAGUGGCAAUCGUGACCCAGCGAGAAGGGAUUCCCACCGGAAUUGCCGAGGCUCGGGAACCUCCCGGAGUGGCCGAGGUGUGCGAGCCCUCGCCCACGAUCACCACGGCAGGCUCGCGGUCGCCCGACGCCGCGGUGGUUUUCUUAGCCGGCCUGGAAGAGGACCCUGCAGUGUCCUUGCGCUUUUUGGGAGCUCUUUUGACCACCUCGACAUCUCCCGAGGUUAUCAGGUCGAAAAUCUUCGUCACUGCAAAGUAGGAGACGAAGUCAGUUAGAAUUCAAGAGGGAUAAACUAAAAGGGAAGAAAUGGAAAAAUACAAAGUCUGUGAAGCCUAGUCGAGAGUAAGACAGGCUGGUCAGAGCUCGUCAAGGCUCAACUGAUCCCGCCUUCCACGAGCACCACUUCGGGAAAAUCCCAGCAGUUUAUCCUGAGGCCCGACCCCGUUAACUUCUGGAAGUUACGCUCUUCUAACUUCCCUGGAGAUAUCUCCUUGAUCGAGGUGGGAGGCCUCCACCAGAAUCCGCGAGGGAAGUCAUCGGCCGAGACGAAGAAGAAGUUUUGCUUCCACUCCUUUAUUGAGUUCGGAGCAUCAACCACCAACUUCGGAACUUUGUUUCCGAAGUAGAACCAUCCUUUUUCACUUCUGCUGUUCUUGAGUGAGUAACAGCGGCGAAAGAGGUUGACCUAAGGUUGUAUCUCCUGAUGUCGGCAAAGUAGCUGGAAGCCAACGAGAAUGCGAAUAGCGUUAGGGGUGAGUUGAGUGAUUCUCACCCCCCAGUACCUCAGGCAGUCCCGAAGAAACCUCGUCGUGGGCACUCUGAGUCCGGCCUCCAGCUGUUCCUGAUAGAUAGUCACCUUGCCCUUUGGUGGCAGUGCGGCUGACUGAUGCGGUUGGGGUAUGUAAAUACUAUAAUCCCUUCUCCAGGGAUACCUGCGGACCACCUCGGCUAUUGAGGCUUGUCCCAUACCACUACUGAAGAACGGCAUCUGGCCGUAGUCGAGAGUUGCCACGUUUGGAGGAGUGGAAGGUUCUUGUACUCCCUCGUCUCUAGGGAUCUCAAUCCCGAGGUCAUCGUUGUAUAGGACCUCGGGCUGGACCUCGAUCUCCUCGGGCUGCACCUCAACCGCCUCAGCUCGGCGUGAUGCCUCGGCACCUCCACCCUCAGCUUGGUGAGAUGCCUCAGCACCUCCGCCCUCGGACGCGGUCCUUUCCUGGGAGGGGUCAGGCCUCUCUGCCUCAGUGAGGUCAGGUCUCACUGUCUCUUUGUGCGUACGAGCUGUUCUAGCCAUUGUAUCAGAAGGGGAAGAAGUGAACUUACUUAGAAUCUGCGACUGGAAGAAGAUGCCGAAGUAGACGUGGUUUAGAAAGGUUGCCGAAGUGAAAAGAGAAAGAAACAGAGUUCUGGGGUGAUUCUUGAUUUUUGGUGAAGAGUAAAACGGUGAAAAAAGACCACUAUUUAUAGGCCACCAGGGUGAAACCCAAGAGACGGCACCCUCUCUCUUCAUUAAUGGGAGGACUGUUCGUCUGCCAACACAGCUGACAGCCGUCCCUUCAGUUAUCACUCAGUCCCAUCUAUGCGGUCAUGACGUGUCCGUGUUCCGUGUUUUAUACGCUUCUCAGCUUCGGGAAGUAACGACCACGGCGGAUGCCCAUCUCGCCCUUCUCAAAGCUUGGGGGGCUUAGUGAGGAGGGCCAUUUAGGCUCGGAGCGCCCGAGGCCUAGUUCCCCAUCAUUUCCUGAAGUGCCGCCUCGGGUAUUAUCCUGGAAGGCGAUCGCGGCCCAUUUACCACCUCGGCUACAAUGUCAAGUCGUAACACCGAGGUGGACAUUGAAUGACAACUACGAAAAGGGGAGAUGUGAUCUCUGACACCUGAGCAAAGGCUGCUCUGACCCGCCGCCUGAAUCUGACAGAAUGUCCCAUCACGUCUCUUCAUGGAGACCGGUCAAGUCCACCUGAUCCACUGACUAUCUCAGAUCUUUUGGGACCCGUGCAAACAUCUCCUCUCUCCUAUCGGUCCCCUAUAAAUACACAAUAUUUCUACUGAAAAAGGGGAUGACCAAUUUCUGGUAAAACACACUCCACUCAUUACUUACUUCUCUAUAUCCGAACUGACUUAAGUUUCGGAGUUAUACCGGGGGAUCCAGCCCCUUUUCUUAUUCAAGCAGGUGACUUCGUCCAAGAGAGUUGCCCAAGGUAAAGAUAUUCUUCGAAUUGAGGUGACUCACUCCUGCGGGUCGAAAAUCACCUCUUCAAAUGGUAGAAAGUUUUCUUAAGAACCAAGAACAGCAUUAGUAUUCCCUCUGCUUCCAAAAACUUGUGUAUUAAAUAGAUUAAUGAAUUGUUUAACAUGCUCAUCUACUUGAAAAUGCACAAUACCCAUAACCCACUGAAAUUUUUGCAGGAAAAGGGAAAGAGAAUCUGUGUUUGAGAGCUUCAUGAAGAUGUUGAAGAAUAAGAAUAAAAGCCCAAUGCGAGGAUGUUUUCAAGUUUUUCUAUGUCCACUUUAAUUUGUAAAUUGAAUUUUACAACUCAAUUAAUUCCUUGUUUGUGAGGUACGUAUUGUUUUACGUACCAUGCCGUACAUGUUUGUAAGGAUUUCUAUCCUAUUGGCAAAAGUCGGUUCCAUACAAUUAAUCAAUUCAUUUCACUUCUAUUGGCUCUACUAUUUAUGCAUGUUACGACACUCUUUCCCUUAUAUUUUGCCUUUAAUAUUAUGAGUCAAUAGUAAUAAUGGGCCUUUUUCUUAAAAUUAUACUAUUAUACAUAGGUAGUUUGGUCUAACGCUAAAUUCAUGUUUGUCUUUCUUUUAUUCCCUUUACAUCUCAAAGUAUACUAUAGUUUGUAAUCAUUGUGGUGAUGAUAUUACCAGCUGGUACUUAUAGUUUAAGGCAGAGACAUGAUAUUAACAACUAUCUCAUUGAAACAUAAGUCAAAAUCAUGACAAGUGUGAGUCUUGGUUAAUGCACAAUUUGUUAGUGGAAUUUAUAUUUAUAAAACUCAAAAAAAAUUUUUGACAAUGCUAUUACUAAUUAAUUAAGGACUUCAUUGCUAUAAUUUAUCGCUUACUAGUUUAAACUAUAAAUGAUCUCAAUACUUUUCUCCAUGAUGUCGAUUUCUUUAGACUACGAAAGGGAAAAAUUAGUGACAUAUCCCUUACUGAUUACAACAUCAGCAAAAAUUAGUUAUAAACUUUUCCGGUGGUUUUAAAUCCCUCGGGCACUAAGGUUUUUUGCACAUCGAGUGAAUUAAGGAACAUAGGCAAUUCGUUCUGCAUACCAAGUCCUUGUUUAAGAUGCACGUACUAAAAUGCAUCCACUUCAUUAAUUUGGAAAAUUGCCAUAGUUUUUUUUAAGCAUUUUGAUUUUUUACAUGAUUCAAAAUUUUCUUAUUGGAUACAAUCACUUUGUGUCAAGAACACAUUUUCAAUCAUCUUUUUUAUCUUCUCAAUAAGAAAAUAAAAAUUUAUUCAUGCUUUUCUAACAUAUCCAAUCAUUGAUCUGAAAAAUAAAGAAUUAAAAAAAAAAGACAUUUUCAAUCAUUGCUUACAGGGCAACUUCCCCAUGUGAACCUCUUCAAACAAAGCCAAUAAUAUGAAGGAACAUCUAAAUACACUUUUGCCCUAAAGGCUGGUUGCCUUGGGGUCAAAAUUUAACCUUCGGGAGUAUAAUUACCCGCCAAAUUUAUUAUUUUUUAUGGGUAUAUAGUUCCAAUUUUGCCUCCUGUUAAGCUUAUAAAUAUAUUACGACCCAGAAAAUAAAGGAAUCUUGAAUAGUAACAUGUCCAUUGACUUGAGUUGUCAUCAAUUUGGCUACUUCGAUUCCAUGAGGCCAAUCCAAUUCACACUAGCUAGAGAAAAUGGUGAUAAAGGCACUUAGAAAUUUAUAUGUAAUAUUGAUUGGUAGUAACUGAUAAGUAUAUAUUUUACGUGUUUUAAAUAUGUUUUAUUAGUUAGUUUUGGUGUGUUUUAACUACUUUUAUAACUAAUUAACUAGGAAUCUAGUGAAAAUAUGCAUUUUGUGGUUUGAAGUGUGAAAAUUGUAUUUCUAUGGAUUUUAAUGGUGAAAACUUCAUGUUUUUGUAGGUUUAAUGAUUCAAUCAUCAAAUGACAUGAUUUGAGAAGAUAAUUAGAUGAUUGAUGAUGUUUUGAAGUGAUAAAAAGAGAAUACAAAGUGCAAGAGAGGAAAUGCAAUCAAGAAUAAAAGAAGAAAAUUUUUGUAGCUUUGACAUAUUGUGGUAUUUUGGCAAUAUAUUGAGCUACAAUGAUUGGAUUAAGGUGAUUCUUAAACCAUUUGAAGCUAAGAUAUAGAUCUACAUUUGGUAUGAAGGCAUCGAAACCCAUGUCAGUCAUUUUCCUUGUCAAAAUGUUGAAAUACAGAAGUGCAACUCUGUUCUCGAAAGCUAAAACAGAGCUCUGGCUAGUCGAGGGUAUUUUCAUCAUUUCUUAGUCCACAGAGCUCCAAAUGAGAUGAUUCUUAAGGCAUUAGAACCCUAACUCAAAGAGCUACAACUUUCAUAUUUUGUACAAGAGUUAGUUCGGCCUCCAUCAUUCAGAAAAUAGUAGUUGAAGUGGUGCCAAAUGCAUAGAAGUGAAAACGCGAGCUAUCAAUACUCGACCUGAAGUCGCGUAUUCCUGAGGUCAUGCAUUCUCUUCUAUUUUCUGCAACUUGCCCUGCUUUCACAUAAUUUUUUCAUCUCAAUUCCAACUAUCAAUUUCGGCUAUAUCUGAUCAAGAAAAGUGUGGAAAGUUUGAAAGACAACUCAUAGGAGUUUCAAGAGUCAAAAAUUACAAUUAGAAACAACUCAUUUGGCUCUUGAAUCCUCUAUAAAUAGAGGCCUUUGAAGAACAUUUUCACAACUUUGGAAGGUUAGAGAAACUCCACAAAAACAUAGUCUUCACUAGAAUUUCCUUAGUUCAUUAGUUAGGGUAGUAUAGUAUAGUUAGUGUAGCUUUUCCUUCUUGUAUUUAUAGUUAGGUUUGAAUGAAGAUUCAGGAGCAAAGAUAGAGAGGUUGAUCUCAUGUGACAAGGGUGAUAUCUCUUCUACUACUUUCUCUUUUGUAUUUGAUUUCAUAUUUAACUAUACUACAAAUUUGGCUUUGUUUUUUUUUUUUAUCAUGUUUAGUUAAAGUUUAUGCCUAGAGUAUGGAUGACCUUUCUAUAUCUUGUUUGUGAUAUUUAACUGGUUAUUUGAUGAUGUUAUUUUUGAGCAAGUUAUUUAUCACUUUUGCUUUUCUAAUCGUGAUUAACUGGCCAUUAGUUGUGAUUAUCUAAAAGUGUUAAGUUUGUAAUGAGAAUUGGAGUUUAACACUAGUUCAAGGAAGUGAUAAAUUUAGGGAGUUCACUCAUGAGAGUAGAGGAACACCUUUGUGACCUAAGUGACUUGUUUCAUAUAAUUUCAUAGAAAAAAUGAACUUGUAAUUAAUUUCAUAACCACGAGAGUAAGUAUGGUUUAGCUAUAUGUAUAGUUGAUUCACUACGAGAGUAGGUUUCACAUACAUUAGAAAAUUACAUCAUAACUAGUCAAGAUAAUAUCAUUCAUUUAAUCAGUAAUCUCAUUUGCAUGAGUAGUAAGGCAUUCCAUAUCUCUAGGAGGUUUUUAGUAUUAUUUUCAUUACUUUUAUGUUUAUGGUAGUCUAGAUAAUAAUGGAGUUCAAAAACUACUAGUAAUUGAAAAUUUUCCCUGUGGGAUCGACCUUUAAUACCCUAUACUCGCUCUCGACUCGUAUACUUGCGAAAAAUCACGUGUGCGGUAUUUAGAAUUUAUAAAUGUAAAACUUGACUGUAGAUGAACUAAUUGAUAUAUGUAUACCCCGCACUCGUCAGUAACCAGCUUGUAUUGAUCCCAUUAUUGUGGAUAAUUGUGCUCUUAUGAAAAAAAAUUAUAAAAAAAUUAGCAAAAUUUAUGAUAACAAAUUAAAUUUAUUCAUACAAAUCAGUGAAAGAAGUAGAAUUUUAAAGACCAUGAUGAAAUUAAUACUUUCAAGGGCUCUAUUAGGAAGACUUCACUUGUUGGUGAAACUACACUAGCACAGUUAUAUGCACAUUUACUGUUUUGGUAUCUAAUUUCCUUGCCUUAAGUUGGGUGCAGAUGUUUAUAUUACAAAUAGAUGGUAUCAUAAAAUUGUUGUAUUCACGUUUGUUCUUUUUUUUUCUUCCUUAAGUUUUUUUCUUUAUUCUCGUGACUUCAAAAAUACGAACUCAAGAAAUUGGCUGCUUAAUCAAUAUGUCAUACAGGCUUCGCUAGUGAGGUAUAACUUCACAACUAGAGUCAAUAGAAAUUAUCAAAUGAUUUUUUAACAUCCAAAUUAAGCAAUAAAUUUUGUUUUCAUUUUAUGACAUAUAAUAGUACUACUUCAUGAGAGAUUUUAUAGUUUCUUUUAGGUAUCAUACCUACAAGUGAUAUUUGUCAUUGGAUAGUGACAGAAGUGUUAAUGAUUGUAAGAUUAAAUAUUGUUAAAUAUUGAAAUUUAAACUAUUUAUCUUUAUUGAAAGAUACAAGUUAAAGAAUCGUUCAAGGGGGCAAUUUUCCAUCUUGUCUUUUUGAAAAAACGCUAUCACAUUGUAUAGGCAUGAUAGGUUCAAAUUUGUCAUUAAAUUUAUGAUUGAUUUCCCUUUUAUUCAAGCCAAAUAUUGUUUUAAUUAUCAAAUUCUACUUAUAUUUGGUUAAUUGUACUAAUUGUAGGGCGGUAGAGCAAAAGUUGCUAAAAAUAGGUGAUUUUCUGCAAAUUGGUUGUCAAGGCUGAAGGAUUUGGGAUUCGCAUGUUCAAGGCCUGUUUCCAAGUUUGAUUCAAACUCUGGACAGUUUUAGAGGAAGAUUUGGAAGAUUUGAAAUUUCAUUAUUAGUUUUAUGGUUGAAUUAGGAAUCUUGGAAUAAUUUCUUUUGUGAUUUAUUUUUCUAUUUAGGAGACUAGUUGUUAUUUAGUAGUAGACUUCAAUUAGAAAACAAAGAGAAAAAGAAGGCCGGAAUCCCGCUUGAUUAAUACCUUGGCCAGGGAACAAUCUCGGUGGGGAGGACGGCCACUUAGCCUCUCAAUUCAUCUUGCUUUUCGUUAGUUUGAGAGGAAAACCAAUUGCAACUAGAUUCAAUGGAGUCUGGCAGAAUUUCUUCUAGGAUGCGUAGCUAAAUCCUCAAUUUUUAGUCGAAGGUCAAUUUGAAAAUUCGGUUCCAAAUAUCUGUGAAAUCGAAUUAUUUUACUUAUUUCUUUUAUUUAUUGGUAUUCGCACGUUUUCUGAUUUAACUUUUUAUGAUUGUUUUGUUAUUUGAAUGUCAAGGGUCCGAUAUUCGAAUUAACUUAAUAAUCUACUGCCAAAUUAACCGGUUAAAUCCGUAAUUGUUUGAUUGAUUAAUAUCAGUGGCGACUAGCGUGAUUGGUCCCAUGUUAGGAAAACGUCUGAUCUAAUUUAAACAAACCGUCGUAGCGUGUUUGUUGAUUAGGGUUGGACUUUUCUAAUUCUUAAUUCAAUUGAGAAAUUAAAUCUCCCGGUCGUACCUAAGAUUAUUUUUUUGUUAGCGAAAUAGUUAAUGGUCGUACCUUGACUAUCGAAAAAGUAAGGAAGAGUUGAUUGUUUAUCGCGUGUACGACAACUAUAAUCAAUCUAUUAAUGAGUAAUUGAAUUAUCUUUGCAUCAGUAAUCAGUUGAAUGGACCGUGUCUGAAAAGUUGUACCUUUGGCUAGAGUCUUAUCUGUUGUUGAUUCAUUCAUAUCUAUCUUCAUGCGUUGUUUUAAUUUAGUUAAUUAGUUAUUUUUAUAAAAACCCCUCAUCUCUGGACUCUAAAAGAAAUAAAUUAUUUCUAGUUCCUGUGGAUUCGAUCCUACUCACCGCUAUAUACAAAAUUUGUAUUUUUUUGAAUAAAUAAUUAUUAUUACACAGGCUUGACACCUGUCAAGGCAAAAUUUCCUUAACUUCAUCAUCUGUAGACGUAAACUUUCUACGGGUGAUAUAAUAUAAGGAAAUUUUGCCUAUACGAUGUGAUAGCAUUUUUUCAAAAAAGACAAGAUGGAAAAUUGCUCCCUUGAACGGAAAAAAUCAUGAUCUUUCCUCAAACUAGUCUACUAGUCAAUUCUUUACAAAAGAAUACUCGCUCCUAAACAUAGCCUGUUCAUCUACACUGUCCCGCAGAAUUCUAGAAAGUUAGGCAAAACUAGACAAGUUGACAGGUAUAAUCAUACCCAAGAUCAGGAACAAGCAGUUGCACAUUUCAAAAUUCGCUGCUGCAACAGCUAAUUUGAUGACUUACAACACUACACGGUCAAACUUUGAAUGGCAAUGGAUCUUUUGUUGUACGUCAUGAUGUAAUUUUCAUGUUACAUACAUUAAUAGGUUGAUAUCUAUAUUCUUUAAAUUAUCAUGAUAAUACCCUUAAUUAGAUUUAACUGAUAAAAAGAACACGUGUUAAUAUACAAAAGUGUGUAACGUGAAUGUUACAUUACUGUAUUGCAGAAGACCUAUAGUCUCUUCAUAUCUCUUCCUGCACGUAUCAAUUCGUUUCCUCUAGAUAAUAAUCUCCCAACUCGUUUCUUUACAAAUGCACCUUUUAUGUUUUAUUACCUCCAAAAGCCUUUACAGGGUCUUUACCCUAAAAAUCAAUUCACCGACUCGCAUUUGAUGUCAGAAAUUCUUAAGACGAAUUCUACUUUACUCAAAGAUUGACUGUUAAUAAUGAGACAGCGACCAUUUUGUAUUAUUAGACCGUCCUUCUUGAUAGGUAAAAGAAAUAGAGAGGAAAGUGGGUCCGUAUAUGGUCUUUUAUUCAUAGAUAAUACAACAUUACGCCAUCGAGCAUUCACACAAUAUUUCAAAGUCAUAGCAUGCCUAAGGCCCUGUUUGAUAGCUCAAUUUCGUAAUUAAAUUUAAUAGAUUCAAAUUUUAACACAUUUAAAUCAUUUGAUAACAAAAAAUUGAAUAUUUAAAUUAAUUAAGUAACACUGAACUUUCUAAACAAAACUUGCUUUCAAAAUUAAGUGAUAAGUUAUUCACUUAUCUUUGAAUGUGAUAUGCACUCAAAUAUAUUAAAUUUAAUAAUUUAAUGGAUUCAGAUUUCAGAUUUCAGUUUUAUUACACACCCUAAGUUGCAAAAUAAUACCAAAACUUGUUAUUAUAUAGCUUGAGAUUCAAAAAUUUAGAGCAUAAUUCUCAACCUAACACAAUCGAAUAAUGAAUAUUCACGAUUGUUUCAAAGUACAAUUUGAGGACAACCCAUUCCAACGCGUACACGAUUUUUAACUUUUCUAAAGUUGUUGAGAGCUGUUAAAAGAGAUUUACCAUGUUUACAUCUUCCAAGUCUUGGAAGUGAAAAAUGAAGCCACUGAGUGCUAUAAAAAGGGGGCUAGAGGCUGCCUAGAAGCAUAUCAGCCUAAAACAAGAAUUUGUAGUAACAAUGGGGAGCAAAGCAAAAGCAACGGGGUCUAGGCUGACUCCUCUUCUUACCACUGUUUUAGUGGUAUUUGUCGCCCUUGGCUUGCCCUUGGAAACUGCAGCUGAUUAUUACAAGUAUUCAUCUCCUCCUCCUCCUCCUUACCACUAUUCUUCACCACCACCUCCAGUGUAUUCACCUCCACCAACCCCUGCUUAUAAGUUACCCCCACCAUCUCCUCCAGUUUACAAGUCCUCACCACCACCUUACCACUACUCACCACCUCCGGUGUAUUUACCUCCACCAUCUCCAGUUUACAAGUCACCACCACUACCCCCUCCGGUAUACAACUCCCCGCCUCCACCAGUGUACAAAUACAAGUCCCCACCACCACCUCCUCCAGUUUACAAAUCUCCAUCGCCACCAGUUUACAAAUACAAGUCACUCCCACCACCUCCUCCGGUAUACAAGUCUCCUCCGCCACCUGUUUACGAGUACAAGUCUCCUCCACCACCUCCUCCAGUGUACAAGUCCCCACCACCUCCAGUUUACAAGUACAACUCACCUCCACCUCCUCCCCCAGUUUACCUGUCUCCACCUCCACCCUAUCAUCACUACUACGGUUCUCCUUCUCCUCACCACUACUAAGCAAGUGCAUAAGUUUUGAGGUAAUAAUACCUAUCCAAAACUUUAUCAACACAAACUGCCAUGUAUAUUAUCAUGCUAAGGACGUACACUUGAUCCAUGAAAAUGACUAGUAGAAGAUUUUUUUUAAGAACCAAAGAAAUACAUUAUUUUUUCGGUCUGUUUUCAAGAAUUUGAGCAGUAUACAGAUUAAAGAGUGUUUUUUUUUUUGUAAACUUGCUUGUCAACUUAAAAAUGCACAUAGCUGAAAGCCAACUGAAUAUUUGCAGGCAAAGGAGAAGGCAAUCGGUGUUUGAGACCUUCAAGAAGAUGUAGAAGAAUAAGAAUAAAAGCCCAAUGCGAGGAUGAUUCCAAGUUUCUACGUUACCAUUUCUACAUCUAAAUUGACUUUAGCUCCUGAGUUCCAUGUUUAUGGGGUUUGUACCGUUUUACGUACCAUGCAGUACAUGCUUGCAAGGUUUUCUGUCCUGUUGGCAAACUGCAGGUCCAUAUAAUAAAUGAAUACUAUUUACAUUACGACACUUUUCUCUUUUUCUCUUAUAUUUUGUCUUUAAUAUUGUUGAUCAUUUUUUUUUUAUCAAAAGCAUCAAAUGCUUAGGUAAUUUGGUCUAAUGCUAAUUGUUUUACUUUUAUUUUUCACCUACACCCCUUUUCAACUCAAAGGAUGCUAUAGUUUGUGAUAAUUGUUUAAGACCGAAGCAUGAUACUAAUAAAUAUCUCAUUGAAAGUCAAGGAAACUAACAUUAGGAAAAGUUUAAAUCUUGAUUUGAUGAAACUAUUUAUUCGUGGAAUUUAGAGAUACAAAACUCAAAUUGUGACGGUGUUGUUGCUAAAUUAUUAAGGACAUUAUCACCAUUAUUUUUCCCUGAUCACUAGUUUCAACUGCAAUGAUCUCAAUCUUUUUGUGACUAAUUCUUUCCUUAAUAAUUUAUAAAGACAAAACUCACAAAGAAUAUGUGACUAAUUCUUUCCUUUCGUCUUCUAAAGAAAAUGCCAACUGUUAGUUUAUCAAGGGGAAAAAGGAUCGACAUCAGUUAUUAUUGAAACUAGUAAGGAAUAAAUAAUGGUGAUAAUGUCCUUAAUAAUUUAACAACAGCACCAUCAGAAUUUGACUUUGAGCUUCGGUCUUAAACAAUGAUCACAAACUACAGCAUCCUUUGAGUUGAAAAAGGAAGUAGGUGAAAAGAAAAGUAAAAAAUACAAUUAGCAUUCCCUCAAAUUGUAGAAAGUUAGGUAGCAUUAUAGACAAGUUGAUAGCGGCAAUUUUACAUUUCAAACUUCACCUAUUCAAUAACUAAUUCGAUGGCUUGCUACAUGGUCAAUCUUUGGACCCCUUCCUGCCUCCAGAUAUCCCUUUCCUCAAUCAGGGGCUUCUACAAUUACCAGUUUCAAUUGUAUGGUAUAGUGUAAAUAUCAACAAAUUAGAUGUAGAUGCUAACAUAAUAAAUGUGAAUGCUAAGACAGCAACAUACAAUCGAACCUGCAAUUGUAUGAACCCCAAUCUCGCUUCCUAGUCCACCAUCUUUCUCUAGGUAAUAAUCUCCCUUCUAAUUUAUUCACAAAAUGCACCUUUCAUCACCUCCAAUAGCGUCGACAUGAUCUUUACCCUAGAAGACUAUUCACCGACUCUCAAUUGACGUCAGAAAAUCUAAGAGUAAUUCUACUUUACCCUAAGAUUGAUAUCAACAAGACAAGGACAAUUUAGAAUUAUUACACGCCUCUUCUUAAUAGGAAAAAGAAAUAGAGAAGAAAGUCAGGCCAGGUCUAAUUUCUUUUCAAAGGCAAUACAACAUUACGAAAUCAAGCAUUCAUUCAUACAAAUAUUUCAUAGUCACCGGUUUGCUGAGUAGAAAAAUUUAGACAAAAACUUAAUAUUAUAUUGUUUAAGAGUUAACAAUUUAGAGCUUAAUCUCCUUGUACUUUGGAGUUAACAAUUUAGAGCUUAAUCUCCUUGUACUUUGGACUAAACUUGAACGUGAAAGGAAAUCCCAAAACCAUAUUGGGCAUGAAUUCACACUUAAUAUACCCAAUAAAAGAUGGCGACUGGUGAAAGGCAGUGGAGACUGGUGGAGAGAUUUGAGGAAUAGAAGCAGACGGAAAAGCAACAAAUUUUUGCCGAAAAACGGUCACUUUCAUGGUUAAUUUUGCUACUCUCCAAUUGUACUUGACCAAUUACAACAAUUUCAUGGAGUUUGAUACGUGAAAAGAAUUUUUUAUAAAUUUUAUUUUGAUCCAUAAUGUUAUCUUUACAUAUAUAAAACAUUUUACAAUUUUGAUUUUGGCGCAGCUAACUUUUGGUUAACAAAAAUGCUCAUGUUUAAAAAACCAGAAAUAAAACAAAACAAGAAACAAAAGAAAUAAGAGGGUAGCAUAGACAUUUUGGAUUUUUCCGUUAAUUUGGAUGAUUUCCACCCACGUUCUAAUUUAAUCCAAAACACAAAGGAAUUACGUAGAGGUUUUAAAUAAUGAGGGAGCUUCAUGAUCGAACCCCAAACCACAAGGCGAUUUACUAUAUUUUACUCUUAAAUUUUGGUUUCAUCUCAUAGCAUACAAGAGUUCUAUUUCACUAUCUGUAGACAAAGACUUUCUAUGGUUGAUGUACCAUAGGAAAAAAUCUGCCUAUACAACGUGAUAGCAUUUUUUCAAAAACACAAGAUGGAAAAUUGCCCCUUAAACGGGGAAAUUCAUGAUCUUUCGUCGAACAAAGAAUACUCACGCCUAUUCAAGAUGGAAAAUUGCCCCCUUAAACGUCUAUUUGUCAAUUCUUGAAAAAAGAAUACUCACGCCUAAAACACGGCCUCUUCAUCUGCAGAAUUCUAAAAAGUUAGGUAAACUCUAUAAACAAGUUGAUAGGUACAAUCGUACCCAAGAUCAAGUACAGAUAGUUGUACAUUAACUGCUGCAAUAACUAAUCUGAUGACUUAUAAACAUAUCAUGGUCAAUCGUUGAAUGGUAAUGAGUCUUUUGUUAUGCAUUAGUAUUAGUGUGUACACUCUAAUAGAUUGAUACUUAUACUCUUUAAAUUAUCAUAAUAAUACCCUUAAUUAACUUUAACUCUUAAAAAGAAUACAUGUUAAUACACGAGUGUGUGUAACCUGAAUUGUUACUUAUAAAUUAGUGUGUAAUAGAUAGGGAUGGCAAUGGGGGCGGGUGCCCGCGGGGGGCUCUCGGGGCGGGGGUUGGGGCGGGGGGGAAUUUUUUCCCCCCGUUUAGAAAUGGGGCAGGGGACGGGGGAGUAUACCCCCGCCCCAUCCCCCGCAAAAAAAAAAUUAUAUAUAAUAUGUAAUUUAAUUAGUUAUAAACUUAUGAUAAUGAUAUUAUUAGUUAGAUGUAUUAUAUAAUGUAUAUUAGUGUAUGUAAUAUAAUUAAUAUUAUCAAUUAUAUGAAUAAUUAGACAUGUCUACUAAUAGAAUUUAUGAAUUAGUUAUACUAAAUUUACUAAUACAUUUAUACUAAAUUUCUAAUUACACUUAAUAGAAUAACACUUUUUUCUAAAACAAAAAAGCACAAACACAAUAAUGAAUUAGUGAUUGUAUGAUAGGGUGUAAUUUUACUAUUUAUUUUAUUAUUAAUUUCCCCUAUCACCUGACCUGAUGUGGAUUAAUUGCUGGAUUCUGCUCACUUUUAGUACUUUGUAUUUAUUUCAGGGAGUAGAACGGAAAUUUGAUAACAGGUGCUAAUUUGGCAGAAAAAGAGUCCAGAUGAUAGAGCUUGCCCCAAGGGCAUUUUUGGAAAGGAGAACUUGUGCCCAUCUUGGUAAUUUGGGAGAAAAGGGAAACAGACAAAAUGGGUCUAACAUGGAUUGGAAGCGGCCGCACAGUAGCAGGGAAGAGGGCAGACGUAAAAGCAAUUGCAGGGGGGAAAAGGAGUUUUUUUAGUUUUUAGCUUAGCAUCUGAUUUUCCCUGGGAGACUUUUGUUAAAGAUUUCCUUUUGGCUGAUAUUACGCAUGGCAGAUGGCUUUUAACUUAUUCCUCCAUCUUUGACUUUUCUUCUUUAGCUUGUGGCAGUGGAUUGCUACUUACGAAUGUCAGCACUUAGCCAUUCGUGGCUUUUGAUCUUUUCUUCCUUAGAAAUUCUGAGUAACCUCUUUUCCUUUGUGCGCCAGACGAAGUGAAAACUAUAAACUUUUGUAGUUUUUCUAUUCAUUCAAUAUAUUGAGACGAGUUGGAUUCUACCAAAUUUCAACGGACAUGGCCGCUGGUUUCUCUUCAAUUUUAUAUGGGCUUUGUUCAUCCAACAUGAACUAAUUUCACCACUCUAGUCAAGGAGCAACGAAGGCUCUGAUUUGCCUAAAAAUUGUGAGAUCGUUUUAAUUUAAUCUUUUCCUUUUAUUUAUUGGUAUCCGCACAUUUCUUGAUUGCUAUGCUUAUGGUUAUUUAAUUAAUUGAUUGUCUUGGAUCCAGAUAAUUAAUUGAUCUGAUAGCCUAUUGUCAAUUAGGGCAUUUAAAUCCGUAAUUGUUUAAUUGUCCUGAAAUAGUGACAACUGGCACGAUUAGAUUCGUGCCAGGGGGGAUAUGCGGGCUAAUCUAAAAUAACCCUGGUAGUGUGUUAUUUGGUUAGAAUAGGGCUCCUCUAAUACUAAGGCAAUUGGGGAAUUAAAUUCUACGGGCGUACCUAGGAUUAUUUCUUAAUUAGAGCAGUGAUUAACGGGCGUACCUUGAUCACCGACACAGUAAGGAGGGGUUGACCGUCAUCGCUUGUUUGGCAGUUAUAACCUAUUUAUCAGUAAAUAAUUGGGAUUGCCUUGCAUCAAUGAUCAAUUAGGUGAACCAUUGUUGAAGUUACUUCUUGGUUAGAUCUUUAGUUAAUAUUACCUUGAUUUUGGUGAAUUGCCAUUUGAUUUUUAGUUGCCUACUUUAUUUUAUUUUUAAUUGUUUCCUUGCUUUAAUUGAGUUAGGCCUUUAAUUAUUGUUAUUCUAAGUUUAGUGAAUUGUGGUUUAAUUCCUAAUUAGUUAUUUAUUUUUACUUUCUUAUUUGAAUUUAUUUGCUUGUUAUCAUUCCUACGAAAUCACCCCCCUGUGUUACUUUGGAUUUCUUAAGAAACAAAUAUACCCAAUCCCUGUGGAUACGACCCUACUUGCUCUGUUCACGAAUUCAUAAUUAUUUGUGAAAAGAAAUAACCAUUCCACUCGGGUAUAUCGGAUCAAGCAAAUUCUUCGGGAACAGGGUGAAUCAAGUAACCCAAUGCACACCUAGAGUCCCUGCUCCAGUACUUGGAAUUGGGUUUUGGUCAUUUUAACUGGCAAUUAGGUUUAAUUUUAUUAUUGCACAGGCUGACGACCCUGUCAAUUUUUGGCGCCGUUGCCGGGGACUGGCGUUAUUAUUUGUUUCUUUUUAAAUUCAUUCUUUGUCCUAAUUUUCUGGUUUUCUUCUAGUGUAUGCCUCGAUCUUCUCGUACAGGUAAUUUGAUUUUUGACCCUGAGGUAGAGAAGACCGCAUGUAGAACGAGAAAGGAAACCAGACAGCUCAGAGAAGAGCACUCCAGUGCUACAUCUCAGAGACCCGAGUCAGAAGUUGAACUAACAGAUUCGUUUGGUAACACUUCGAGUGACUCUGACCAGGAGGAAGACACCAUGGCUAAUGCACGAACAUUAAGGGAGUUGGCUGCUCCUGAUUUAACUCAGCAGCCUUUAUGCAUUACUUUCCCCACUUUAAAUGAUAACAUUCCAUUUGAACUAAAAUCUGGUCUGAUUCAGCUUUUACCCUCUUUUCAUGGUUUACCAGGUGAAGAGCCGUAUAAGCAUCUGCAGGAGUUUGAUGUCGUGUGUAAUAGUAUGAAACCCUCGGGAAUCACAGAAGAGCAGAUAAAAAUGAGGGCAUUCCUCUUCUCCUUGAAAGAUUCUGCGAAGGACUGGCUGUACUACCUGUCACCAGGUAGCAUCACCACGUGGGACCAAUUGAAGAAAAAAUUUUUGGAUAAAUAUUUUCCUGCGUCCAGGGCUGCAAGUCUAAGGAAAGAAAUUUGUGGGAUCAAGCAGCAUCCAGGGAAGUCACUUUAUGAGUAUUGGGAACGGUAUAAGAACUUGUUGCGCAGGUGCCCCCAACACCAAAUAAGUGAGCAAUUGAUCAUACAGUAUUUUUAUGAGGGGCUCCUUUUUAGAGACAGGAGCAUCAUUGAUGCCAGGGGGGAGGGUUGGGAUGGGUGGUACGGGGGGAGGGAGUGUAAGCAAGAGGUCUCGGGUUCGAGUCCUCCCGCUUACACACAAAAAAAAAGAUGCUGCAAGUGGAGGGGCACUGGUAAACAAAACCCCUCAGGAAGCACGGGAGUUAAUAGAGGGGAUGGCAGAGAAUUCACAACAAUUCAGUACAAGAGAGGAUGUCCCAAUACGUAAGGUGAAUGAGGUAGAGACACCCUCUAUGCAGCAGCAGCUAACUGAGUUGACCGCGUUUGUUAGGCAACUGGCUGUGAGAAAUGCAUCACAAGCCAGGGUGUGCGGGAUUUGCACUGGUAUGGGUCAUUCUGCAGACAUGUGCCCAAUGAUUCAGGAAGAAACUGCAGAACAGGUGAACAUGGCUGACCACGCGCCCGCGCCAAGGAAGCAGUACGACCCUUACUCAAGCACCUACAACCCCGGGUGGAGAGAUCAUCCCAACCUCAGUUAUGGAGAAAAUAGGCAGCCCAACAUUACACCGAACAGGCAGUCUAACUUUGUGCCAAAUAGGCCACCAGGGUACCAGCAGCAAUAUCAACCCCGACCACCUCCGUCCCCAAGCUCUGGCCCAUCUUUGGAGGAGAUGAUGAAACAAAUGAUGACAACUAUGGCUCAAAAUCAGCAAAUGACGGAGGCAACCAUUAUGCAAAAUCAGCAAAGGACGGACUCCGAAAUGAAGGAUAUAAGGAAUCAGAUAAGUCAAAUGGUCACAACAAUCAACCGUUUGGAUUCCCAGAACCAAGGUAAAUUGCCAUUUCAGCCCGAAUUAAAUUCGAAGAACGUGAGCGCAAUGACCCUAAGGAGCGGGAAAGAAAUUCAGGGGUCUGAACCUGUGAUCCCUAAGGAUAAGGAUGAGGAAAAGAUCGAAAAUGAGCUUGAAAGGGAGGACAGCAAUGGUGCAGAUCUAAAGGUACUUCCUGACCCAAUAAUUACAGCUAAAACUAACCCGCCUCCUUUUCCUAGCAGGUUGGAAAAAUCGAAAAAAGAGGAUAAGGAGAAGGAGAUCUUGGAGGUUUUUCGCAAGGUUGAGAUAAAUAUCCCCCUCUUAGACGCAAUCAGACAAGUACCAAAAUAUGCCAAGUUCCUAAGGGACUUGUGUGUCAACCGAAGGCAGUUGAGGGAAGAUGAACGGGUUAUUGUUGGGGAGAAUGUGUCAGCAGUCCUGCAGAGAAAGCUCCCACCAAAGUGCGGGGACCCAGGUAUGUUUACUAUUCCCUGUAGGAUAGGUAAUACUGUGAUAGAAGGGCCAUGUUGGAUCUGGGAGCAUCAAUUAAUCUCAUACCUAAAUCUAUCUAUGCUUCUCUAAAAUUAGGUCCAUUAAAAGAAACUGGAAUAAUCAUUCAAUUAGUUGACCGAACUAAUGCAUAUCCUGAUGGGUUGGUUGAAGAUGUGUUGGUAAAAGUUAAUGAUUUGAUGUUUCCAGCUGAUUUUUAUGUACUUGAUAUGGAUGAUGAUCACUCCCCUGAUCCCUCACCUCUGUUAUUGGGUAGACCCUUUAUGAGCACAGCACAGACGAAAAUUGAUGUUAAUAAGGGUAUCUUGUUCAUGGAGUUUGAUGGGAAAAUUGUGCAUUUCAAUAUCUUUGAUACUAUGAAAUAUCCCUCAAACUCCAACUUUAGCACAGUUUUCUCUGUGAGUGCUAUUGACCCUGUAGUGCAGGAAGUGUUUGAAACUGAUGGCAGGGAUGAGUUGGAGGUGGCUUUGACCAAGCACCUCGAGUUGGAGACAACUCCUGAGGUGGAAUGGAGCGAGGACCUAAAAUGCACAAUAGGUGCAUUACACUCAUUGCAGUCCACCACGAAAAGGUAUGAAGUCUUACCUAUUUUUACUCCCGAACCUCACCAGAGGGUGUUGCCAUCUGUGGUGCAGGCACCUGUACUAGAAUUUAAACCUCUAUCAGAGCACCUGAAAUAUGCAUAUCUGGGUGAUAAUGAGACACUCCCGGUGAUUAUCUCAUCGACACUGUCAAAAAUCCAGGAGGAGAAACUGAUCCGGGUCCUUAGAGAGCAUAAAGAGGCGAUAGGUUGGACAAUCGCAGAUAUUAAGGGGAUCAGCUCGGCCAUCUGUAUGCACCGGAUUAGACUAGAAGAGGAUGCCAAACCUGUUAGGCAGGCUCAAAGGAGGCUCAACCCCCUAAUGAUGGAAGUUGUAAAGAAAGAAAUUUUAAAAUUGCUAGAUGUGGGGAUUAUUUUUGCAAUAUCAGAUAGCCCUUGGGUAAGCCCGAUCCAGGUAGUCCCAAAGAAGGCAGGGGUGACGGUGGAGGCAAACCAAACGGGUGAGCUCGUGCCAGUGCGCAAACCCACUGGAUGGAGGCAGUGUAUAGACUACCGUAGGCUAAACGCCGUCACCAAAAAGGACCAUUUCCCUCUCCCUUUCAUUGACCAAAUGGUUGAACGUUUAGCUUGUAGAGCUUAUUAUUGCUUUUUGGAUGGAUUUUCAGGAUACUUUCAGAUAGCAAUUGCUCCAGAGGAUCAAGAGAAGACAACCUUCACGUGCCCGUUCGGGACCUUUGCUUAUAGACGAAUGCCAUUUGCGUUGUGCAAUGCACCUGCAACAUUCCAGAGGUGUAUGGUAAGUAUUUUUUCUGAAUAUGUGGAGAAAAUUAUUGAAGUUUUCAUGGACGAUUUCAGUGUGUAUGGUGAUAGUUUUGAUACGUGUUUAGAUAAUCUGAAAUUGAUCCUGAUAAGGUGUAUAGAGACUAAUCUUGUGCUUAAUUGGGAAAAAUGUCAUUUUAUGGUUGAGCACGGGAUAGUCCUGGGUCAUAUUGUAUCGUCUAAGGGCAUAGAAGUUGACAAGGCUAAAAUAGAUAUUAUUUUUGCAUUACCUUACCUCGCGAGUGUGCGGAAGGUGCGUUCUUUUCUUGGACAUGCAGGUUUUUAUCGAAUGUUCAUCAAGGAUUUUUCAAAAAUUGGAGCCCCGUUAUUCCAACUCCUACAAAAGGAUGUGACCUUCGAAUUCGAUGAUAAGUGUGAGGAAGCCUUCAACAAGUUGAAAGAAUUGUUGACCUCACCCCCAAUUAUCCAGCCCCCUGAUUGGAGUCUACCAUUUGAGAUCAUGUGCGAUGCCAGUGAUCAUGCCGUAGGGGCUGUAUUGGGGCAAAGAGUAGGGAAGGCAGCUCACGUCAUCUACUAUGCAUCCCGAGCAUUGAAUGGAGCCCAAUUGAAUUACUCCACUACUGAAAAGAAGCUUCUUGCAGUUAUUUUUGCUUUAGAAAAAUUCAGGUCAUAUUUGCUAGGUGCUAAAGUAAUUGUAUUUUCUGACCAUGCAGCAUUAAGGUACCUAAUGACCAAGAAAGAUGCCAAACUGAGGCUCAUUAGGUGGAUAUUGCUACUGCAGGAAUUUGACCUGGAGAUACGGGAUAAAAGGGGCUCAGAGAAUUUAGUAGCUGACCAUCUGAGUCGUAUACCCGUUGGAGAGGAUAAUGAACCAUUGAGGGAUGCGUUCCCUGAAGAGCACUUAUUUUCUUUAAAUUCUCAGUUGCCUUUGUAUGCCGAUCUGGUCAAUUAUUUGGUAACUGGUAAUUUUCCUGCAGGUUGACCAAAAUCGAAGAGGGAUAAAUUGAAGAGCGACGCCAAGUAUUUUAUUUGGGACGACCCGUACCUAUGGAAGAGGUGUGCAGAUCAAGUGAUGCGGAGAUGUGUAAGUGAAAUGGAAUUUCAAUCGAUUUUAGCUUUUUGUCAUACUUUUGCCUGUGGAGGUCAUUUGGACCCAAGAGAACUGCUCAUAAGGUUUUAGAAAGUGGAUUUUAUUGGCCUUCAUUGUUUAAGGAUGCCUAUGUGUUUUGUAAGUCAUGUGAUCGCUGUCAAAGGGUAGGUAAUAUACCCCGUAGAGAUCAAAUGCCCCAAGUCCCGUUGAUUUUUAUUGAAAUUUUUGAUGUCUGGGGUAUAGAUUUCAUGGGGUCUUUUCCUACUUCAUUUGGUUUUUUAUAUAUUUUGCUGGCAGUUGAUUAUGUGUCUAAAUGGGUGGAGGCUAAGGCCACUCGAACUAAUGACUCGAAAGUAGUUGCAAAUUUUGUCAGGUCUAAUAUUUUUGUGCGAUUUGGAAUGCCUAGUGCUAUUGUCAGUGAUAGGGGAACGCACUUUUGCAACAAAAUCAUAGCUGCGUUGUUUCGCAAGUAUGGUGUACUCCAAUGGGUCUCAACGUCGUACCACCCUCAGACCAAUGGUCAAGCGGAGGUGUCGAAUCGAGAGAUCAAGUCUAUCUUGGAGAAAAUGGUGCGCCCCGAUAGGAAAGACUCGAGUCAAAGGCUGGAGGACGCACUUUGGGCCUAUCGGACGGCGUACAAGACUCCUAUAGGGAUGUCACCGUACAGGUUGGUAUUUGGGAAGCCGUGUCACCUUCCAGUGGAGUUUGAGCACAAAGCUUUUUGGGCGAUAAAGUAAUGCAACAUGAAUUUAGAGGAAGCCGGUGCCCAACGAAAGUUGGAUUUGCAAGAAUUAGAAGAGAUCCGGAACGAGGCUUACGAAAAUGCACUAAUUUAUAAGGAGAGAAGCCGGAUAUUUCAUGAUCAACAAAUUUCAAGAAAAUCCUUUGAAGUUGGUCAGAAGGUCCUACUAUACCAAUCCAGGCUCAAGCUAUUCCCAGGUAAACUACGUUCCCGUUGGAUUGGACCUUUUCUUGUUACUCAUGUUUUUCCAUAUGGUGCAGUUGAAAUCCGGAGCGCUAAAACAGACAACAAAUUUGUGGUGAAUGGACACCGUCUCAAGCAUUACUACGAAGGAUUUUCAGGUGAAAAGGUGGAGACAAUAAGUCUAGACGCGCCACCGUGUCCUAAUCAGUGACAUUUUACUAUGUCUAGCCAAAGACAUUAAAGACAGGCGCUCAUUGGGAGGCAACCCAAUUGUCCCUUUUAAUUAUUUGUUUGAUUUCGUGUGAUAGUUUAAAUAUGUUUUCCUUGAAUUCGACUGAUUUUGGGUUUCAGUUUUCGUUUUUGCUGAAUUGUAGGUGACCUUCAGUCUUGACGCGCCCGCGUGAUGACAUGCAGGAAGCUCACGAUCAGAAUCGUCUGAAAGCUCUCUUGCCCUUUUGACGCACCCGCGUGAUGACGUGCAGGAAGCUCACGAUCAGAAUCGUCUGAAAGCUCUCUUGCCCUCUUGACGUGCCCGCGUCACGUUCGCAGGAAAGGUACGGGUUUCAAAAAUUUAAAGAAAAAAUAAUAAUAAUAAUAAUUUAAAAUUUUGAAAUUAACUUCCGUAAAAAAAAAAAAGAAGAAAAAAAAUUUCACCGUGGCUUAAAUAGAGCCUAAAGAAGAGAAAAAAGAAACAAUUUCUUUCUUUUUUUUUUCUUUUUCUUCUUUCUUCCUUCUUUCUUUCUUUCUUCUUUCUCUUUUCCCUCUCUCUUCUCCCCUGUUUCUUCUCCCCUGUCCGUCGCCCGUGCGCCCCAUCGCUGCUCCACCUCCACACGCACGCCGACGCUGCGAGCCACCUGCGACCCCAGCGCCAGAUCUGGACCAUCGCCGAAACCCGCAGCCUCCGCCACCUCCACCUGAGCUCUGCCUCGCGCGCAACCCAGCUGCUCUGCGCCCGAAGCUCCACCGCCGCCACAGCCUCCCCACGCAGCUCCCUGCUCACGCGGCCACAAGCCCAUUGGAAACGGGACAGAGACUGCCGCCGAGCCACUUGCCCGCGUGACCGCCGCUGUUUUCCACCACCUCCCUCACGCGAGCUCUUUCCCUCUCAGCAGCAAUCCACUUCACAGCGCACCCGCUGCGCGCCGUCGCAGCCCUCGCAGCUCCAGCCCGUCUGGUCUAGUCCGCCGCGCGCACCAACCACCCACGGACGCUACCCCCAUCGCUAACCCACGCGGCCUCCACUCCAGUCUGUCCGCCGCCGCUGCUCGUGUCUCCCUUGCGCACCUCACGCCACCCGCUACUGUCCCCUUCCGUUUGGUUAGCAUCCACGGUGGAGGUAAUUGGAGGUUAUUUUCUCAAUUGUGUGACUUCCGCCUGUGAUACUGGUUGCAUUAUUUUUGCUGGGAAUUGCUACUUCUUUUGGGUUGGGUUCAACUGUGCAAUUAAUUGGCCAACUGGAGCCAUUUGUUGGGAUUUUGGGUGAGCUGAAAUACUGCAUUUGUGUGUUACAUUGGGAGGUUUAUUGGGUACAUUCUAACCGCUGUUUUCCAUUGUUACUCUCGCUGGGGUGUCUAUUAAAUUGCGAUUGAAGUAUUUUGGAUAUUGCAUGUUGAGAUUGAGGUUUCAUUGAAUUUGGCCUACGUUCUGCCCCCAGUGGUACUGGUGGGAAUAUUUUCAAUUGAAUUUGUUACCUCUAGUUGGUUGGCUACAUUAUUAUGGUCGAAUUCCUAAGUUGUCGUCAUUGCAUUUGUUGAUCUUGAUUUGGGGCAUUAACCGGCCAACUGGAGCCAUCUGUGCGUUUUUAGGCGCUAUUAUUGGUUUCUUCUCCCUUAACUUUGUCAACUAUAUUUGGUUGGGUAUUUGGUUGACUGCCACGGACUUGUAACUGUGUUUUGCUUCUAAUUGACCAGUUGCACAGCAGUUUUUUUUUAAUUGAUAGGGUGGUUAUACCUCUGGAUAUUUGUAUCCACUGGUUUGAGGACAUGGUGAGACCAAAAUCCUCCUCUAGGUCUAGGACCCCUAGAACCUCGCAAUCCCAACCCCAAGCCUCUACUCUAGUCAAUACCCCUAUAAAUCAACCUACUGCUCCCGGUGUCCGAACCUGGUUAGGUAGGGGUAGAGGUGCCCACGUGGCUUCCGCCACUCACUUGGGAGGGCAUUUGGAAUUCACUAGAGCCGCCGAUCAGCGACGCUAUGCUCAAGCUUGUGAGCGGCGUAUCAUUCCGUGCAAAUGCGCGGACCACAUUACUAUGGUUUUUCUGGGGAUCCAAGGGGAGGUUGAGCGCAUGUACACCGCCAUUGGAUGGCGCCCCUAUCUGGAUAUUUUCCAGCCAGCCUUUGUCGAGUUGACUAGAGAGUUUUACACCACUUUUAAGUUUGAAUUACCGACUAGGUAUACUGUUGCGACUCCCGAUAUCAUUCACUUCCGUCUCAUGGGCCAGGAAUUCAAUUUCUCUAUCACCCAGUUCAAUCUGGCUUUCGGUUUCAUCACUCGGGAGUAUGCAGAGACUAGGGAAUACGGUGAGAGUGCCUGCGAUUUUGUGGAACCUUUCCUUACCGCCUACCGUGAGGUGUGGGAGGACAUGUCUGUGGACAUGCAGCGUUACGAUCCCUCUCGGUCUCGGAGCUCCUUUCUAGAGGACCCGAGUGCUCGGUAUGUUCAGCGGCUUUUAGCAUAUAGCUACUCGGGCAGAAAGAACAGCUUCGGUAUUAUCUCUCGGCCGGAGCUCUUCUUCCUUUGGUGUAUGAAGAAUGGGUUCAAGGUCAAUUUGGGUUGUUGGUUGGCGGCACAGUUCAAGACCGUCAUGGCAAAGAAGAACAAGCCGUUGAUUCUUGGGUCGUAUAUCACGUACUUGGCGGUCCAGCUAGGCGUUCUGAAUCUACAGGAUCACGAUUUGCACUUGGCCUGCGACAUGGAGUAUCUCACUGCUGACCGGCUAGAGAAGAUGGGGGUUCUGGAGCUUGUCGAUGGCCACUACCGAUUUGUGCCCCCGGGACCGCCCCGCGCCCCGCCUCGCUCUUCCUCCACCCAUUCGGCCCCAGUUGGCGGUGAUCCUGGCCCGUCGACAUCCGCUCAGCUCCCUCCACCAGCAGGGGCUGAAGAUUGGCACCAAAUCAGGACGCAGAUUCAGAAUUUGGACGCCCGGAUGAUUAGCAUCGAGAGCAACGUGGCGGCUAUAUCACAGAAUCUGGCGGCAUUCCUGCAGCACUCGGGUUUCCCGCCCCCAAUCCCACCUCACCCUCCACUAUGACCCGGUUUCAGGGAAGUUUGGUUACUUUCUCCCUCACUUUUGUUGUUUUUUGACACAUUGAGGACAAUGUGUCCUAUAGGUGUGGGGGGGUCUAUAGUCUUUCUAGUUUUUAGUAGUUGUUAGUUUUUAGUUUUUUAGUAGUUUUAGUUUUAUUUCUAGUUGCGUAUUUUCUUUCUUUUCUUAGUGCUUAUUCCCCAUGUGAAAAGAAAAAGAAAACAAAAAAAAAGAGAAAAAAAUGUUGGUUUAUUGACUCUAACUCUACUUUUGCCAAGUUUUUUUUAAAUAAAAAUGUAUCGGGUUAAUGUGGUUGGAUCCAGAAUAUCUCCCUGGUGAAUAUCGGAUUGCUUGGCUCUUUUGAUUUCUGUGUUAAUUUCUCUAGGCAUAGGGAAUGACUGUUGGCAUUUUAAUGUGAACUGGUCCAAUAUUGACUCCAGUUCUCUAUGUUUGGCAAUAAUGAGGCGAGCUGUUCCUAUUUUUGGUUCUUAGUGUUGUUAUUAUGUGUUUUUGGCUUUGUUUGGCUGUGAAUAAUCUGGACUGUACUCCGCUAUGAGUUACUACUGAGUAACCGAGGAUCGGCACCUAAAAGUGUCGAUUCUCGCGUCAAAAGGUGGUACUUUAUAUGAGUACGUGGUCGUAUAGCAGUAGGAGCUGAGUAACCGGGCUCCUUCAUCUAAAAAUGUUGGAGUUCGCGUCAAAAGGCCCCGACGGCUAACGACUAAGUCUUUUUGUGUUAAUUAUUAUUGCUUUGAAAAACAAAAAAAAAAAAGAACGAAAAAAGAGAGAAUAAAUAAUAGGAAGGCUUGCCGGUUUAUGGACUUAAUAUGGAGACUUGUGUGAAUAUUUGGACCAUUAGCUAAUAAAUGUUGUGCGCCAUUCCCUUUUCUUAGAGUAGUUAACCUGGAAAUUGAAGGAAUUUGCAGUUUAGGGGCUAACCGGGGGGGAGGCUUCUUGGAUUUUAAUCACCAAUGCUCGAUAUAUGUUUUUCUCUUGAAGAUCUUGGCAAUAUAGGAGAUUGGACAAUGGCCAUCAUCGAAUUUUGGUGUUCGUUUACUAUUCUUAUGCUUGAGGACAAGCAUGGUUUAGGUGUAGGGGGAAUUGAUAGGGUGUAAUUUUACUAUUUAUUUUAUUAUUAAUUUCUCCUAUCACCUGACCUGAUGUGGAUUAAUUGCUGGAUUCUGCUCACUUUUAGUACUUUGUAUUUAUUUCAGGGAGUAGAACGGAAAUUUGAUAACAGGUGCUAAUUUGGCAGAAAAAAGUCCAGAUGAUAGAGCUUGCCCCAAGGGCAUUUUUGGAAAGGAGAACUUGUGCCCAUCUUGGUAAUUUGGGAGAAAAGGGAAACAGACAAAAUGGGUCUAACAUGGAUUGGAAGCGGCCGCACAGUAGCAGGGAAGAGGGCAGACGUAAAAGCAAUUGCAGGGGGGAAAAGGAGUUUUUUUAGUUUUUAGCUUAGCAUCUGAUUUUCCCUGGGAGACUUUUGUUAAAGAUUUCCUUUUGGCUGAUAUUACGCAUGGCAGAUGGCUUUUAACUUAUUCCUCCAUCUUUGACUUUUCUUCUUUAGCUUGUAGUAGUGGAUUGCUACUUACGAAUGUCAGCACUUAGCCAUUCGUGGCUUUUGAUCUUUUCUUCCUUAGAAAUUCUGAGUAGCCUCUUUUCCUUUGUGCGCCAGACGAAGUGAAAACUAUAAACUUUUGUAGUGUUUCUAUUCAUUCAAUAUAUUGAGACGAGUUGGAUUCUACCAAAUUUCAAUGGACAUGGCCGCUGGUUUCUCUUCAAUUUUAUAUGGGCUUUGUUCAUCGAACAUGAACUAAUUUCACCACUCUAGUCAAGGAACAACGAAGACUCUGGUUCGCCUAAAAAUUGUGAGAUCGUUUUAAUUUAAUCUUUUCCUUUUAUUUAUUGGUAUCCGCACAUUUCUUGAUUGCUAUGCUUAUGGUUAUUUAAUUAAUUGAUUGUCUUGGAUCCAGAUAAUUAAUUGAUCUGAUAGCCUAUUGUCAAUUAGGGCAUUUAAAUCCGUAAUUGUUUAAUUGUCCUGAAAUAGUGACAACUGGCACGAUUAGAUUCGUGCCAGGGGGGAUAUGCGGGCUAAUCUAAAAUAACCCUGGUAGUGUGUUAUUUGGUUAGAAUAGGGCUCCUCUAAUAUGUAAGGCAAUUGGGGAAUUAAAUUCUACGGGCGUACCUAGAAUUAUUUCUUAAUUAGAGUAGUGAUUAACGGGCGUACCUUGAUCACCGACACAGUAAGGAGGGGUUGACUGCCAUCGCUUGUUUGGCAGUUAUAACAUAUUUAUCAGUAAAUAAUUGGGAUUGCCUUGCAUCAAUGAUCAAUUAGAUGAACUAUUGCUGAAGUUACUUCUUGGCUAGAUCUUUAGUUAAUAUUACCUUGAUUUUGGUGAAUUGCCAUUUGAUUUUUAGUUGCCUACUUUAUUUUAUUUUUAAUUGUUUCCUUGCUUUAAUUGAGUUAGGCCUUUAAUUAUUGUUAUUCUAAGUUUAGUGAAUUGUGGUUUAAUUCCUAAUUAGUUAUUUAUUUUUACUUUCUUAUUUGAAUUUAUUUGCUUGUUAUCAUUCCUACGAAAUCACCCCCCUGUGUUACUUUGGAUUUCUUAAGAAACAAAUAUACCCAGUCCCUGUGGAUACGACCCUACUUGCCCUGUCCACGAAUUCAUAAUUAUUUGUGAAAAGAAAUAACCAUUCCACUCGGGUAUAUCGGAUCAAGCAAACUCUUCGGGAACAGGGUGAAUCAAGUAACCCAUUGCACACCUAAAAUCCCUGCUCCAGUACUUGGAAUUGGGUUUUGGUCAUUUUAACUGGCAAUUAAGUUUAAUUUUAUUAUUGCACAGGCUGACGACCCUGUCAUUGUAUUUGUACCAAAAGUGAAAACUUAACUAUUUUAGUUGUAUUUAUUUCAUCAUGUUGGAUUGUAUUCAAAUAAUUUUUGUUUGAUUGUUUUUAUAAGUUUCAAUUGUAAAAUUAAAAUGAAUAAUAACUUGAUGAUGUGUUGAUAUUUUAGUACUUGAUUAUUUAUUAAAAUUUAAUUAUAAUAAAAUUUUAUUAACUCAACGAGAAAAAUUUUAUUAAUCCCGUGGGGGCACCCGCGGGGAAAGCGGGGCGGGGCGAGGGGAGUGGGAGGCGGAGGACGGGGCGGGGGCGGGGGAUGGGGGAGGGGUCCCCCGCCCCAACCCCGCCAUCCCCCGUCCCGUUGUCAUCCCUAGUAAUAGACUGGCAAGCAUUGUGGUGGUCAUUGAGCAACUUAUAGGAGAAAUAGUCCUAUAAGCUGUUCAAUGACCAAUCACAACUUGCUAAUUGGAUGACUAAUAUAGCUCUAGCUGUAAUGUUUUAAUUAAAUUACAUCACUAACGUUGGGAUGACUUUUUAACCAAAAAAAAAAAGCCUUAGUUCAAGCUUUUCCCUUUAUUGUGCAUUUUUUAAAGCAUUUGAAAGGCACUGCAAAUCUGUCAUUUUGGACAUUUUAUUAUUGACUAACAAUGAAAGCCGUGGACGUCUACCCAUAACCAACACAAGAUUAAAUUAAUAUUAGAAAAAAUAAUUGAGUAAUUGGAAAAAAAAAAAAAAGAAGAGUCUAAUUUUCAUUGAAACCCACCGACAAACUAUACGUGUCCAUGGCUUUUGAAUAGUGCAUUCAACGUUUAAUUGUAUGGUCCAGUUCAUUGCAGAUUACAUGGAGUAAAGAUUGCGCUCUUUCCUUUUCACCCCUUUUGGAAUCGAUACUGUGGAGAAUUGGGUUUUUCCCUCCUUUUUUUCUUUUCUUUCCUUCUGUGGUUUGCAAAACAUACGUAAAAAUAUGAAAUCCGAAGCAUUCUUUAAUUGGUAUUAAGUAUUGUUGUUGAAAUUAAAAAGAAAAAAGAAAGAACAACAAAAUUCCCAAUCUGGGUUGAUUGUUGAGCUCUAGAUUGGUUGCAUCGUGCUUCCAUAGAAGCAAGAUUUGUAAAAUCGGAAUCCUACAUAGGAUCGAUUUUAGUUUCACAGGAUCGGAUUGUAAAAUCGUAAGAUCCUACCAAAAGCUCUCAAUUGCAAUUAAAGGUUGCAAUUCUUUAAUAAAUUACAAAUAUACCACAAAUAUUUUCAUUUACUUGCAAAAUGGAGCUUCGUAUUUCACAAAUUUACAAAAAAAUUGUAGGAUCGUACGAUCCUACCGAUCCUACGAUCCUACACGAUCCUACCGAUCCUGCUACGAUUCUAUGCGAUCCUACAAAGAUUAAUAUGAUUUGCGACUCUGCAUACGAUCCGGAUCGAUUUUGGUUAUCCGGAUCGUAGGAUCGUAUGAUCCUACGAUCCGGAUCGCGAUUUUGACAACUAUGCAUAGAAGCUCUCUUAGUGUGAUACACUGCUUUCAAUCAGUUUAACACGGGAAAAAAAAAAAGAGAUGAAAAGCAAAUUUGGUGGAGAUAAUUUCAGAAACCUCCCCUGAAGAUUUUGACUAUUCUACUGGUUUCCCUUCAGAUUUUAAAAAUUACACUAAUCUUCCUUGAAGUUAAUUAUCUUGUAACAUUUAAAUUCAAUCAAUAAUUUAAAAAAUGAUAUUAUGAGAGAGAAAAUAAUAUGAUUUUAUCAUUGCCCCCCAUCUUACUACAUUAUUUAAUUAAUUUAAUAGCAACCCACACAUUAAAGAAAAAUAUUAAAAUUUGUUGUUUAUCAUUAAAGAUCAAAUCGCUUAUAACAUCAAAUAAUAGUAUAUUAUUUAUAUUUUUCACUUAAUAUAAUAUCCAAAUUACUCUUUUCAAUUACAUACCCAUUGUUAGAGAAUCAACAACAAAUAACCAAAAAAUUUGCAACCAAAAUAUUACAAAAAAAAUAAACUUUAACAUCAUAAAUAUUCUUAUCAACAUAUUAAAGUUAGUUACUGAAAUUUUUAUGCUGUUAAACUUCACUCUUUUUGAAUACAGAUUUUUUUGAUUAUUUGUUAUUAAUUAUGUUUGAUGAUGGGUUUAUAAUUGAAAAGAACAAUUUGAAACUUACAUUAAGUAAAAUAUAUAGAGUGAUAUACUAUUUUUUAUAACAUAUGUGAUUCAAUCCUUCUUGAUAGGAUUGGUAAUAGAGGUAGAGGGGGGAGUCGGCUGCAUCCGGUCUUCUUUUCAUAGAUAGUACAAUAUUGCGAAAUCAAUCGCAUUCACACAAUAAUAUUUCGAAGUCAAUGCAUGGCUAAGUUGCAUAAAAGUACGAACACUUGUUAUUAUAUAGCUUAAGAUUCAAAACUUUCGAGCAUAACCCUCCACCCAACACAAUUGAAUAAUGAAUAUUCACGAUUGUCAAAUCUGUCAAAGCACAGUUUGAGGACAACCCAUUCCAACCUGCAAAAGAUUUUUUACUUUUCUAAAGUUGUUGAGAGCUGUAAAAAGACUUACCAUGCUUGCAUCCUCCGAGCCUUGGGAGUUAAAAAUGAAGGCACUGAGUGCUAUAAAAAGGGGAAUAGAGGCUGCCUAGAAGCAUAUCAGCCUAAAACAAGAAUUUGUAGUUAAGAUGGGAAGCAAAGCAAAAGCAAUGGGGUCUGGGCUGACUCCUCUUCUUGCCACUGUUUUAGUGGUGUUUGUUGCUCUUGGCUUGCCCUCACAAACUGCAGCUGAUGAUCACUACAAGUAUUCAUCUCCUCCUCCUCCUUACCACUAUCCCUCACCACCACCACCAGUGCAUAUACCUCCACCUCAUCCUGUUUACAAGUACAAAUCUCCACCACCCCCACCACCACACCCAGUUUACAAGUAUAAGUCACCACCACCACCUCCUCAUCCGGUAUACAAGUAUAAGUCUCCUCCGCCACCACCACACCCAGUUUACAAGUACAAGUCACCACCACCACCUCCUCAUCCGGUACCACACCCAGUUUACAAGUAUAAGUCACCUCCACCACCUCCUCAUCCGGUACCCACAGUUUACAAGUAUAAGUCACCACCACCACCUCCUCAUCCGGUAUACAAGUAUAAGUCUCCUCCGCCACCACCACACCCAGUUUACAAGUAUAAGUCACCACCACCACCUCCUCAUCCGGUGCCACACCCAGUUUACCACUACAAGUCACCACCACCACCUCCUCAUCCGGUACCACACCCAGUUUACCACUACAAGUCACCACCACCUCCUCACCCAGUUUACAAAUACGAGUCUCCACCACCACCAGUUUAUAAGUACAAGUCACCACCACCUCCUCCACCAGUUUACAAGUAUAAAUCUCCUCCACCACCACCACCAGUUUACCACUACAAGUCUCCACCACCUCCUCCCCCAGUUUACAAAUACAAGUCUCCACCACCUCCUCACCACUACUAAGCAAUUGCUUCUGAGGUAAUAACACUUGUUCAAUAUACCCACUUCUGCAUGAUAAAGCAUAUCUCUAUCAACACAAACUGUCAUGUCUAUCAUGCUAAGUGCCUUCACUUCAUCCACCAAAAUGACUGCUAGAAAAUUUUUUUUAUGUUACCAAAGAAAGGCAUCAUUUUUUCCCUCUGUUAUCAAGAACUUGUACAGUAUAUAGAUUAAAGAGUAUUUUUUUAACUAGCUUAUCAACUGAGAAAUGCAUAUAGCUGAUAGCCAGCUGAAUAUUUGCAGGCAAAGGAGAAGGAAACCAUGUUUGAGACCUUCUUGAAGAUGUAGAAGCAUAAGAAUAAAAGCCCAAUGUGAAGAUGAUGAUUUCAAGUUUUUCUACGUUACCAUUUCUUUAUCUAAAUUGGUUGUAGCGCCCAAGUUCCUUUGUUUAUGGGAUUUGUAUCGUUUUACGUACCAUGCAGUACAUGUCAUGUUUGUAAGGUUUUCUAUCCUGCCGGCAAACCGCAGGUUCCAUGUGAUAAAUGAAUACUAUUUAUGUUACGACACUUUUCUCUGUUUCUCUUAUAUUUUGUCUUUAAUAUUCUUAAUCAUAUUUUUAACAAAAAUAUUCAAACACUUAGGCAAUCUGGUCUAAUGCUAAUUGUAUGUUUUACUUUUCUUUUUCACCUGCUCCCCUUUUCAACUCAAAAGGAUGCAAUAGUUUGUGAUCACUGUUUAAGACGGAAGCAUGAUACUAAUGAAUAUCUCAUUGAAACUCAAGGAAACUAACAUUGCGAAAAGUGUAAAUCUUGAUUUGAUGCAACUAUUUAUUCGUGGAAUCUAUAGUUACAAAACUCAAAUUCUGACUGCGCCAUUGAUAAAUUAUUAAUGACGCUAUCAUCAUUAUUUAUCCCUAACUAGUUUCGACUACAACUGAACCCAAUAUUUUCCCCAUGAUAAAAGUUUUUGACUAUUUUACUGGCCUCUCUUCAAAUUUUAAAAAUUACACUAAUCUUCAUUGAGAUUAAUUAUCUUGUAACAUUUAAGUCCAAUUAAUAAUUAAAAAAUGAUAUUAUGAGAGAGAAAAUAAUAUAAUUUUAUCAUUGCCCCCCAUCUUGCUAUAUUAUUUAAUUAAUUUAAUAGCAACCCACACAUUAAAGAAAAAUACUAAAAUUUGCUGCUUUUCAUUAAAGAUCAAAUUGCAUAUGCCAUAAAACAUAGUAUAUCAUUCUAUAUGUUUCACUUAAUGUAAGAUCCCAAUUGUUCUUUUCAAUUACAAACCCAUUGUCAAACAUGAUCAAUAACAAAUAAUCAAAAAAUUUGCAACCAAAAUAUUACAAAAAAAAACUUUAACAUCAUAAAUAUUCUUACCACCUCUAGUGCAUUCACCCUCAUAAAAUAAUUCAAGACCCUACUGUCAUAAAAUGACUGAUCAACUCCUGUAAACCUAAUUUGACAACAUUUAAAUGGAGAACUUUAGCUAAAAGAAUUAUGGUCAAGCUAAAGAAAAAACCAGUUAUUUUCCAACAUAUGCAACCAUUGAUCAGGGGAAAAAAAAAAGCAAAAAGACAUCUUCAAUCAUUUAAUAGCUUACAGGGCAAAUUAACCCUUGAGUGAAAACUGGUUGCUCUAGAAUUAAAAUUUUACCUUAGUUACCCAGGCAACUUUUUUGUUGCCUUUUCUUUUUCUUUUUUGGGUAUAUAGCUCCAGUUUUGCCCCCUCUGUCAAGCUUAUAUAAUUAUUAAGAUAAUAAAAGUGCCUUUAAUAGUAUUAAUAUAUCCAUUGACUUGAGCUGUCAUCGAUCGGUUUGGGCUACUUCGAUUCCAUGAGAACAAAUGGUAAUAAAAGUACUCAGAAAAUGGGGAGUCAUGAAACCCUUUUGUUCUAUUCAUUGCUAAGAUGCUUUUCUCUAUAAAGAGACUUCCUAACGAAAAUACUUUGUAGAUUUCUUUACUCCAAGUGGUGCAUGGAAAAUUAAUAUUUUCAAUUAUCAAAUAAAAUUCCCUUUUUUCGGCGUAGAUUUCAUCCAUCCAGCUGUUAACACAUUCUAUAAAUCCGAAUUGACUAAUCUUUUCGUUUCCAUUUUCCAACUUGCGAAUACGGCAUAUAGUGUCUGCUAAACACUAUAUAUUCUCUGCCAAAUAUGAAUACAUAUCACUUUUCUGAGCAAGUGCAGAGUCAUUAUCAUUUUUAUUCCCACCUAACAAAUUAGGGAUAAAAAAGUUAAUAAUCUUUACAUGCUAUCAGGUCACAAGUUAAUAAUCUUUUAAAGAACAUGUUAAAUUAAUUUAUUGGUAUGAAUAGUAGUCAAAGAAGUAUGUUAAAGUUAGUAAUCUUUAAAAUAAUAUGUUAAAAUCAUUCGUACAAAUUAGUCAGAGAAGUAGCAUAAACACCGCGAUGCAAUUAAUACUUUCAAUCUCAAGGUCUCUAUUAUGGAAAUUUGCAUCGGUCAAUAUACACUUGGCAUAAUAUAAUCUCCCAACUCAUUUCUUUACAAAUGCACCUUUAAUCACCACCAAAAGGUGUGGACAUGAUCUUUACCCUAGAAAACUAUUCACCGACAGGCAAAUUGACGUCAGAAAUACUGAGGAAUUCUAGUUUCCUUCGGGUUCAUGCCAUGUUGUAUCCUUCAACUGUAACUCGAUUUCUAAGCUGUAAUUUGUGACAUAAUAGUCCUUAAACUAUGAAACCCUUCUUACUUAAUUACAAUGGUUAAUACAAUGCCCGUGACUAGACAAGUAUGAAGCAACCAUAACAGAAAAAAAAUCCAAAAUUAGAGAAAAGAAAGAAGUUUCGCGACCACCACCAGUUUACAAGUCACCUCCACCACCUCCUCCAGUUUACAAGUCACCUCCACCACCUUACCAUUAUUCCUCACCACCACCUCCAGUGCAUUCACCCCCACCACCACCAGUUUACAAGUCUCCGCCACCACCUUACCAUUAUUCCUCACCACCACCUCCUGUGCAUGCACCUCCACCACCAAUUUACAAGUCACCUCCUCCAGUUUACAAGUCUCCACCACCACCUUACGAUUAUUCCUCACCACCACCUCCAGUGCAUUCACCCCCACCACCACCAAUUUAUAAGUCUCCCCCACCGCCUCCCCCAGUAUAUAAGUCACCACCACCACCUCCUCCAGUAUACAAAUCACCUCCACCACCUCCUCCAGUUGACAAAUCUCCACCACCACCAAUUUAUAAAUACAAGUCUCCUCCACUACCUCCUCCAGUGUACAAGUCAUCACCACCACCUGCUUACAAGUCUCCACCUCCUCCAGUUUACAGUUCCCCACCACCACCAAUCUACAAGUCUCCACCUCCACCCUACCAUUACUACUACAAUUCUCCUCCUCCUCCUCGUCACUACUAAGCAAUUGUAUCCAAGUUUUUGAGGUAAUAACGCUUAACCAAUAAAUUAACUUUCGCAUGAUAAACCUUAUCUCUAUCAAGACAAACUGCCAUGUGUAUCAUGCCAAAUACGUACACCUAGAUCCAUGAAAAUGAAUGGUAGAAAGUUUUCUUAAGAACCAAGAACAGCAUUAGUAUUCCCUCUGCUUCCAAAAACUUGUGUAUUAAAUAGAUUAAUGAAUUGUUUAACAUGCUCAUCUACUUGAAAAUGCACAAUACCCAUAACCCACUGAAAUUUUUGCAGGAAAAGGGAAAGAGAAUCUGUGUUUGAGAGCUUCAUGAAGAUGUUGAAGAAUAAGAAUAAAAGCCCAAUGCAAGGAUGUUUUCAAGUUUUUCUAUGUUUCCACUUUAAUUUGUAAAUUGAAUUUUGCGACUCAAUUAAUUCCCUGUUUGUGAGGUACGUAUUGUUUUACGUACCAUGCCGUACAUUUUUUUUUUCCAACAAACGGUAUCAUGUUAUAGAUAUUAACACUUGACCUUACAAGGAUUAGUUACAAAAAGGGGAUACUACCCUCAACUCUGUCCUAGCUAAAUCAGUCAGCCAUAUUGGGAAAUUAGUUUCCCAUUCAAUAUCAUGUACAAGCUUCACAGCAUAUUGUGCUAAUUGAUGGCUGAUGUGAUUUUCAGUUCUAGGUAUAAACACAAAAGAACAUUUUUCAAAAGCUAGACUAAGUUCCUGCACAUCUUCUAAGAUAGUUGCAGUCGUGUAGUCAUACUCCUUGCGUUUAGUAAUCUGCUCUACCACUGAUUUGCAGUCUGUAUGGACUAUAAUUUGUGUCCAACCUGCUUGGGUAGCCAUCAGCAGAGCAUUUCUCACAGCCCGAGCUUCCACUUCACUUGCCGAUCCCUUUCCCUGUGUGACAAUUCCUUUUGCUUUCAAAAGCUGUCCUUUCCAAUUUCUUGCUAUAAUCCCUUGUCCGGUCCUGACUCGUUUAGCUGAUAUCGCUGCAUCGGUAUACAGCCUUAUCUCUUCCUUCCUUGGCCGCACUCUCCUGGUAGGUAAGGCAUCAUUCAGCUUCCCUGCGAUCUCCUUCUGGUCUGUACUCCCUACCUGUUCAAACUCAAGCCAUUCCUCCUGUGCUUUCCUUACUAUUUUUACUGGAUCCUGGUUGGCUUGUUCAAAAAAUUUUUUGUUCCUGGCUUUCCAAAUUUGCCAAAGGAUAUUGAUAGUAAGACUAACUCUCUCCUGACCUUGGUUCAGUGCCAGCGAUUGUGUGACUUGUUCCCACCAUAACCAAAAGUUAUAUUGCAUACCCAGUAAUCCAUCCCACCUGACCGGUGCUAGCUUCCACGUUUCCACAGCCUUUUCACAGAAGAAAAACAAAUGCUCAAUAGUUUCCAUAUCUUCACCACAGCAACCACAUCUGCCUUCCCCUCUAUGUAGCCUUUUCGACAUCUGUUCAUUGACUGGCAGACAAUUUUGUAAGCACUUCCACAUGAAGUGUUUUAGUUUGGCCUUCACCUUCAAAUGCCAUAGCUGCUUCCACACAUUUCGUUUUCGUAUCUCCCAACUUGUUUCUGCCUCUUGGCCUGUCCUUGUACCUGCUUUUCCUUCCCGUUGCCUUGCUAAAGCAUAACCAGAUUUCACGCUAUAAAUUCCAGCUUUGGAAUGCCCCCAUACCAACCUAUCCUUUCUUCUUCCUAUACUUGUUGGAAUUCCCUUUAUGUGCUCUGCAUCUUUUGCACAAAACCACUUGAGAAGCAAAUCAUUUUUCCAUUUCCCUUCCUCUAUCAGCUCACUUACCCAUUCCAACUUGCAUCCCACAGGUUGUGUGGUUGAUGCAAAGCCGGUAUCUGAACCAACUAUCCAUCUGUCCCGCCACAUGUUGACUGACUUGCCAUCUCCAAUUCUUUUCCAAAGACCAUCAUACAGAAAGGAGGCUGCACUAUGAAUACUCUUCCAACACCAUGAGGCUGAAGAGACUGGCUUCUUGUCCAUCCAUUUUUCAUCACUCAUAUACUUCGCCUUCAUUACCUUACUUACUAACAAAUUUGGAGCCAUUAAGAAUCUCCAAAUUUGUUUUGCCAGUAAUGCUGUGUUGAAGGCCUCCAAAUCUCUAAAGCCUAAACCUCCUCUUCCCUUAACUUCUAAGAGCUUCUUCCAGCUUGCCCAAUGUACACAGGUACCCUUUUCUCCCUUCCCCCACCAGAAACUCGCUAUUUUACCUGUGAUUUGUCUACACAAACCCCUUGGAAGUCUAAAGCAAGCCAUCACAUAUGUUGGCAUAGCCAUAAUCACUGAUUUGACCAGAAUUUCUUUCCCUCCUUGGCUCAACAGUUUUUGUUUCCAACCUUGCAACUUGUUACUAAUUUUGUUCUGGACAAAUGCAAAGACCUGUGUCUUUGAUCUUCCAAUUGCCAUUGGGAGUCCUAGGUAGGUUCCAUUCCUUGCCUCUUUAAUGUUAUCUAAUACCUCCCUCACUCCAUUCUUCCUUUGAUCAGUGGUAUUUUUGCUAUAGAAGAUAGCUGACUUUUCAAAAUUCACCACCUGUCCGGAUGCUUGACCAUAUCUUUCCAAUAUGCUUUUGACCUUCCUCGCCUCCUGCUUGGUUGCUUGGCAGCAUAGUAGAGAAUCAUCUGCAAAAAAUAGGUGAGAAACCAUCGGACUGUCCUUGCAUAUUUUGAUCCCUGUAAUUUCCUUGUUCAUCAUAGCUUUAUGGAUCAAACAUGAAAGACCUUCAGCGCAUAUAAUAAACAAGUACGGGGAUAGGGGGUCUCCUUGUCUAAGCCCUCUACUCGGUUGAACACAGCCUACCUUUUGCCCAUUUAAGUUGAAGGAGUAAGUCACAGUAGAUAGGCAAGACAUGAUCCAUUUAACAAAAAUUGGACAAAACCCCAUUUUCAUCAUAACUCUCCCCACAUAUUUCCAUUCGACUCUAUCGUAAGCUUUGGACAUGUCCAGUUUAAGAGCCAUAAAUCCUACCCUUCCCUUUCUCCUAUUUUUCAAAAAAUGCAGGAUUUCAUGUGCAACUACUACAUUAUCAAGAAUUUGACGGCCUGGGAUAAAAGCGGAUUGAGAGGGACUAAUACAAUGAUGCAAGACACCUUUCAAUCUAUUAGCUAUGAUUUUAGAAAUGAUUUUAUACAGGACAUUGCACAAGCUAAUAGGUCUAAAAUGCACCACAGAUUCAGGAGUAUCAACUUUAGGAAUCAACGAAAUAAUAGUAUCAUUCACAGCUUUGAGCAAAUGCCCAGUAUGAAAGAAACUCUUAAUAGCUGCUACCACAUCAUCCUUGAUAAUAUCCCAAUAGUGUUGAAAAAAUAGAGGAGACAUACCAUCCGUUCCUGGUGCUUUAUUAGGGUGCAUCGAGAACAAAGCUUUCCUGAUCUCACUUUCCUCCACUUGUCGUAUCAGUUGUCCAUUCAUAUGACUCGAAAUAGUGCUUGGAAUUUCAGCUAGAAUGUCCUCAAAGCAGUCCGGGUUAGUAGUGGUAAAAAGGUCUUUAUAGUACUCACAAAGUUCCUCCUCAAUCUCAUGUUCCUCCUUGCACCAUGUCCCAUCUUUUUUCUGCAAUAUAGUGAUCUUAUUUCUCCUCCUCUUUGCCAUGACCGAAGAAUGGAAAAAAGCUGUAUUCUUGUCCCCUUCUUUGAGCCACUUGUUCCUGGAUUUUUGACUCCAAAACAUCUCUUCCUCUGCAUAAGCUUUAUUCAAUUGUGCUUUUAGUUCAGCCACUUGUACUCUUUUCCCUUCAUCCUUUCUUGCUUUCACUUCAGCCAAUUUCUCCUUUAACACUUUAAUUCUAACCUUUGAGUUUCCCUGCACCUUUUUCCUCCAAUCCAGAAUAGCCAUGCGACAUUCCUUUAUUUUUGUAGCCACUCUAAACAUCCUGGACCCUGACUUCACCUUUGUCCAUGCUCCUUGAAUCACCCUUUUUGCUUCUGGAUUUAGCGUCCAUCGUUGAUCAAAGUAAAAUCUCCGUUUUCUCCUUGUGUUUUCCGGGUUUGUAUCCACAAGAAGCAUUAGAUGAUCAGAGGCUUCAGUAUCUAAAUGAGUACACUGUGCCUUUUCAAAUCUUUGCAGCCAUUCGGUGCUGCAUAAACAUCUAUCCAACCUCUCUUUCACUUCCCCAUCCCCCUCCCAACUAUUGCACCAAAUCCACGGGACCCCUUGAUAACCUAAGUCAACCAGGUUAUUGUCUUUGAUAAACCUGUUGAACUCCCUAAAACAUCUUUCAGCUCUAUCCCUUCCUCCCCACUUCUCCUCACUAGACCUCAAAUCAUUAAAAUCUCCUACAAUGAUCCAGCCAUCCCCCCAGUCCCUCAUCCUGUCCUCUAAAUAUUUCCAUUGUGCUUUUCUAAUGUUACUAUCUGUGCUUGCAUAAACACACACUAGCCCCCAGUAUCCUUUAGUAUCCUUGUCCUCAACUCUAGCACUAAUACACCAAUCAGUACUUACAAUCUGGUCUAAAAUCACCUCAUUGUUCCAGAAUAAUGCUAGACCGCCUGCUUUACCUAUUGAAUUCACAAAAAAGCUAUUGUCAUACUGAAUCUUCCUUUGAACCUUGCCCAUAAACCCUUCCUGAUUCUUAGUUUCACAAAGGAACACCACCUUAGGAGAGUGGAAGUUAGUCACUUCCUUUAGUUGGGGACUUGUCAAGGGGCCUCCUACACCUCGACAAUUCCACACCACAACCUUCAUUUACACUUUGGAGGCUUUCCGGGGCUAGCCUCCAUUUCCCCUAUUGUACUAACAUUUAUUAGAUCCAGUUUCAUAACCUUUACCUUCGGUACAUUAUCAUCAUCCUCCUCUAUCGGUUGUGUUCCCUGAAACAUACCAUCAGCCUUCCUUUUAGCACACGAAACCUGCGUUACUUGUCCAUUUGUAUCUGCCUUUAAGGAUGUUUUAGCCGGCCUCCCUCUUCUUUUAAAACUGCUUCUUUUUUCAGCUUUGUUAUCUUCUUCCCCUGGAGUAGCCUCCUUUCUUGGCAUUCUUGCAUUUGUCUCCUCCUGCUUUAUUGACCCUACCCGCAAACUUUCACAUUCCUGUUUUGAGCUGUCCGUUUCCAUAUCCUCAUAAUCUACUGGUGGGAUUACGCUGCUCCCUCCUUUACUCCCUUCCUGUACCCUACCCUCCUUUUCACCAUUUCCCUCCAUUAAGACCACAGCCAAACUUUCCACCCGUUGGUUUGCCUUUCCAUACUGCCUGCUGUCUUUUAGAAUCUCAUCCCACCUCUCUUCAUAUUGUCUCGUCAUCAUUUUCUCCUUAUCCCCCCUUUCCUUUCCCCCCAAGACUCUACCAUUUUUUCCCCCAAGAGUUAAUGUAUCUCCAGCCAUUUGUACUCCAGUUUGAACUUCACUACUAGGAGACCCUGCCCCCACCCUCCUUGCAUCAAUUUCACUUACUCCUUCCAGCCGUCCCUUUAAGGGAGAUACCAUUAUAUUUCCAGCUCUCAUCCAGGCACCAUAUUGUUCCUCUCGCUUCUCCCCCCCACCCUUCCUACCACAGUACAAGUCCUAUCACUAUGCCCAAUGAUACCACACCUAUAACAGAAAUCAGGGCAGCGUUCAUACCUGAACUCAACCCACACUGCCUGGUUCUUACAGUUGAUCUUUGUCCCUCUAACCAGUGGUUUCGUUAUAUCUACCUCAGCCAUAAUCUUCAUGUGGCGACCCUCUUUCCCACCACUUCCUGGGAGAAUCACUCCCCUCACUGAUUUAAAGAUCCCUCCUAUUUUCAAACCCACUGCUCUGCUCAACCAGUGCACCGGUAGGUUCCAUAGUUGAAUCCAAAGAAAGGAAUGCUGGAAAAAGCUGCUGUUUGUAUCAUACCCCUCUACCCACUCCUUCACUAUCAGCAACUGGUUGUCCAUGACCCAAGGCCCUCCAGAUAAGAUCUUUUUCUUUUCCCCUUCAUCUCCCAGAUGGAAAUGGAAUAAGUUAGGACCUAACUCAGUCACUUUCAUCUUUGAGGGGUAUCCCCAUGCAUGAUUUGUAAAGUUCUUUAACCCCGUAAAGUUGGCAAUUUUUUCACCAAUCAGCUUUCCUACCAGGCUUCCUUGACACUCAGAGACGCCUUCUUCCAGGUCCUCACCACUCAGAUCGACACCUCCUAACUCUGUUUCAGACAAGUCAAAAUUUUGAAAGGCUCUUUCUAAAGCAUCCGCCAUUGCUGUGACGAGAGCUCCUUGAGAAACCAAGCACUAUUUCUGAGCUAUGAGUGACCCACUGACAGACCUGUGAAGAAUUGCAAAGACAGACAAAGCUGUGUUAUCCGUACACACUAAAAACCAACCAGAAAAACAGAGAGGAACUCGACAGAAAAAGCACAGGCACAAGAAGAAACGAAAGAAAAAAGAAAAACCAACAAACCACUAUCCCACUCCCGACCACAUAACAGCAUUAAAGAAAGGGACACAAAUACGACACUCCAACUUCCGAUCACAUGCUCUGACUCAAUGGAUCAUAUCUUGCCCAAAGCGUUUACUCCUCCAACCGAUUCCAAACCACUACAGACAUUGUCUCCCAUUUUGAAGCCGGAAGAAAGGUGGCUUCUGGACAGGGAACAUGAAAGCAAAGGUUGAACUAAAGAUUUGAUUUUAGAUCUGAAAAUUACGCUGUAGGAAAAAGUGCUAUGUGUUUGUACCUCACCCACUCUCCCACACCGAGGAGGGGAACCUCUAAAGUUAGAGAGAGAAGCUCUCAAGUUAGAGAGAAGCUUUGGAAGUUAAUUACCAACGUACCAUGCCGUACAUGUUUGUAAGGAUUUCUAUCCUAUUGGCAAAAGUCGGUUCCAUACAAUUAAUCAAUUCAUUUCACUUCUAUUGGCUCUACUAUUUAUGCAUGUUACGACACUCUUUCCCUUAUAUUUUGCCUUUAAUAUUAUGAGUCAAUAGUAAUAAUGGGCCUUUUUCUUAAAAUUAUACUAUUAUACAUAGGUAGUUUGGUCUAACGCUAAAUUCAUGUUUGUCUUUCUUUUAUUCCCUUUACAUCUCAAAGUAUACUAUAGUUUGUAAUCAUUGUGGUGAUGAUAUUACCAGCUGGUACUUAUAGUUUAAGGCAGAGACAUGAUAUUAACAACUAUCUCAUUGAAACAUAAGUCAAAAUCAUGACAAGUGUGAGUCUUGGUUAAUGCACAAUUUGUUAGUGGAAUUUAUAUUUAUAAAACUCAAAAAAAAUUUUUGACAAUGCUAUUACUAAUUAAUUAAGGACUUCAUUGCUAUAAUUUAUCGCUUACUAAUUUAAACUAUAAAUGAUCUCAAUACUUUUCUCCAUGAUGUCGAUUUCUUUAGACUACGAAAGGGAAAAAUUAGUGACAUAUCCCUUACUGAUUACAACAUCAGCAAAAAUUAGUUAUAAACUUUUCCGGUGGUUUUAAAUCCCUCGGGCACUAAGGUUUUUUGCACAUCGAGUGAAUUAAGGAACAUAGGCAAUUCGUUCUGCAUACCAAGUCCUUGUUUAAGAUGCACGUACUAAAAUGCAUCCACUUCAUUAAUUUGGAAAAUUGCCAUAGUUUUUUUUAAGCAUUUUGAUUUUUUACAUGAUUCAAAAUUUUCUUAUUGGAUACAAUCACUUUGUGUCAAGAACACAUUUUCAAUCAUCUUUUUUAUCUUCUCAAUAAGAAAAUAAAAAUUUAUUCAUGCUUUUCUAACAUAUCCAAUCAUUGAUCUGAAAAAUAAAGAAUUAAAAAAAAAAGACAUUUUCAAUCAUUGCUUACGGGGCAACUUCCCCAUGUGAACCUCAUCAAACAAAGCCAAUAAUAUGAAGGAACAUCUAAAUACACUUUUGCCCUAAAGGCUGGUUGCCUUGGGGUCAAAAUUUAACCUUCGGGAGUAUAAUUACCCGCCAAAUUUAUUAUUUUUUUUAUGGGUAUAUAGUUCCAAUUUUGCCUCCUGUUAAGCUUAUAAAUAUAUUACGACCCAGAAAAUAAAGGAAUCUUGAAUAGUAACAUGUCCAUUGACUUGAGUUGUUAUCAAUUUGGCUACUUCGAUUCCAUGAGGCCAAUCCAAUUCACACUAGCUAGAGAAAAUGGUGAUAAAGGCACUUAGAAAUUUAUAUGUAAUAUUGAUUGGUAGUAACUGAUAAGUAUAUAUUUUACGUGUUUUAAAUAUGUUUUAUUAGUUAGUUUUGGUGUGUUUUAACUACUUUUAUAACUAAUUAACUAGGAAUCUAGUGAAAAUAUGCAUUUUGUGGUUUGAAGUGUAAAAAUUGUAUUUCUAUGGAUUUUAAUGGUGAAAACUUCAUGUUUUUGUAGGUUUAAUGAUUCAAUCAUCAAAUGACAUGAUUUGAGAAGAUAAUUAGAUGAUUGAUGAUGUUUUGAAGUGAUAAAAAGAGAAUACAAAGUGCAAGAGAGGAAAUGCAAUCAAGAAUAAAAGAAGAAAAUUUUUGUAGCUUUGACAUAUUGUCGUAUUUCGGCAAUAUAUUGAGCUACAAUGAUCGGAUUAAGGUGAUUCUUAAACCAUUUGAAGCUAAAAUAUAGAUCUACAUUUGGCAUGAAGGCAUCGAAACCCAUGUCAGUCAUUUUCCUUGUCAAAAUGUUGAAAUACAGAAGUGCAACUCUGUUCUCGAAAGCUAAAACAGAGCUCUGGCUAGUCGAGGGUAUUUUCAUCAUUUCUUAGUCCACAGAGCUCCAAAUGAGAUGAUUCUUAAGGCAUUAGAACCCUAACUCAAAGAGCUACAACUUUCAUAUUUUGUACAAGAGUUAGUUCGGCCUCUAUCAUUAAGAAAAUAGUAGUUGAAGUGGUGCCAAAUGCAUAGAAGUGAAAACGCGAGCUAUCAAUACUCGACCUGAAGUCGCGUAUUCCUGAGGUCAUGCAUUCUCUUCUAUUUUCUGCAACUUGCCCUGCUUUCACAUAACUUUUUCAUCUCAAUUCCAACUAUCAAUUUCGGCUAUAUCUGAUCAAGAAAAGUGUGGAAAGUUUGAAAGACAACUCAUAGGAGUUUCAAGAGUCAAAAAUUACAAUUAGAAACAACUCAUUUGGCUCUUGAAUCCUCUAUAAAUAGAGGCCUUUGAAGAACAUUUUCACAACUUUGGAAGGUUAGAGAAACUCCACAAAAACAUAGUCUUCACUAGAAUUUCCUUAGUUCAUUAGUUAGGGUAGUAUAGUAUAGUUAGUGUAGCUUUUCCUUCUUGUAUUUAUAGUUAGGUUUGAAUGAAGAUUCAGGAGCAAAGAUAGAGAGGUUGAUCUCAUGUGACAAGGGUGAUAUCUCUUCUACUACUUUCUCUUUUGUAUUUGAUUUCAUAUUUAACUAUACUACAAAUUUGGCUUUGUUUUUUUUUUUUUAUCAUGUUUAGUUAAAGUUUAUGCCUAGAGUAUGGAUGACCUUUUUAUAUCUUGUUUGUGAUAUUUAACUGGUUAUUUGAUGAUGUUAUUUUUGAGCAAGUUAUUUAUCACUUUUGCUUUUCUAAUCAUGAUUAACUGGCCAUUAGUUGUGAUUAUCUAAAAGUGUUAAGUUUGUAAUGAGAAUUGGAGUUUAACACUAGUUCAAGGAAGUGAUAAAUUUAGGGAGUUCACUCAUGAGAGUAGAGGAACACCUUUGUGACCUAAGUGACUUGUUUCAUAUAAUUUCAUAGAAAAAAUGAACUUGUAAUUAAUUUCAUAACCACGAGAGUAAGUAUGGUUUAGCUAUAUGUAUAGUUGAUUCACUACGAGAGUAGGUUUCACAUACAUUAGAAAAUUACAUCAUAACUAGUCAAGAUAAUAUCAUUCAUUUAAUCAGUAAUCUCAUUUGCAUGAGUAGUAAGGCAUUCCAUAUCUCUAGGAGGUUUUUAGUAUUAUUUUCAUUACUUUUAUGUUUAUGGUAGUCUAGAUAAUAAUGGAGUUCGAAAACUACUAGUAAUUGAAAAUUUUCCCUGUGGGAUCGACCUUUAAUACCCUAUACUCGCUCUCGACUCGUAUACUUGAGAAAAAUCACGUGUGCGGUAUUUAGAAUUUAUAAAUGUAAAACUUGACUGUAGAUGAACUAAUUGAUAUAUGUAUACCCCGCACUCGUCAGUAACCAGCUUGUAUUGAUCCCACUAUUGUGGAUAAUUGUGCUCUUAUGAAAAAAAAUUAUAAAAAAAUUAGCAAAAUUUAUGAUAACAAAUUAAAUUUAUUCAUACAAAUCAGUGAAAGAAGUAGAAUUUUAAAGUCCAUGAUGAAAUUAAUACUUUCAAGGGCUCUAUUAGGAAGACUUCACUUGUUGGUGAAACUACACUAGCACAGUUAUAUGCACAUUUACUGUUUUGGUAUCUAAUUUCCUUGCCUUAAGUUGGGUGCAGAUGUUUAUAUUACAAAUAGAUGGUAUCAUAAAAUUGUUGUAUUCACGUUUGUUCUUUUUUUUCUUCCUUAAGUUUUUUUCUUUAUUCUCGUGACUUCAAAAAUACGAACUCAAGAAAUUGGCUGCUUAAUCAAUAUGUCAUACAGGCUUCGCUAGUGAGGUAUAACUUCACAACUAGAGUCAAUAGAAAUUAUCAAAUGAUUUUUUAACAUCCAAAUUAAGCAAUAAAUUUUGUUUUCAUUUUAUGACAUAUAAUAGUACUACUUCAUGAGAGAUUUUAUAGUUUCUUUUAGGUAUCAUACCUACAAGUGAUAUUUGUCAUUGGAUAGUGACAGAAGUGUUAAUGAUUGUAAGAUUAAAUAUUGUUAAAUAUUGAAAUUUAAACUAUUUAUCUUUAUUGAAAGAUACAAGUUAAAGAAUCGUUCAAGGGGGCAAUUUUCCAUCUUGUCUUUUUGAAAAAACGCUAUCACAUUGUAUAGGCAUGAUAGGUUCAAAUUUGUCAUUAAAUUUAUGAUUGAUUUUCCUUUUAUUCAAGCCAAAUAUUGUUUUAAUUAUCAAAUUCUACUUAUAUUUGGUUAAUUGUACUAAUUGUAGGGCGGUAGAGCAAAAGUUGCUAAAAAUAGGCGAUUUUCUGCAAAUUGGUUGUCAAGGCUGAAGGAUUUGGGAUUCGCAUGUUCAAGGCCUGUUUCCAAGUUUGAUUCAAACUCUGGACAGUUUUAGAGGAAGAUUUGGAAGAUUUGAAAUUUCAUUAUUAGUUUUAUGGUUGAAUUAGGAAUCUUGGAAUAAUUUCUUUUGUGAUUUAUUUUUCUAUUUAGGAGACUAGUUGUUAUUUAGUAGUAGACUUCAAUUAGAAAACAAAGAGAAAAAGAAGGCCGGAAUCCCGCUUGAUUAAUACCUUGGCCAGGGAACAAUCUCGGUGGGGAGGACGGCCACUUAGCCUCUCAAUUCAUCUUGCUUUUCGUUAGUUUGAGAGGAAAACCAAUUGCAACUAGAUUCAAUGGAGUCUGGCAGAAUUUCUUCUAGGAUGCGUAGCUAAAUCCUCAAUUUUUAGUCGAAGGUCAAUUUGAAAAUUCGGUUCCAAAUAUCUGUGAAAUCGAAUUAUUUUACUUAUUUCUUUUAUUUAUUGGUAUUCGCACGUUUUCUGAUUUAACUUUUUAUGAUUGUUUUGUUAUUUGAAUGUCAAGGGUCCGAUAUUCGAAUUAACUUAAUAAUCUACUGCCAAAUUAACCGGUUAAAUCCGUAAUUGUUUGAUUGAUUAAUAUCAGUGGCGACUAGCGUGAUUGGUCCCAUGUUAGGAAAACGUCUGAUCUAAUUUAAACAAACCGUCGUAGCGUGUUUGUUGAUUAGGGUUGGGCUUUUCUAAUUCUUAAUUCAAUUGAGAAAUUAAAUCCCCCGGUCGUACCUAGGAUUAUUUUUUUGUUAGCGAAAUAGUUAAUGGUCGUACCUUGACUAUCGAAAAAGUAAGGAAGAGUUGAUUGUUUAUCGCGUGUACGACAACUAUAAUCAAUCUAUUAAUGAGUAAUUGAAUUAUCUUUGCAUCAGUAAUCAGUUGAAUGGACCGUGUCUGAAAAGUUGUACCUUUGGCUAGAGUCUUAUCUGUUGUUGAUUCAUUCAUAUCUAUCUUCAUGCGUUGUUUUAAUUUAGUUAAUUAGUUAUUUUUAUAAAAACCCCUCAUCUCUGGACUCUAAAAGAAAUAAAUUAUUUCUAGUUCCUGUGGAUUCGAUCCUACUCACCAUACAAUCCAACCUGCAAUUGUAUGAACCCCAAUCUCGCUUCCUAGUCCACCAUUUUUCUCUAGGUAAUAAUCUCCCUUCUAAUUUCUUCACAAAAUGCACCUUUCAUCACCUCCAAUAGCGUCGACAUGAUCUUUACCCCAGAAGACUAUUCACCGACUCUCAAUUGACGUUAGAAAAUCUAAGAGUAAUUCUACUUUACCCUAAGAUUGAUAUCAACAAGACAAGGACAAUUUAGAAUUAUUACACGCCUCUUCUUAAUAGGAAAAAGAAAUAGAGAAGAAAGUCAGGCCAGGUCUAAUUUCUUUUCAAAGGCAAUACAACAUUACGAAAUCAAGCAUUCAUUCAUACAAAUAUUUCAUAGUCACCGGUUUGCUGAGUAGAAAAAUUUAGACAAAAACUUAAUAUUAUAUUGUUUAAGAGUUAACAAUUUAGAGCUUAAUCUCCUUGUACUUUGGAGUUAACAAUUUAGAGCUUAAUCUCCUUGUACUUUGGACUAAACUUGAACGUGAAAGGAAAUCCCAAAACCAUAUUGGGCAUGAAUUCACACUUAAUAUACCCAAUAAAAGAUGGCGACUGGUGAAAGGCAGUGGAGACUGGUGGAGAGAUUUGAGGAAUAGAAGCAGACGGAAAAGCAACAAAUUUUUGCCGAAAAACGGUCACUUUCAUGGUUAAUUUUGCUACUCUCCAAUUGUACUUGACCAAUUACAACAAUUUCAUGGAGUUUGAUACGUGAAAAGAAUUUUUUAUAAAUUUUAUUUUGAUCCAUAAUGUUAUCUUUACAUAUAUAAAACAUUUUACAAUUUUGAUUUUGGCGCAGUUAACUUUUGGUAAACAAAAAUGCUCAUGUUUAAAAAACCGGAAAUAAAACAAAACAAGAAACAAAAGAAAUAAGAGGGUAGCAUAGACAUUUUGGAUUUUUCCGUUAAUUUGGAUGAUUUCCACCCACGUUCUAAUUUAAUCCAAAACACAAAGGAAUUACGUAGAGGUUUUAAAUAAUGAGGGAGCUUCAUGAUCGAACCCCAAACCACAAGGCGAUUUACUAUAUUUUACUCUUAAAUUUUGGUUUCAUCUCAUAGCAUACAAGAGUUCUAUUUCACUAUCUGUAGACAAAGACUUUCUAUGGUUGAUGUACCAUAGGAAAAAAUCUGCCUAUACAACGUGAUAGCAUUUUUUCAAAAACACAAGAUGGAAAAUUGCCCCCUUAAACGGGGAAAUUCAUGAUCUUUCCUCGAACAAAGAAUACUCACGCCUAUUCAAGAUGGAAAAUUGCCCCCUUAAACGUCUAUUUGUCAAUUCUUGAAAAAAGAAUACUCACGCCUAAAACACGGCCUCUUCAUCUGCAGAAUUCUAAAAAGUUAGGUAAACUCUAUAAACAAGUUGAUAGGUACAAUCGUACCCAAGAUCAAGUACAGAUAGUUGUACAUUCACUGCUGCAAUAACUAAUCUGAUGACUUACAAACAUAUCAUGGUCAAUCGUUGAAUGGUAAUGAGUCUUUUGUUAUGCAUUAGUAUUAGUGUGUACACUCUAAUAGAUUGAUACUUAUACUCUUUAAAUUAUCAUAAUAAUACCCUUAAUUAACUUUAACUCUUAAAAAGAAUACGUGUUAAUACACGAGAGUGUGUAACCUGAAUUGUUACUUAUACAUUAGUGUGUAAUAGAUAGGGAUGGCAAUGGGGGCGGGUGCCCGCAGGCAACCGCCCCGCGGGGGGCUCUCGGGGCGGGGAGGGGGGAAUUUUUUCCCCCCGUUUAGAAACGGGGCAGGGGACGGGGGAGUAUACCCCCGCCCCAUCCCCCGCAAAAAAAAUUAUAUAUAUAUAAUUAUAUAUAAUAUGUAAUUUAAUUAGUUAUAAACUUAUGAUAAUGAUAUUAUUAGUUAGAUGUAUUAUAUAAUGUAUAUUAGUGUAUGUAAUAUAAUUAAUAUUAUCAAUUAUACGAAUAAUUAGACAUGUCUACUAAUAGAAUUUAUUAAUUAGUUAUACUAAAUUUACUAAUACAUUUAUACUAAAUUUCUAAUUACAUUUAAUAGAAUAACACUUUUUUCUAAAAAAAAAAGCACAAACACAAUAAUGAAUUAGUGAUUGUAUUUUUACCAAAAAUGAAAACUUAACUAUUUUAGUUGCAUUUAUUUCAUCAUGUUGGAUUGUAUUCAAAUAAUUUUUGUUUGAUUGUUUUUAUGAGUUUCAAUUGUAAAAUUAAAAUGAAUAAUAACUUGAUGAAUAAUAAUGUCAAUCGUUGAAUGGUGUGUACACUCUAAUAUUAUGCAUUAGUAUUAGUGUGUACACUCUAAUAGAUUGAUACUUAUACUCUUUAAAUUAUCAUAAUAAUACCCUUAAUUAACUUUAACUCUUAAAAAGAAUACGUGUUAAUAACUCUUAACCUGAAUUGUUACUUAUACAUUAGUGUGAAAUAGAACGGCAAGCAUUGAGCAACUUAUAGGAGAAAUAGUCCUAUAAGCUGUUGGAUGACUAAUAUAGCUCUAGCUGUAAUGUUUUAAUUAAAUUACAUCACUAACGUUGGGAUGACUAAUGGUUUAAAAAUAAUUGAGUAAUUGGAAAAAAAAAAAGAGACUAAUUUUCAUUGAAACCCACCGACAAACUAAACGUGUCCAUGGCUUUUGAAUAGUGCAUUCAACGUUUAAUUGUAUAGUCCAGUUCAUUGCAGAUUACAUGGAGUAAAGAUUGUGCUCUUUCCUUUUUCACCCCUUUUGGAAUCGAUACUGUGGAGAAUUGGGUUUUUCCCUUCUUUUUUUCUUUUCUUUCUUUCUGUGCUUUGCAAAACAUAGGUAAAAUUAUGAAAUCCGAAGCAUUCUUUAAUUGGGAUUAAGUAUUGUUCUUGAAAUUAAAAAGAAGAAAGAAAGAACAACAAAAUUCCCUGAUUGGUUGCAUCGUGCUUCCAUAGAAGCUCUCUUAGUGUGAUACACUGCUUUCAAUCAGUUUAACAUGGAAAAAAGAAAGAGAUGAAAAGCAAAUUUGGUGGGGAUAAUUUCAGAAACCUCCCCUGAAGAUUUUGACUAUUCUACUGGUCUCCCUUCAGAUUUUAAAAAUUACACUAAUCUUCCUUGAAGUUAUAACAUUUAAAUUCAAUCAAUAAUUUAAAAAAUGAUAUUAUGAAAGAGAAAAUAAUAUGAUUUUAUCAUUGCCCCCCAUCUUACUACAUUAUUUAAUUAAUUUAAUAGCAACCCACACAUUAAAGAAAAAUAUAAAAUUUGUUAUUUAUCAUUAAAGAUCAAAUCGCUUAUAACAUCAAAUAAUAGUAUAUUAUUUAUAUUUUUCACUUAACAUAAUAUCCAAAUUACUCUUUUCAAUUACAUACUCAUUGUUAGACAAUCAACAACAAAUAACCAAAAAAUUUGCAACCAAAAUAUUACAAAAAAAAAUAAACUUUAACAUCAUAAAUAUUCUUAUCAACAUAUUAAAGUUAGUUACUGAAAUUUUUAUGGUGUUAAACUUCACUCUUUGUAAUAUUUUGGUUACAGAUUUUUUUUGAUUAUUUUUUAUUAAUUAUGUUUGAUGAUGGGUUUGUAAUUGAAAAGAAUAAUUUAAAACUUACAUUAAGUGAAAUAUAUAGAGUGAUAUACUAUUUUUUAUAACAUAUGUGAUUCAAUCCUUCUUGAUAGGAUUGGUAAUAGAGGUAGAGGGGGGAGUCGGCUGCAUCCGGUCUUCUUUUCAUAGAUAGUACAAUAUUGCGAAAUCAAUCGCAUUCACACAAUAAUAUUUCGAAGUCAAUGCAUGGCUAAGUUGCAUAAAAGUACGAACACUUGUUAUUAUAUAGCUUAAGAUUCAAAACUUUAGAGCAUAACCCUCCACCUAACACAAUUGAAUAAUGAAUAUUCACGUUUGUCAAAUCUGUCAAAGCACAGUUUGAGGACAACCCAUUCCAACCUGCAAAAGAUUUUUUACUUUUCUAAAGUUGUUGAGAGCUGUAAAAAGACCUACCAUGCUUACAUCCUCCGAGCCUUGGGAGUUAAAAAUGAAGGCACUGAGUGCUAUAAAAAGGGGGCUAGAGGCUGCCUAGAAGCAUAUCAGCCUAAAACAAGAAUUUGUUGUUAUGAUGGGAAGCAAAGCAAAAGCAAUGGGGUCUGGGCUGACUCCUCUUCUUGCCACUGUUUUAGUGGUAUUUGUUGCUCUUGGCUUGCCCUCAGAAACAGCAGCUGAUGAUCACUACAAGUAUUCAUCUCCUCCUCCUCCUUACCACUAUCCCUCACCACCGCCUCCAGUGCAUUUACCUCCACCAGUGUACAAAUACAAGUCCCCACCACCACCUCAUCAUGUUUACAAGUACAAAUCUCCACCACCCCCACCACCACACCCAGUUUACAAGUAUAAGUCACCACCACCACCUCCUCAUCCGGUACCACACCCAGUUUACAAGUAUAAGUCACCACCACCACCUCCUCAUCCGGUAUACAAGUAUAAGUCUCCUCCGCCACCACCACACCCAGUUUACAAGUAUAAGUCACCACCACCACCUCCUCAUCCGGUACCACACCCAGUUUACAAGUAUAAGUCUCCUCCGCCACCAGUUUACAAAUAUAAGUCUCCUCCACCACCACCUCCAGUGUACAAGUACAAGUCUCCACCACCACCAGUUUACAAGUACAAAUCACCACCACCUCCUCCCCCAGUUUACAAAUACAAGUCUCCACCACCACCAGUUUACCACUACAAGUCACCACCACCUCCUCACCCAGUUUACAAGUACAAAUCUCCUCCACCACCAAUUUACCACUACAAGUCACCACCACCUCCUCCCCCAGUUUACAAAUACAAGUCUCCACCUCCUCCUCACCACUACUAAGCAAUUGCUUCUGAGGUAAUAACACUUGUUCAAUAACACUUGAUAGCCAGCUGAAUAUUUGCAGGCAAAGGAGAAGGAAACCAGUGUUUGAGACCUUCUUGAAGAUGUAGAAGCAUAAGAAUUAAAGCCCAAUGUGAAGAUGAUGAUUUCAAGUUUUUCUACGUUACCAUUUCAAUAUCUAAAUUGGUUGUAGCGCCUUAGUUCCUUUGUUUAUGGGAUUUGUAUCGUUUUACGUACCAUGCAGUACAUGUCAUGUUUGUAAGGUUUUCUAUCCUGCCGGCAAACCGCAGGUUCCAUGUAAUAAAUCAAUACUAUUUAUAUUACGACACUUUUCUCUGUUUCUCUUAUAUUUUGUCUUUAAUAUUCUUAAUCAUAUUUUUAACAAAAAUAUUCAAACACUUCAGCAAUGGUUCACCUAGUUGAUCAUCGAAGCAGAGGCAAUUCCAAUUAUUUAUCAAUAAAUAGGAUAUAACUACCAAACAAGCGAUGGCAGUUAACCCCUCCUUACUGUGUCGGUGAUCAAGGUACGCCCGUUAAUCACUGCUCUAAUUGAGAAAUAAUCCUAAGUACGCCCGUAGAAUUUAAUUCCCCAAUUGCCUUACAUAUUAGAGGAGCCCUAUUCUAACCAAAUAACGCACUAUCAGGGUUAUUUUAGAUUAGCCCGCGUAUUCCCCUGACAUAAAUCUAAUCAUGCCAGUUGUCAUUAUUUUGAGGUAAUUAAACAAUUACGGAUUUAACACCUCAAUUGACAAUAGAUUAUUAAAUUAAUUAAUUAUUCGGAUCCAAGACAAUCAAUUAAUUAAACAACCAUAAGCACUACAAUCAGAGAAUAUGCAAAUACCAAUAAAUAAAUAAAAAAUAAAAUUAAAUCGAUCUCACAAUUUUUAGGCGAAUCAGAGCAUCCGUUGUCCCUUGACUAGAGCAAGGAAAUUAGUUCAUAUUUGAUGAACUAAACCCAUACAAAAGGGAAGCGAGAAAUGCAGCCAUUAUCCUUUGAAAUCUGGAAAAUUCAACUUGUCCGAAUAUCGAAUAGAUAGUAAUACUACAAAAGGUAAUUCAUAGCUUCCCUUUCGUCUGACACACAAGAAGAAAAAAAAGGGCUGCUAAUAACUAAAGGAGGAAAAGUCAAAGUCCUAAGCUAUGCUACAAGACGAAAAACUAAAGAAGACAAAAAGGCAGUGCUCAUUCCCUGCAAUCUCAAUUCCUAUUCUAUCUAAGUGCUCUCCAAUGUGCGGCGGCUCCCCUUCCGGAGAGGACGAAGUGGCACCCUUUUUUCCUGCGCAAUUUUCCUAUAUAAAGUAGUGCUCCUUGCAGCGGCUCCUGUGCGAAAAAAUGAAGACUUCGGCCCAAUUUGCCUAACAAGGGCUCACGUUUUGUUGUUCUAAAAAUGUCCCUAGGACAAACUCUAUCAUCUGAACUCUUUUCUUGCCAAAUUAGUACCUGUUAUUAUAUUUUCGUUCUACUCCCUGAAAUAAAUGCAAAAUAUCAAAAGUGAGUAGAAUCUAGCAAUUAAUCCACAUUAGGUCAGGUAAUAGGGAAAAUUAAUAAUAAAAUAAAUGAUAAAAUUGCAAUCUAUCACGGGACCACUGUGGUAAGGUGUGUUUCGCCUAUUAUAAGGAGUUCGGAGAGUUAGACGUGUUGGAGGCGGAGGCGCGGUCACUCCUGCACGCCCUCCAGCUGUGUGCAGAUCGCGAGGUACGGGCGUUGACUGUAGAAUCUGAUUCAAAGGUGCUUGUUCAACUAGUUUGCUCGGAUAUGAGGUCGAAGUGGCCGGUGUGUAUCGUAUUGCGGGAAAUAAGACAUUUGAUCCGGCGGAUGGGUGCAUCCCUUCAUCAUAUAUUCCGUGAGGCCAAUUCGGUGGCGGACGCAUUGGCUUCUCUGCAAUUGGGAGGGCAGCAGUACUACACCUCAGGCGUGGCGCUGCCUUUCAGGCCCAGAGGAGAGGCUCUGCUGGAUCGUCAAGGAGUACCUCGCAUCCGUGAGGCGCUCACUAAGGUUUGAUAGGCUAUGUCCUCCUUUCAAAAAACUUAUUUCAUCUACUCCUUGUAAUCAUUUUUCUUAUCAAUAAAUUGAGGCUUUUUAUUUAAAAAAAAACAUAUAAUUUAAGGCAAAAAUAUGAUCCUAGCGAGUAUCGCACUGAGACAUUAGGAAACAUCAUUAAAAGAGUAUUUCUUGAGUUAGUGCAACUAUUUCUUAGGGGAAUUUAUAGUUACAAAAUUCAAAAAUUUGAGAUUCUAUUACUGAUUAAUUAAGGGCGUUAUCACUAUUUUUCUUAUUAUCACCAUUAUUUACCCCACAUACUAUAAGUUUUUUUAGGGCACAGGAAAAGAGGUGGGCCGAUGUUUAGUUAUGUACAAAAGUUCAAAAUUUGUAGAUAACUUAUCAUGUGCCCUUAGAGCGUAGAAUACAGAAAAAAUAUCUUAAACUAUAACUAAUCCUAAUAUUUUUCUCUAUGAUAAACUAGCUCUUAUCCAUUUCUUUAGAUGAUGAAAGGAAAUAGUUAGUCACCUGUCCUCUAGUGAUUACAACAGCAUCAAAACAAAUUAGCACUCUUUUCCCGUAGUUUAAAAAUCCCUCAGCCACUAAGAUUUUGCAUGUCGAACGAAUUAAGGAACAUAGAAGGUUCGUGCUGCACCACAGUGUCCUUGUUGACGAUGCAAAGACAGAAAUGCAUCCGCGUAUACUUCCUUAAGCAUUUUGAUUACUUUAUGAUUCGAACUUUUCUUGUCUGACAGCUGGACUUAAUUGAAAAACACAAGUAACAAUAUUUCAAAGUUGAUUCGUCAAAGUUUACCCAAUUGGUGAAACUUUCUUCAUAGAGCUGACUUUGUAUUAGGUGACAAUGAUAUGGAAUUGAUGUCCUUCCCUUUUUCCUUUUUUUGUGUUGAAGACGCACAACGUUUUCAAUGGCAAAUUUAUAUGGGCUUUUCACGACAAAAUGUGUUCUGAAAAGUUCAUUCCAGAGGUUAAAAUUUUGUGUGUUAAAAAUUUGCUUCUCAGGACUUUGAUGGGAAAGUCUUGGUGUUUCCAAAAAGUUUAAGCAGGAUGCUUCUGGCUUUCUCUCCAUGUAUUUGUGAGUUAGAUCUAAAAUUAUCAGGGCUCCAGAGAUCUCUUGAAAUCGCAGCAUAUAUUGAAGUCUUUCCAGAAGGAGUCUUUUUUUUUUUUUUUAUGAAUUAUGAUAGAUAAUUAAUCUGACGGUGCAUAUAUAUAUAUAUGUGAUUUGCAGUAGGGUGUUUGACGAAAUGGUUAGGCUUCCUAAGUAAUGAUAGGAAUGCCAUUUGCAAAGAAGGACAGGGGGCUGGUGCUGUCAUAUUUUAUGCGAUUUGAUCCGUUGUUGUAUAAGUUUAAACUUUUGACGUGCAAUUGUGCUAUAAUAUUAUACUAAAUAUAUGUGUGAAAUAUUUUGUCUAUAUACAUCACUUUUAUCAUGAAUACAACAGCUGAGUAUAAUAAUAUAGUAUAAUGUAAUUGUACACCAAAUAAUGUAGCAAAUAUAACAAUUGAUCCGAAUUACACGGAACCAUAACAACAAGAUCACCGCCUCCCAAAUUUUACAAAAUUAGGUUUUUUUUUUUUCUCUUAGAUUAUUGAAAAUUUUCAAAAAUAAUCUACAUAAUUUAAGCUUUUGUCCUACAAAAAUUUGAAGAGAUUUUACAUUACAAGCUUAAGCUUAGAUAUAUUAAACUUUGCCCCCAAGAUUAAUUUUCCGUUUUUAUCUAUGAACCGAUCCAUAUAGCUAGUUAGACUGUAGUCCUCACAUUUGUGGGAUUUAACACCCAAGAUUCUCCUUCUUGGAAUGUAAAAUGUAGAUCUUCUAUGUUAAUAAUUCAAGACCCUACUGUCAUAAACGAAAUGACUGAUCAACUCCUGUAAACCUAAUUUGACAACAUUUAAAUGGAGAACUUUAGCUAAAAGAAUUAUGGUCAAGCUAAAGAAAAAGCCAGUUAUUUUCCAACAUAUGCAAUCAUUGAUCAGGAAAAAAAAAAAAAAGCAAAAAGACAUCUUCAAUCAUUUAAUAGCUCACAGUGCAAAUUAACCCCUAAGCGAAAACUGGUUGCUCUAGAAUCAAAAUUUUACCUUAGUUACCCAGGCAACUUUUUUGUUGCUUUUUUUUUUUUCUUUUCCUUUUUGGGUAUAUAUAUAGCUCCAGUUUUGCCCCCUCUGUCAAGCUUAUAUAAUUAUUAAGAUAAUAAAAGUGCCUUGAAUAGUAUUAAUAUAUCCAUUGACUUGAGCUGUCAUCGAUCGGUUUGGGCUACUUCGAUUCCAUGAGAACAAAUGGUAAUAAAAGUACUCAGAAAAUAGGGAGCCAUGAAACCCUUUUGUUCUAUUCAUUGCUAAGAUGCUUUUCUCUAUAAAGAGACUUCCUAACGAAAGUACUUUGUAGAUUUCUUUACUCCAAGUGGUGCAUGGAAAAUUAAAAUAUUCAAUUAUCAAAUAAAAUUCCCUUUUUUCGGUGUAGAUUUCAUCCAUCCAGCUGUUAACACAUUUUAUGUAUCCGAAUUAUAUAUUCUCUACCAAAUAUUGUAACUUUUCUGAGCAUCUUUACAUUUUUAUUCCCACCUAACAAAUUAGUUGUUGAGCAUCUUUACAUGCUAUCGGAUCACAAGUUAAUAAUCUUUUAAAGAACAUGUUAAAUUAAUUUAUUGGUAUGAAUAGUCAAAGAAGUAUAUUAAAGUUAGUAAUCUUUAAACACCACGAUGCAAUUAAUACUUUCAAGCUCAAGGUCUUUUUUUUUUUUUUUUUUGGUACUGUACUUCCUUGCUUUAUAGUAUGCACGUUUAUUUCUGUGGAUUGCUUAAGCUUAUAUUGUUAAUAAUUGGGCAUUUAACCAUAAAUUAUAAUGAUUAUGAAGUCAUAUAUAUAUAUAUAUAUAUAAGAAAAUUACCACAAUUAUUCAAUUUUUUUUGCAAAUUCAAAUUUUAUUAAUAAGAAAUAGGCAGUAAGCUUUUACAAACGGAAAAAAAAAAUCCUACAACAACUCUAGGACCUUUGAAAGAAAGAAAAAAAAAAGAAAAGAAAAGCUUAAGGACUCUACCUCAUAGAAGCUAAACAAUCCUACAAAUAAACUGCAAAAUAAAUCACAAUAACGCAAAAUUUUUGUCUUUCUUCCGUAUGAAAUGAAACUACGAAGUCAAGAAUUGACUCCUUUAACCGCUAUUGCCAGCGGGCUCCGUCAGCAAGAUACAACUUUGCAAUUUGAUUCAAUAGAAAUCCUCAAAUAGCUAUUUUGACAGGCAAAUUAAGCAUUAAUUUUGGUAUCCCUUCAUAAAAUACAAGAGUACUUUUGAUUAUAUCUAUAGAUCAACUUUCUAGGCUAUUUUGAUGUAUUAUAAGAAAAUCUGCCUCAACAAUUUUGAUAGCAUUUUUCCAAAAGCAGAAGAUGGAAAAUUGCCCAUUUGUACUGGGGAGUUCGUGAUCUUUUCCUCCUUCUAGUCUACUUACAAUUCUUGGAAAAAGGAAUACUCACAUCUCAAACAACUGCCUGUUCAUCUGCAAUGUCCUGCCGAAUUCUAGAAAGUUAGGUGGCAAUGCUAAUUACAUUUCAAAAUUGACUGCUGCGAUGACUAAUUCGAUGGCUUACUACAUGGUCAACGUUUGGAUCCCUUCCUGUCCUUUUUGGAUGCACAUUUUUUUUCUCUAGGCAAUAUAUAAUCUCCCAACUCAUUUCUUUACAAAUGCACCUUUAAUCACCACCAAAAGGUGUGGACAUGAUCUUUACCCUAGAAAACUAAUCACCGACAGGCAAAUUGACGUCAGAAAUACUAAGAGGAAUUCUAGUUUCCUUCGGGUUAAUGCCAUUUUGUACCCUUCAACUGUAACUCGAUUUCUAAACUAUAAUUUGUGACAUUAUAGUCCUUAAACUAUGAAACCCCUCUUACUUAAGUACAAUGGUUAAUACAAUACCCGUGACUAGACAAGCAACCAUAACAAAAAAAAAUCCAAAAUUAGAGAAAAGAAAGAAGUUUCGCGACCAAAGUAUGUAUCAAGGCAUAGUAUAGAAAUAAAAGUGUCCAAAUUAAGAGUUUAGGGAUAAAAGAGAUCAAGAUAUAGUUUAGGGAUUGAUUUGUCUCAAUUAGAGUUUUGAUGUCAACUAAGAAGAGAGAUAUAGUUGAAGGGUAGAAUAUAGAUAUAACAGUUCAAUGAUUGAUAUCAACGAGACAAUGACAACUUUGGAUUAUUACCAACCUCUUCUUGAUGGGAAAAGGAAAUAGAGAAGAAAGUCGGGCCUGGUCUAAGCCUGCUUCGGAGGCAAAACAACAUUAUGAAAUCACCGGCAUUCACACAAAUAUGUCAAAGUCACCGGCAUGCUAAGUUGCAUAAUUUAUACAAACACUGAAUAAUAUAUUGUUCUUAAAAUUUUUGUUUAAGAUUUAACAAUUAGAGCACGGUACACGAAUUAGCAAUAUUAAAUAAUGAAUGUUCACGAUUGAUAAAGUUAUCAAAGUACAGUUUGAGGACAACCCAUUCCAACGUGUACAAGAUGUUUAGCCUUUGAAAAGUUAAUUAGAGAAGGUGACGAGAUUUUACUAGGCUUAAAUCUUCUAGGCCUCGGAAGUAAAAAAUGAAGGCCUUUGAGUGCUAUAAAAAGGGGGCUAGAUGUUGCCUAGAAGCAUAUCAGCCUCAGACCACAUUUUGUAGCAAUGGGGAGCAAAGCAAAAGCAAUGGGGUCUAGGCUGACUCCUCUUCUUACCACCGUUUUAGUGGUAUUUGUUGCUCUUGGCUUGCCUUCAGAAACUGUGGCUGAUUACUACAAGUAUUCAUCUCCUCCUCCUCCUUACCAUUAUUCCUCACCACCACCUCCUGUGCAUUCACCUCCACCACCGCCAAUUUAUAAGUCACCCCCACCACCUUACCACUACUCCUCACCGCCACCUCCAGUGUAUUCAUCUCCACCACCACCUUCGCCAGUUUACAAGUCUCCGCCACCACCUUACCAUUAUUCGUCACCACCGCCUCCGGUGCAUUCACCUCCACCACCACCUGUUUACAAGUCACCUCCACCACCUUCGCCAGUUUACAAGUCUCCGCCACCACCUUACUAUUAUUCGUCACCACCGCCUCCGGUGCAUUCACCUCCACCACCACCGAUUUACGAGUCACCUCCACCACCUCCUCCAGUUUACAAGUCUCCGCCACCACCUUACCAUUAUUCCUCACCACCACCUCCAACGCAUUCACUCCCACCACCAGUUUACAAAUCACCGCCACCACCUCCUCCUAUGUAUAAGUCCCCUCCACCACCUUAUCAUUAUUCCUCACCACCACCUCCAGUGCAUUCACCCCCACUGCCACCAAUUUACAAGUCUCCGCCACCUCCAAUCUACAAGUAUAAGUCACCACCACCUCCUCCCCCAAUUUACAAGUCACCACCACCACCUCCUCCAGUAUAUAAGUCCCUACCCCCACCAGUGUAUAAGUACAAGUCUCCACCACCACCUCCUCCAGUAUACAAAUCACCUCCACCACCUCCUCCAGUUUACAAAUCUCUACCACCACCAAUUUAUAAAUACAAGUCUCCUCCACCACCUCCUCCGGUUUACAAUUCCCCACCACCACCAAUCUACAAGUCUCCACCUCCACCCUCCCAUUACUACUACAAUUCUCCUCCUCCUCCUCCUCAUCACUACUAAGCAAUUGUAUCCAAGUUUUUGAGGUAAUAAUGCUAAACCAAUAUAUUAACUUUCGCAUGAUAAACUUUAUCUCUAUCAAGACAAACUGCCAUGUGCAUCAAGCCAAAUACGUACACUUCGAUCCAUGAAAAUGACAAGUAGAAGGUUUUCUUAAGAACCAAGGAACAGCAUUAGUAUUCCCUCUGUUUCCAAAACUUGUGUAUUAAAUAGAUUAAUGAAUUGUUUAACAUGCUUAUCUACUUGAAAAUGCACAAUACCCAUAACCCACUGAAAUUUUUGCAGGUAAAGGGGAAGAGAAUCUGUGUUUGAGAGCUUCAUGAAGAUGUUGAAGAAUAAGAAUAAAAGCCCAAUGCGAGGAUGUUUUCAAGUUUUUCUAUGUUUCCACUUUAAUUUGUAAAUUGAAUUUUUCGACUUAAUUAAUUCCCUGUUUGUGGGGUACGUAUUGUUUUACGUACCAUGCCGUACAUGUUUGUAAGGAUUUCUAUCCUAUUGGCAAAAGUCGGUUCCAUACAAUUAAUCAAUUCAUUUCACUUCUAUUGGCUCUACUAUUUAUGCACGUUACGACAUUUUUUCUCUCUUUCCCUUAUAUUUUGUCUUUAAUAUUAUUGAGUCAAUAGUAAUACUGGGCCAUUUUUUUUAAAACUUAUACUAGUAUACAUAGGUAGUUUGGUCUAACGCCAAAUUCAUGUUUGUCUUUCUUUUAUUCCCUUUACAUUUCAAAGUAUACUAUAGUUUGUGAUCAUUGUGGUGAUGAUAUUACCAGCUGGUACUUAUAGUUUAAGGCAGAGACAUGAUAUUAACAACUAUCUCAUUGAAACAUAAGGAAAAAUCAUGACAAGUGUGAGUCUUGGUUAAUGCACAAUUUGUUAGUGGAAUUUAUAUUUAUAAAACUCAAAAAAAAAAUUUUGACAAUGCUAUUACUAAUUAAUUAAGGACUUUAUUGCUAUAAUUUAUCGCUUGCUAGUUUAAACUAUAAAUGAUCUCAAUACUUUUCUCCAUGAUGUCGAUUUCUUUAGAUACGAAAGGGAAAAAUUAGUGACAUAUCCCUUACUGAUUACAACAUCAGCAAAAAUUAGUUAUAAACUUUUCCGGUGGUUUUAAAUCCCCGGGCCCUAAGAUUUUUUGCUCAUCGAGUGAAUUAAGGAACAUAGGCAAUUCAUUUUGCAUACCAAGUCCUUGUUUAAGAUGCAAGUACUAAAAUGCAUCCACUUCAUUAAUUUGGGAAAUUGCCAUAGUUUUUUUAAGCAUUUUGAUUUUUUACAUGAUUUAAAAUUUUCUUAUUGGAUACAAUCACUUUGUAUCAAGAACACAUUUUCAAUCACCUUUUUUUAUCUUCUCAAUGAGAAAAUAAAAAUUUAUUCAUGCUUUUCUAACAUAUUCAAUCAUUGAUCUGAAAAUUAAAACAUUAAGAAAAGGACAUUUUCAAACAUUAAGAAGUAGUAUUUUAAAGACCAUGAUGAAAUUAAUACUUUCAAGGUCUCUAUUAGGAAGACUUCCUUUAUUAAUACUCUACUAGGCAGAGUUAUAUGCACGUUUACUGUUUUGGCCUUAAGUUGGGUGCAGAUGCUUAUAUUACAAAUAGAUGGUAUCAAAAAAUUGUUGUAUUCACGUCUGUUCUUUUUUUCUUCCUUAAGUUUUUUUCUUUAUUCUCGUGACUUCGCUAGUGAGGUAUAACUUCACAACUAGAGUCAAUAGAAAUCGUCAAAUGAUUUUUUGACAUCCAAAUUAAGCAAUAAAUUUUGUUUUCAUUUCAUAACAUAUAAUAGUACUACUUCAUGGGAGAUUUUAUAGUUUCUUUAGGGUAUCAUACCUACAAUUGAUAUUUAUCAUUGGAUAGUGAAAGAAGUGUUAAUGUCUCUAAGAUUAAAUAUUGUUAAAUAUUGAAAAUUUGAACUAUUUAUCUCUAUUGAGAGAUACAACUUAAAGAAUCCUACCCAAAAGAGACUAGAAUUUUCUCUGUUUUUCAUCAUCUGUAGACAUAAACUUUCCACGGUUGAUAGCAUUUUUCAUCAUCUAUAAGGAAAUUUUGCCUAUACAAUGUGAUAGCAUUUUUCAAAAAGACAAGAUGGAAAAUUGCCCCCCUUGAACGGAAAAUUGCCCCCUUGUCAAUUCUUUAAAAAAGAAUACCGUCCCGCAGAAUUCUAGAAAGUUAGGCAAAACUAGACAAGUUGACAGGUAUAAUCAGACCCAAGAUCAGGAACAAGCAGUUGCACAUUUCAAAAUUCGCUGCUGCAACAACUAAUUUGAUGACUUACAACACUAAAUGGUCAAACUUUGAAUGGCAAUGAAUCUUUUGUUGUACAUCAUGAUGUAAUUUUCAUGUUACAUAAUAGAUUGAUAUCUAUGUUCUUUAAAUUAUCAUAAUAAUUAAAUUUAACUGAAAAAAAGAACACAUAUCAAUACACAAAAGUGUGCAACGUGAAUGUUAUUUUAGUGUAUUGCAGAAGACCUAUAGUCUCUUCAUAUCUCUUCCUGCACGUAUCAAUUCGUUUCCUCUAGAUAAUAAUCUCCCAACUCAUUUAUUUACAAAUGCACCUUUUAUGUUUUAUUACCUCCAAAAGCCUAAAAAUCAAUUCACCGACUCGCAUUUGGUAUCAGAAAUUCUUAUUACGAAUUCUACUUUACUCAAAGAUUGACUGUUAAUAAUGAGACAACGACCAUUUUGUAUUAUUACACCGUCCUUCUUGAUAGGCAAAAGAAAUAGAGAGGAAAGCGGGUCCGUAUAUGGUCUUUUAUUCAUAGAUAAUACAACAUUACGCCAUCGAGCAUUCACACAAUAUUUCAAAGUCAUUGCAUGCCUAAGGCCUGCUUGAUAAUCUAAUUCCGUACUUAAAUUUAAUAAAUUCAAAUCUUAACACAUUCAAAUCGUUUGAUAACAAAAAAUUGAACAUCUAAAUUAAUUAAGUAACACUGAAUUUUCUAGGCAAAACUUGCUCCCAAAAUUAAGUGAUAAGUUAUUCACUUAUCACUGAAUAUGAUAUGUAUUCAAAUGUAUUAGAUUUAAUACUUAAUAAUUUAAUGAAUUCAAAUUUCAUAUUUCAUAUUUCAGUUUUAUCAAACACACCUUAAGUUGCAAAAUAAUACCAAAACUUGUUAUUACAUAGCUUGAGAUUCAAAAAUUUAGAGCAUAAUUCUCAACCAAACACAAUUGAAUAAUGAAUAUUCACGAGUGUCAAAUCUAUCAAAGUACAAUUUGAGGACAACCCAUUCAAACGCGUACACGAUUUUUAACUUUUCUAAAGUUGUUGAGAGCUGUUGAAAGAGAUUUACCAUGUUUACAUCUUCCAAGUCUUGGGAGUAAAAAAUGAAGCCACUGAGUGCUAUAAAAAGGGGGGUAGAGGCCACUUGAGAUCCUCGGUGACAUGUUUUCUAUGCCAAUCCAAUGCCACCAAUAGUGUUGCGCCAAGUGUCAUGUUAUUAUUUACACUUGUGUUAAACUAAGCCAAGUUGAAUUAUUAGAAAAUUAAAGUGUAAAUAAUAACAUGACACUUGGCGCAAUACUAUUGGUGACAUUGGGUUGGCAUAGAAAAUAUGUCACCGAGGAUCCCAAGUGGAUAGAUGCUGCCUAGAAGCAUAUCAGCCUAAAACAAGAAUUUGUAGUAACAAUGGGGAGCAAAGCAAAAGCAACGGGGUCUAGGCUGACUCCUCUUCUUACCACUGUUUUAGUGGUAUUUGUUGCCCUUGGCUUGCCCUUGGAAACUGCAGCUGAUUAUUACAAGUAUUCAUCUCCUCCUCCUCCUCCUUACCAGUAUUCCUCACCACCACCUCCAGUGUAUUCACCUCCACCAACCCCUGUUUAUAAGUUACCCCCACCAUCUCCUCUAGUUUACAAGUCCUCACCACCACCUUACCACUACUCACCACCUCCUGUGUAUUCACCUCCACCAUCACCAAUUUACAAGUCACUGCCACCACCCCCUCCAGUAUACAACUCCCCGCCUCCACCAGUGUACAAAUACAAGUCCCCACCACCACCUUCUCCAAUUUACAAAUCUCCACCGCCACCAGUUUACAAGUACAAGUCACCCCCACCACCUCCUCCGGUAUACAAGUCUCCUCCGCCACCUGUUUACGAGUACAAGUCUCCUCCACCACCUCCUCCAGUGUACAAGUCCCCACCACCUCCAGUUUACAAGUACAAGUCACCACCACCUCCUCCCCCGGUUUACCAAUCUCCUCCACCACCAGUUUACAAAUACAAGUCACCACCACCUCCUCCCCCAGUUUACCAGUCUCCACCUCCACCCUAUCAUCACUACUACGGUUCUCCUCCUCCUCACCACUACUAAGCAAGUGCAUCUAAGUUUUGAGGUAAUAAUACCGAUCCAAAACUUUAUCAACGCAAACUGCCAUGUAUAUCAUGCUAAGGACGUACACUUGAUCCAUGAAAAUGGCUAGUAGAAGAUUUUUUUUAAGAACCAGAGAAAUACAUUAUUUUUUCGCUCUGUUUUCAAGAAUUUGAGCAGUAUACAGAUUAAAGAGUGUUUUUUUUAAACUUGCUUAUCAACUUAGAAAUGCACAUAGCUGAAAGCCAACUGAAUAUUUGCAGGCAAAGGAGAAGGCAAUCGGUGUUUGAGACCUUCAUGAAGAUGUAGAAGAAUAAGAAUAAAAGCCCAAUGCGAGGAUGAUUUCAAGUUUCUACGUUACCAUUUCUACAUCUAAAUUGACUUUAGCUCCUGAGUUCCAUGUCUAUGGGGUUUGUACUGUUUUACGUACCAUGCAGUACAUGCUUGUAAGGUUUUCUGUCCUGUUGGCAAGCCGCAGGUCCAUAUAAUAAAUGAAUACUAUUUAUAUUACGACACUUUUCUCUCUUUCUCUUAUAUUUUGUCUUUAAUAUUGUUGAUCAUUUUUUUUUUUUAUCAAAAGUAUCAAAUGCUUAGGCAAUUUGGUCUAAUGCUAAUUGUUUUACAUUUAUUUUUCACCUACAUCCCUUUUCAACUCAAAGGAUGCUACAGUUUGUGAUCAUUGUUUAAGACCGAAGCAUGGUACUAAUAAAUAUCUCAUUGAAAGUCAAGGAAACUAACAUUAUGAAAAGUGUAAAUCUUGAUUUGUGAAACUAUUUAUUCGUGGAAUUUAGAGAUACAAAACUCAAAUUGUGACGGUGUUGUUGCUAAAUUAUUUUUUUUUUAUAAUAAAACACAGUUCAUUCAAGGAUUACUGGAAAUCGUCCAGCACAAUUGAGAUACAUUGUUGCCCAGGUGGCAGAUAAAUAUGCACUAAAAUUAUAGAUAUGCAAUUUAACAAAUACAUAAGAUUUGAGAAAUUAAGGACAAAUCUAAAAAGGACCAUAAAUUUGAAAAACAUUUCAUCCUAGAAUAAGUCGCUGCAACUCUCUUUGUGCAUGCUGUAAUCGUCAGAUCUACUAAUCAACAGUUGUAAGGUCCAGUAAAGAUGGUGAGAUCUGCCGAGAUUGAUCCAAAUCUGAAAUAUUCCCUCAGAUCUGCUAUCCAAUUGGUUCAAACUCAAUACUGAAAGUGAAAUCUGAUGAGAAGACUGAAAAAAUUGUAGAUCUAACAUAUAGAUCUAAAAAAACUCCAAGAUUUGAAAAAGUAAAGAAACAAAACUAAAUAAAACUCUCAUUAAGAUAGUUUAGGAGAGACUAAAACUCUCAAUAGGACACCCUAGGAGAGAAGAAAACUCUCACUAGGAUAACCUAUGAGAGACUUUAUUGAAUGAAAGGAAAAGCAAAGGACAAAGGAAGAAGAAGGGAGACCUUGGCUUAAGGCCAAGGUCUCCCUCCUAUGGAGGAGGAAGGGUAGAGGAGGAAGCCUAGAGAGAAGGAAGAGAAUCCCUCCGCUAGAGGGAAGGAAGAGCCUCUGAGAGGGUACCCGUGUUGUUGCUAAAUUAUUAAGGACAUUAUCACCAUUACUUUUCCCUUACUAGUUUCAACUGCAAUGAUCUCAAUCUUUUUGUGACUAAUUCUUUUCUUAAUAAUUUAUAAAUACAAAACUCACAAAGAAUAUGUGACUUAUUCUUUCCUUUCGUCUUCUAAAGAAAAUGCCAACUGUUAGUUUAUCAAGGGAAAAAGGAUCGACAUCAGUUGUUAUUGAAACUAGUAAGGAAUAAAUAAUGGUGAUAAUGUCCUUAAUAAUUUAACAACAGCACCAUCAGAAUUUGAGCUUUGUAUCUAUAAAUUCCACGAAUAAAUAGUUUCAUCAAAUCAAGAUUUACACUUUUCAUAAUGUUAAGUUUCCUUGACUUUCAAUGAGAUAUUUAUUAGUAUCAUGCUUCGGUCGUAAACAACGAUCACAAACGAUAGCAUCCUUUGAGUUGAAAAGGGUAGUGAAAAAGAGAAGUAAAAAAUACAAUUAGCAUUCCCUCAAAUUGUAGAAAGUUAGGUAGCAUUAUAGACAAGUUGAUAGCCGUAAUUAUACUAAAAAUCAGGCAAAAGCCAGCAAUUUUACAUUUCAAAAUUCACCUAUUCAAUAACUAAUUCGAUGGCUUGCUACAUGGUCAAAAUUCACCACAUAUCCCUUUCCUCAAUCAGGGGCUUCUACAAUUACCAGUUCCAAUUGUAUGGUAUAGUGUAAAUAUCAACAAAUUAGAUGUAGACACUAAUAUAAUAAAUAUGGAUGCUAAGGCAACAACAUACAAAAACAUAAUAAAUUUUGGCAUUCCUUAAAAAAUUACGUCCCCAAAUCAAUCUCAUACACCCAAUUUCUAAUUUAUUUAACUCAUUCCGUCUAUUAACUGCACCAUACAAUCCAACCUGCAAUUGCAUGAACCCCAAUCUCGCUUCCUAGUCCACCAUUUUUCUCUAGGUAAUAAUCUCCCUUCUAAUUUCUUCACAAAAUGCACCUUUCAUCACCUCCAAUAGCGUCGACAUGAUCUUUACCCUAGAAGACUAUUCACCGACUCCCAAUUGACGUCAGAAAAUCUAAGAGUAAUUCUACUUUACCCUAAGAUUGAUAUCAACUAGACAAUGACAAUUUAGAAUUAUUACACGCCUCUUCUUAAUAGGAAAAAGAAAUAGAGAAGAAAGUCAGGCCAGGUCUAAUUUCUUUUCGAAGGCAAUACAACAUUACGAAAUCAAGCAUUCAUUCAUACAAAUAUUUCAUAGUCACCGGUUUGCUGAGUAGAAAAGUUUAUACAAAAACUUAAUAUUAUAUUGUUUAAGAGUUAACAAUUUAGAGCUUAAUCUCCUUGUACUUUGGACUAAACUCGAACGUGAAAGGAAAUCCCAAAACCAUAUUGGGCAUGAAUUCACACUUAAAUAGACCCAAAAAAAGAUGGCGACUGGUGAAAGGCAGUGGAGACUGGUGGUGAGAUUUGAGGAAUAGAAGCAGACGGAAAAGCCACAAAUUUUUGCCGAAAGAGGGUCACUUUCAUGGUUAAUUUUGCUACUCUCUACUUGUACUUGACCAAUGACAGGUUGUCAGUCUGUGCAAUAAUAAAAACCUGUUCAAACUAAAAGUAAUUUCUGUAGAUAGUGGUAAGCAGGGUCGAAUCCACAGGGAUUAGGUGUAACUGUUUCUUUUCAAAUUCACAAUAACAAAGGGGGUGUUUUUAUGCAGAAUGUGACAAUCAAAGAAAUUCAAUUAAAAGUAAAAUAAUAAAAAUAAAAUAGCCAACUAGAAAUUAAAUAACAAUUUACUAAAAUCAAAUGAGUGAUAAUUAAGGAUCUAGCCAAGGAAUAACUUCAGCAGUGGUUCACCUAAUUGAUCAUUGGAACAAAGGCAAUUCCAAUUAUUUACUAAUAAAUAGGUUAUAACUGCCAAACAAGCGAUGACAGUCAAUCACUCCUUACUGUGUCGGUGAUUAAGGUACGCCCGUUAAUCACUGCCCUAAUUGAGAAAUAAUCUUAGGUACGCCCGUAAGAUUUAAUUUUCCAAUUGCCUUACAUAUUAGAGGAGUGUCAGGAACAAGGAAAUAGAAUGGGACGUCGUUUAAUGCAAAGGGUUGUGCGUUUAAGGCCUUAGAAGCAAUACUACGUCGUUCUAAUAACAUAGGCGGUGCUGGUGUGAUAGGCCAAGUUAGUUGAGGGUCAAUUACAUAAAUAGCCUUCUGUAACAGAUUUUUGGUUAUGUUUUUGAAUGAAAAGUAUCUCGCUGCUUUCUCUCUCUUGUCUGUUAUUUCCCUCCCUUUUCUUCUUUCUCUCUUCCCUCUUCUUAAUCUUGUUUCUUUCUUCUGAUUCUUCCCCCAAAUUCAAUACAAUUCCAGAAAUUAACCUGCAAGUCUGACAUUUGGUAUCAGAGCGGUCGAUUCUUGGCCGCGAAGGUAUCAGAAAUGGCUGAGAGCACGCGAUUCAGGACACUGGAGGAGCAACUCAAGAAGCAGGAGAAUCGGUUGCAAGAACUGGCGGAAUCCAUGGCUGCACUGCAGAGUACGAGUUCCGAGGAGUUGCGGCAUAAGCUACAGGCGGAAAUGGAGCAGAACAAUGCAAAAUUGGACGCGGUGGUGGGAAGUCUGGACCAGAAGUUCAAUAAAAUGGAACAGAGACUCAGUACAGUGUUGAAGCUGCUGAUGAAGGAGAAAGGUCUCCCUGAUGUCGAAGGAGGAAUUUCUGAUCCAAUCUUGCCGACUCCUCCAUCUCAUCUGAGGUUAGCAUCCUCAGUCGAAGGGAUUGGGCACCAACAAGAGUACAGAGGUAGGCAAUUCACUCCUAAUGUACCUCGAUUAGAACUGCCAAUGUUUAACUCUGGAAACCCUAGGGAAUGGACCAGGAAAUGCCAGAAAUAUUUUUUGAACUAUCAGAUAGCAGAGAGUCAAAAGGUAGAGGUAGCAGAGAUGUUUUUGGAAGGUAGAGCUGACAAUUGGUUUCAAGGAGUGAAAUUGGUGAGGCCAGGGUUGUCUUGGGGGGAAUUUAGUGAACUUUUGUGUGAAAGAUUUUCUGGAAGUAGUUCUCGUGACAUUGUGGAGGAAUUUAACAAGUUACAGCAGAAAGGAACUGUUGAGGAAUAUGAGGAGAAAUUUGAAGAACUAAAAGCUCUAAUGCUGAUGAAAACCCCCAGGUUGGAUGAACUUUACUUUGUUUCCAGUUUUAUUAGUGGCCUCAGGGAAGAAAUUAGACCUAUGGUGAAGAUGUUUAAGCCUCAAACACUGAUGAAGGCCUUUGAAGUUGCGGAGUUGCAGGAGUGUUCCCUGGAAAUCCAAUCGAAACAAAACAGAACUUCAAGGAGGACAGCAAUGGAACCCAAGUUUGGAAUGUAUAAGGGCACUACGAGUGAUUAGGGUCGCCAAAAUUCAUAUAAGUUGCCUGGAGUCACUCCUGUCUCCAGGAGGACUAAUGCAGUACACAAGGAAUUUAGUAAGAUAUCAGCGGAGGAAAUGCAGUAUAAGCGUAAGCACAGCCUGUGCUAUAGGUGUGGAGAGAAGUUUGGAAUAGGUCAUCAGUGUAAGAAAGGAAGUCUGAACUGUGUGAGCACUGAGGAAGAGGAGGACACUGAAUUUGAGGAUGCGGAAGGGGAACAGGAUGAGUUAACAGGAAGGGUCGGGGAACUUGCAGAAGUCUCUUUGAAUGCUUUAUCUGGUGCCAUAAGGAGGAAAUCCAUCCUGUUGAUAGGGAACUUAGGGGGGCUUCCAGUCAAAAUUUUGGUGGACACAGGCAGUUCUAACAGCUUCAUUCACCACAGGAUUGUCAACCUACUGCAUCUACCAUAUCAGGCAGUCAGUCCAUUUACUGUGACUCUAGCAGAUGGAACUGACAUUACCAGUGGAGCCAUCAGUCCCAGCGUGUCUUGGUUAAUUCAGGACUAUCAAUUCCAAUUUGACUUAAAAGUAAUGGAAUUAGGGGGAUGGGAUAUAAUUCUGGGGGUGGACUGGAUGUGCCAGUAUAGUCCCAUUACAUUUGAUUUCCACUCUCUUAGCAUUGCCCUUAGUGAUAGGGGUUCUUUACUACACCUCCAAGGACUUGUGAAGCAACCUACUAUGGAACUGGUGAGGGGCAGGGAUCUCAGCUCGUUUAUACAGGAGAAGCAAAGAAACUGUGCAGCCAUGCAUGCUGAUAGGGCCAGGGAAACAGGAGAGCAGCUUCCAAAAGCUAUAGAAAGGAUCCUGGAACAGCACUCUCAGGUUUUCUCCACCCCAACAGGAUUACCCCCAGAGAGGGAAUUGGACCAUCAGAUCAACCUCAAACCAGGAGCUGAACCCUUCAAGCUCAAACCUUACAGGUACCCCCACUCACAUAAAGCAGAAAUUGAAAAAAAAGUUGCUGAGAUGCUCACUAAUGGAAUUGUUAUACAUAGCACAAGCCCCUAUGCCUCCCCUGUAUUGUUAGUAAAGAAAAAGGAUAACUCCUGGAGAUUAUGCAUAGAUUACAGGAAGCUGAACGAGCUGACUAUAAAGGAUAAGUUCCCUAUUCCCAACAUAGAUGAACUAUUGGAUGAAUUACAUGGAACCAGAUACAUGUCCAAACUGGAUCUCAGAGCUGGUUACCAUCAGUUGAGGGUGAAAGCUGUUGAUACCCCUAAGACUGCCUUCCAGACACACCAUGGCCACUUUGAAUUCUUAGUGAUGCCUUUUGGACUCACAAACGCGCCAGCUACAUUUCAGUCCUUGAUGAACAGAAUAUUUCAGCCAUAUCUCAGAAAGUUUGUCCUAGUCUUCUUUGACUACAUAUUAGUGUACAGCCCCACACUAGAGAUGCAUGCACAGCAUCUACAGAUUGUGCUCAAUAUUUUAGAAGAAAAUCAGCUGUAUUACAAGAGGUCAAAGUGCUCUUUUGCCCAGUCCUCAAUUGAAUACUUGGGGCACGUGAUCUCAGAGGCAGGAGUGAGUAUGGAUGUGGCUAAGGUGGAGUGUAUCAAGUCCUGGUCUGUUCCUAGUACAGUCAAGGAGCUGAGAGGGUUUUUGGGAUUAAUUGGUUACUACAGGAGAUUCAUUAAAGGCUAUGGAGUGAUUAGCAAACCCUUGACUGUAUUGUUGAAAAAGGAAGGUUUUGCAUGGAACCAUGAAGCUCAAAUGGCCUUUGAAGAUUUGAAAAAGGUUAUGACCACAGCCCCAGUGCUGAGCAUGCCUAAUUUCGAACUUCCUUUUGUCAUAGAGACUGAUGCCUGUGGAAUAGGUAUUGGAGCAGUGUUGAUGCAGCAAGGACAUCCUAUUGCUUUCCUUAGCAAGGCAUUAUCAGUUCAGAAUUUGGGGUUAUCAGUCUAUGAAAAAGAGCUUUUUGCCUUAGUGCUAGCUGUAACUAAGUGGAGGCAUUACCUGGUGGGUCAUCACUUCAUUAUCAGGACAGAUCACCAAGCUCUCAAACAUUUGAUAGAGCAAAGGCUUACUCAUCCACUCCAGCACAAGUGGCUAACUAAGCUACUUGGUUUGGACUAUGAAAUACAGUAUAAAAAGGGUGCAGACAAUGGGGUGGCAGACGCCCUCUCCAGGAGAAGGAUUGAGGGAAACACUGUUGACUGUGGAGAGACUGGGCAUCAGACCUGCGCCAUAACCUCAGCUCAGCCUAGUUGGAUGCAGGAAAUGCUAGAAAGCUACAUUGGAGAUGCAGAGGCUCAACAGAAGUUAUCUGAGCUAUUGCUGGAUCCCAAUGCAGAUCCAGAUUAUCAGUUAAAGAAUGGGAUGCUCAAGUUUAAAGGGCGGCUGUACAUAGGAUCUGCUAACAACAUUAGGACCAAGGUGGUCAGAGCAUUGCAUGACUCAGCCCUUGGGGGGCACUCAGGUCCUGGAAUCCGUAAGGAUGUCCUUCAAUAUGUGAGAUCUUGUGAUGUGUGUCAAAGGAACAAACAUGAAAAUGUUCCUUAUCCUGGGUUGCUGCAACCAAUUCCUGUACCUCAGCAGGCUUGGUCACACCUCACCAUGGAUUUUAUUGAGCAACUACCCCCAUCCCAUGGAUUUGAUACCAUUUUGGUGGUGGUGGAUAGGUUAACCAAGUUCAGCCACUUCAUUCGACUCACUCACCCUUUUUCUGCACAGCAGGUAGCACAGCUUUUCCUUGACAACAUAUACAAGCUGCAUGGACUUCCUGAGACCAUUAUAACUGACAGGGACAUAAUCUUUCUUAGUAAGUUUUGGCAAGAGUUAUUUGGUAUGGUAGGGGUAAAGCUGCACUACAGUUCAUCGUAUCACCCUCAAUCAGAUGGUCAAAGUGAAAGGGUCAAUCAGUGUUUGGAAAACUAUCUCAGGUGUAUGUGCAGUGAGCAUCCUUCUCACUGGAGCAGUUGGCUUCCUACAGCUGAGUUAUGGUACAACACUAACUUCCAUACUAGCUUGCAGGUGACACCAUUCGAAGCACUAUACGGGUAUAAACCAAAUCACCUUCCCUUAGGACCUUUUCAUGAUAGCCUGGUACCUGCUGCUGGUAACAUGGUGCAGACUAGGCUCCAAAUUCUAUCCCUCAUCAAAGAGAAUCUAGCCACCGCCCAGAAUCGAAUGAAAAUGUUUACUGAUAAGCACAGGACUGAACGUGUCUUCCAAGUGGGGGAUUGGGUAUUUCUCAAGCUGCAACCUUACAGGCAACAAUCAGUGGCCUUACGGAAGAAUUUGAAGUUGGCUGCCAAAUACUUUGGACCUUUCCAGAUCCUUGCGAGAGUAGGGGAAGUCGCCUACAGACUUAAGUUGCCAGAGGGAGCUCGAGUUCAUUCCGUGUUCCAUGUGUCCUUACUUAAAAGGAAAGUGGGAGUUACACAGCAGGUAAAGCCCAGCUUGCCAGAAGUAGACGCAUCAGACCAAUGUUUGCUGAAGCCAGAGAAGAUUCUCCAGAGGCGUGUUAUCAUACGAGCUGCCAAACCAAUCAUCCAGUACCUGGUGAAGUGGAACAACUUACCAGAAUCCGAAGCAUCAUGGGAGGAUAAAAGCUUCAUUGACAGACAAUUUCCGGAAUUUCAAGCUUGAGGACAAGCUUUGCUUAAGGGGAAGAGAUUGUCAGGAACAAGGAAAUAGAAUGGGACGUCGUUUAAUGCAAAGGGUUGUGCGUUUAAGGCCUUAGAAGCAAUACUACGUCAUUCUAAUAACAUAGGCGGUGCUGGUGUGAUAGGCCAAGUUAGUUGAGGGUCAAUUACAUAAAUAGCCUUCUGUAACAGAUUUUUGGUUAUGUUUUUGAAUGAAAAGUAUCUCGCUGCUUUCUCUCUCUUGUCUGUUAUUUCCCUCCCUUUUCUUCUUUCUCUCUUCCCUCUUCUUAAUCUUGUUUCUUUCUUCUGAUUCUUCCCCCAAAUUCAAUACAAUUCCAGAAAUUAACCUGCAGAUCUGACAAGGAGCCCUAUUCUAACCAAAUAACACACUACCAGGGUUAUUUUAGGUUAGCCCGCGUAUUCCCCUGACAUGAAUCCAAUCAUGCCAGUUAUCACUAUUUUGAAACAAUUAAACAAUUACGGAUUUAACGUCCCAAUUGACAAUAGAUUAUCAAAUUAACUAAUUAUCCGGAUCCAAAACAAUCAAUUAAUUAAAUAAUCAUAAGCACUGUAAUCAGGGAAUAUUUGAAUACCAAUAAAUAAAAAGAAAGGACAAAAUUAAAUCGAUUUCACAAUUUUUAAACGAACCACAACCUCAGUUGUUCCUCGGCUAGAUUGAGAAAAUUAGCUCAUGUUCGAUGCGAAAAAUCCACAAGAAAUUGUUAAGAGAGCCGCGGCCAUUGUCCCUUGAAAUUGGGGAAAUUCAAUUCGGUUGAACUACGAAAGAAAAGUAAGCUACAGAGAGUUGCCGAUUGGGUUUUGCUUGUCCCUAACAUGCGAGGGAGCAAAGCCACGAAAGGACGACAAAGGUCAAAAAGAAAGGCUACAGAGCAUGUUCCAGGUCUUUUUGUGCUCUCCACAUCCGAGCCAACGAAAAGAAAUAAAAAACUACCAGGAGCUAAAGGAAAACCGCAAGAAAAGUCAAAGGCUAAAAAAACUUCCUAGUGCUUGUUCUCUGCUUAUCUCUUUAUCUAAUUCUAAGUCCCCGAUUUUUUGCUCCGUGCGGCGGCUCCCCCGGAGAGAAAGGAUUGCAUCCGCUGCCCUCUUCCACCAAUUACCAAAAUGGGCACACCGCUUCUUUUUCAAAAAUGCUCCUGGAUAAACUCUAUCAUCUGGACUUUUUUUCUGUCAAAUUGACAUUUAUUAUUAUAUUUUCGUUCUACUCCCUGAAAUAAAUGUAAAAUAUUAAAAAUGAGUAGAAUCCGACAAUUAAUUCACAUCAGGUCAGAUAAUAAAGAAAAUUAAUAAUAAAAUAAAUAAAUAAAUUGCAACCUAUCAACCAAAUACAACAAUUUCAUGGAGUUUGAUACACAAGCCCAAAUACACGAGAGUGUGUAACCUGAAUUGUUACUUAUACAUUAGUGUGUAAUAGAACGGCAAGCAUUAUGGUGGUCAUUGAGCAACUUGUAGGAGAAAUAGUCCUAUAAGCUGUUCAAUGACCAAUCACAACUUGCUAAUUGGAUGACUAAUAUAGCUCUAGCUGUAAUGUUUUAAUUAAAUUCCAUCACUAACGUUGGGAUGACUUUUUAAUCAAAAAAAAAAAAGCCUUAGUUCAAGCUUUUCCCCUUAUUGUGCAUUUUUUAAAACAUUUGAUAGGCACUGCAAAUCUGUCAUUUUGGACAUUUUAUUAUUAACUAACAAUGAAAGCCGUGGACAUCAACCCAUAUCCAACAAAAUAUUAAAUUAAUAUUAGAAAAAAUUAUUAAGUAAUUGGAAAAAAAAAGAAGAGGCUAAUUUUCAUUGAAACCCACCGACAAACUAUACGCUGCUUUCAAUCAGUUUUAACACGGGAAAAAGAAAAGGCAUGAAAAGCAAAAUUUGUGGGGAUAAUUUCGGAAACCUCCCAUGAAGUUUUUGACUAUUUUACUGGCCUCCCUUCAGAUUUUAAAAAUUGGACUAAUCUUCCUUAAAGUUAAUUAUCUUGUAACAUUUAGAUCCGAUCAAUAAUUUAAAAAAUAAUAUUAUGAGAGAGAAAAUAAUAUGAUUUUAUUAUUGCCCCCAUCUCACCACAUUAUUUAAUUAAUUUAAUAGCAACCCACACAUUAAAGAAAAUGACAGGUCGUCAACCUGUGCAAUAAUAAAAUUAAACCUAAUUGCCAGUUAAAAUGACCAAAACCCAAUUCCAAGUACUGGAGCAGGGACUCUAGGUGUGCAAUGGGUUACUUGAUUCACCCUGUUCCCGAAGAGUUUGCUUGAUCCGAUAUACCCGAAUGGAAUGGUUAUUCCUUUUCACAAAUGAUUAGGAAUUUGUAGACAGGGCAAGUAGGGUCGUAUCCACAGAGACUGGGUAUAUUUGUUUCUUAAGAAAUCCAAAGUAACACAGGGGGUGAUUUUGUAGGAACGACGAUAAUUAAAUAAAUUCAAAUGAGAAAGUAAAAAUAAAUAAUUAACUAGAAAUUAAACCACAAUUUACUGAACUCAGGAUAACAAUAGUUAAAGGCCUCAAUUAAUUAAAAUAAGGAAACAAUCAAAAAUAAAAUAAAGUAGGUAAUUAAAAGUCAAAUGGCAAUCCACUACAAUCAAGGAAAUAUUAACUAAAGAUCUAGCCAAGAAAUAACUUCAGCAAUGGUUCACCUAAUCGAUCAUUGAUGCAAAGCAAUCCCAAUUAUUUACUAAUAAAUAGGUUAUAACUACCAAACAAGCGAUGGCAGUCAACCCCUCCUUACUGUGUCGGUGAUCAAGGUACGCCCGUUAAUCACUGCUCUAAUUGAGAAAUAAUCCUAGGUACGCCCGUAGAAUUUAAUUCCCCAACUGCCUUACGUAUUAGAGGAGCCCUAUUCUACCCAAAUAACACACUACCAGGGUUAUUUUAGAUUAGCCCGCGUAUCCCCCUGACACGAAUCUAAUCGUGCCAGUUGUCACUAAUUUGAGGUAAUUAAACAAUUACGGAUUCAAUACCCCAAUUGACAAUAGAUUAUCAAACCAAUGAAUUAUCCGGAUCCAAGACAAUCAACUAAUUAAAUAAUCAUAAGCACUGCAACCAAGGAAUAUGCGAAUACCAAUAAAUAAAGGAAAAGAUAAAAUUAAAUCGAUCUCACAAUUUACAGGUGACCCAAAGCAUCAGUCGUUUCUUGACUAGAACGAGGGGGUUAGCUCAUAUUGGAUGAACUAAGCCCGCGGGAAAUUCCAGCAAAAGUCACGGCCGUUGUAUGCAUUUCAAGAGCCGCAAUUCGUCAAACACUUGGAAAGCGAAUGUAAGGCACGGGUAACAAUUGAAACUUUCUAAUUGUUCCUAGCAUUCGUAAAGCAAAUUCACUCCAGAAGUACAGUGAGGAAAAGUCAAAGAAAGUGGGCUUCAAUUCCUUGCUCCUGACAUGCGUGGAGACAAGCCAAUGCAAGACUACAAUAAACUAACAAGGAAAAGUCAAGAAUUGGAGCUAAGCUCCCCUGCCAUGCGCAGGAAUCCCAAAAGUAAAAAGUAAAGCUUCAAAGAAAAGUCAACAAUUCUUCCUAAGCUACAGACGGAAGAUCCAGCACAAAAGCCAGCUCCCUUUUUGAUCCCUUUUUCCCCCUUCUUAUUGCGGCGGCUCACCAGGAGAGGAGAGCCCUCCGUCCGUCCUUUCUUCCGGAAAUUACCAAAAUGGGCAUGACAUCUUCUCUUCCAAAAGUGCCCCUGGGACAAGCUUUCUCAUCUGAAUUCUUUUUUUUUCCAAUUUGGCACCUGUUAUCAUAUUUAUAUUCUACUCCCUGAAAUAAACGUCAAAUACUAAAAGUGAGUAGAAUCCAGCAAAUAAAUCCACAUCAAGUCAGGUAAUAGGAGGAAUUAAUAAUAAAAUAAAUGAAUAAAUUGCACCCUAUCAAUUCCCUCCACACCUAAACCAUGCUUGUCCUCAAGCAUAAGAAAAGUAAACGAACACCAAAAUUCGACGAUAGCCAUUGCCCAAUCUCCUAUAUUGCCAAGACAUUCAAGAGAAAAACACAUAUCGAGCAUUGGUGAUUAGAAUCCCAGAAGCAUCCCCCCGGUUAGCCUCUAACCCCCAGAUUCCUUCAAUUUCCAACUUAACUACUCUAAGAAAGAGGAAUGGCACACAACAUUUAUCAGCUAGUGGUCCGAAUAUUCACACAAGUCUUCAUAUCCAAUCCAUAAACCGGCAAGCUUCCCUAUUAUUUAGUCUCUCUUUUUUUCCGUUUUUUUUCAUUUUCAUUCUUCCCCUCUUUUUUUUUUUUUUUUAAAGCAGUAGCAAUCAACACAAAAGACUUAGUCGUUAGCCGUCAGGGCCUUUUGAUGCGAACUCCAACAUUUUUAGAAGGAGGAGCCCGGUUACUCAGCUCCUACCGCUAUACGACCACGCACUCAUAUAAAAUACCACCUUUUGACGCGAGAAUCGACACUUUUAGGUGCCGAUCCCCGGUUACUCAGUAGUAACUUAAUAGCGGAGCACAGUCAAGCUUAUUCUCAGCCAAACAAUGCACAAACGCAAAAUAACAGCACUAACAAUCAAACAUAGGAGCAGCUCGCCUCAUUAUUGUCAAACAUGGAGAACUGGAGUCAAUAUUGGACCAGUUCACAUUAAAAGGCCAUAUUCAUUCCCUACGCCUAGAAAAGUUAACAAAGAAAUCGAAAGAGUCAAACAGUUAAAUAUUCACCAAGGGGAUAUUCAGGACCCAACCACACUAACCCGAUACAUUUUGUAUUUUAAAAACUUGGCAAAAGUAGAUUUGGAGUCAAUGAGUCCACAUCUCAAUUUUAGCCUUCACAUGAAAGGCAAUCACCAAGAAGAAAGAACGGAAAAAUAAGCAACUAGAAAUGAGACUACGAAAAACUACUAAAACUAAAAACUCACUUUUUUUCUUUUUCUCUUUUUUUUUCUUUUUGAAUUUUUUUUUCAUUUUUAUUUUUUUUUAUUUUUUUUAUUUUUUAAACAUUAACUAUAAACAUUAACUACUAAAAACUAAAAACUAAAACUACUAAAAACUAAAAACACUAAAAACUGCUAAAAUGAAAAGCUGAAAACUGAAAACUACUAAAAACGGAGCACACUAGCAUAACUUUAGAUCCCCCCCACACCUAUAGGACACAUUGUCCUCAAUGUGACAAAUAAGAACCAAAAGUGAAGCACAAGUGAGAGGGGAAUCAGCCAAACUUCCCUGAAAUCGGGUCACAGCGGAGGGCGAGGUGGAAAUGGAGGUGCAAAGCCUGUAUGCAUCAGGAACUGUGCCAAAUUCUGUGCUAUGCCGGCGACAUUGGCGUCGACGUUGGUCAUCCGGGCCUGCAAAUCCUGAACCAGCUCCCUGAGAUGCUGCCAAUCAUCGGUCCCAGGUGGUGGAGGUGGCGCAGAAGUAGAGGUAGACGGCCCAGCAGUGUCCGCGGCCGACCCAGGGAAUGAAGAUGGCCCUGCCCGGGCCGAAUGGUGUGCACCCGGGGCUCGAGGUGGUCCCGGACGGGUAAACUGGUGAAAACCAUCUGGCAGACGCUCGACGACCCCCAUUUUCUCUAAGCAAACUACGUCCAAGUGCUCCAUCUCAAAUGCCAAAUGGAGGUCGUGGUCAUCCAGGUUAAGAACUCCCAACUGGGUCGCCAAGUGAGUGAUGUAGGACCCAAGGAUCAGUGGUUUGUUCUUCUUGGUCAAGACCGUCUUGAACUGUGCGGCCAACCAACAUCCCAAGUUCACCUUGAUAUUGUUCUUCAUACUCCAGAGAAAGAAGAAUUCGGGCCGAGAGAGUAUACCGGAGCUGUCCUUGCGCCCCGAGUAGCUAUAAGCUAAGAAUCGCUGAACAUAGCGGGCGCUAGGGUCCUUAAGAAAGGAGCUCCUGGACCGGGAAGGAUCGUAGCGUUGCCUAUCGACGGACAUGUCCUCCCAUACAUCAUGGUAGUGGGAGAGGAAAGGCUCUACGUAGUCACAGGCACUCUCCGCAUACUCCCUAGUCUCAGCAUACUCUCUAGUGAUAAACCCAAAUGCCAGAUUGAAUUGAGUAAUGGAGAAAUUGAAUUCUCGACCCAUGAGCCGGAAAUGAAUGACAUUCGGUGUUUCACCCGUGUAUCUCGUAGGUAAUUCGAACUCAAAGGUGGAGUAAAACUCCCGGAUCAGCUCAACAAAAGCGGGACAAGAAAUAUGGAAAUAUGGGCGCCACCCAAUGGCUGUGAACAUUUGCUCAACCUCCUCCCGUAUACCCAGGGCAGUUAGAGAGAGUCUAUGACAAGACUUACAGGAUAUUAUACGCCUCUCGCAGACCUUAGCGUACCUCUGCCGAUCGGCGGGUCUGGUAAAUGUUAAGUGCCCCCCAAAAUGAACAGGUGCAUCUACCUGAGCACCCCUAUCCCUACCCAAACGGGUUCGAACACUAGAAGAGGAGGGUAGGUUGGUAGGUGAGUUGACAGGAAUAGAGGCUUGUGGAGGGGGUUGAGACUGAGAGGUCCUAGACCUAGAGGAGGAUUUCGGUCUCACCAUUCCCCCCAAAGUAAGUUCAAGGCAACAGAAAAUCCGACAAGUAUAGAAACCAGCAAUUGACAAAGCAAAAAUCUCCCAGUAGUAACCCAGCCAAUAGCAAACAAAAGAGUUCCAGCAAGUAAUCAACAAGCAAUUCAGAAAUAUCUCAACUAAAAUCUCAAGAGAAACCCCAGCGAGUUAUCCAGCAAUUCAAGCAAUAUCCCCAAGCAAUGUGGUGGUCAAAAUGUCAUCUCCAAAUUGAACAAAUAAUCAGAGCAUUGCAACACAUUGAAAAUCUCAAUAAACGGCUCCAGUUGGCCAAGAAAAAUUGCUAACUCAUACUCAGCAAUAGUAGUGCAGCAAAGGGACAGUAACCACGCAAUAAAAACACUUAGCUUGCACUCAAAUGGUCACCCCAAAUAACAACCCAGUAUGAAACCCGCAGGCAGAGUAUUCCUCAAACCGUUAGCCUAAACCCAGUCAACAACCACGGCCAGAAAUAACCCCAUAAAUAGUGCAAUGAGUAAUCCCCAGCAACAUAAUCAGGUGUAAUCAACUGGAGCAAGCAAUUUACAUGGCAUAGAAACCUCCCAAUCAAACAAGUGCAUUAUUCUAGCGCACCCCAAAAUUCCAAGAAAUGGCUCCAGUUGGCCAAUUAAUUUCACAAUGUCACCCAACUCAGGAGAAAUAGCAAUUCCACACAAAAAUAGUCAAACCAGUACCACUGGCGAAAAAUCUUUCAAAUAUGCACAAUUUGCUACCAAAUAUCACCGGCUAACACUGAAAAAUUGAGGGCAAGUGUCAAAUACCUCCACAGGGACUACCCCAGGCGGCAGACAGAGAAGCGGCGUUGAAGCUGGUGGUCGAGCGGGGCGGCGCUCGCGUCGGCGUGCGCAGCGGCGACGGCGCGCGAGGAUGGAGUUUCGGGAGGUUGCGUGCGGGCUUGGCUGAAGACGCGGCGCGCGCUAGGGCUUCGCUGCGGCAGGCGUGCAGCAGGGGAGAAGAAAGAAAAGAGAAAGAAAGAAAGAAAAAGAAAGGAAAGAAAGAACAGAAAAGAAGGAAAAGAAAAAGGAAUUUUUCUUUUUUUUCUUUUUCUUUAGGCUACGGUUUAGAGGACAAAUUUUUCUUCUUCUUGUUUUCUACUUUUUUAUUUUUUUAUUUUUUAGUUUUUAAUUUAUUACUAUUAUUAUCAUAUUUAAUUGAGGAAAAAAAAUGUUUUUUUUUAAAUCCCUACCUUUCCCACGAACGUGACGCGGGCACGUCAAGAGGGCAAGAGAGCUCCCAGAAGUUUCAGAAUUUUCUGAUCGUAAGCGUCCUGCACAUCACCACGCGGGCACGUCAUGAGGACAGGAGAGCUCCCAGAAGUUCAGAAUUUUCUGAUCGUGAGCGCCCUGCACGUCACCACGCGGGCACGUCAUGAGGCCAGGAGAGCUCCCAGAAGUUUGAAGUUUCUGAUUCCUGCCCGUCAUCACGCGGGCGCGUCAUGACUGAAGGUCACCUACAAAUCAGCAAAAACGAAAACUAACACCCAAAAUCAGUCAAAUUCAGGGAAAGCAGAUUUAAACUAUGCUACAAAACCAACAAACAAUUAAAAGAAAUAAUUAGGUUGCCUCCCAAUGAGCGCCUUUCUUUAAUGUCUUUGGCUAGACAUGGUAAAGUGUCACUGAUUAGGACACGGUGGUGCGUCAAGCCUUAUUGUCUCCACCUCUCUACCUGAAAAUCCUUCGUAAUAAUAUUUGAGACGGUGUCCAUUCACCACAAAUUUGUUGUCUGUCUUAGCACUCUGGAUCUCAACUGCACCAUAGGGAAAAACAUGAGUAACAAUGAAAGGUCCAAUCCAACGGGAACGUAGCUUACCUGGGAAUAGCUUGAGCCUGGAUUGGUACAGGAGGACCUUCUGACCAACUUCAAAUGUUUUUCUUGAAAUUUGUUGGUCAUGAAAUGCCCGGCUUUUCUCCUUAUAUAUCAAGGCGUUUUCGUAUGCUUCGUUCCGGAUCUCCUCCAAUUCUUGCAAAUCCAACUUCCGUUGAGCACCGGCCUCCUCUAAAUUCAUAUUGCAGUGCUUUAUCGCCCAAAAAGCCUUGUGCUCGAACUCCACUGGAAGGUGACACGGCUUCCCAAAUACCAACCUGUACGGUGACAUCCCAAUAGGAGUCUUGUACGCCGUCCGAUAGGCCCAGAGUGCGUCUUCCAACCUUUGGCUCCAGUCUUUUCUAUCAGGGCGCACCAUUUUCUCUAAAAUGGACUUAAUCUCCCGAUUCGACACCUCCGCUUGACCAUUGGUCUGAGGGUGGUAUGACGUUGAGACCCUGUGGAGUACACCAUACUUGCGAAACAACGCAGCUAUGGUUUUGUUGCAAAAGUACGUUCCCCUAUCACUGACAAUAGCUCUAGGCAUUCCAAACCGCACAAAGAUAUUAGACCUGAUAAAAUCUGCAACUACUCUCGAAUCAUUAGUUCGAGUGGCCUUAGCCUCCACCCAUUUAGACACAUAAUCAACUGCCAGCAAAAUAUAUAAAAAACCAAAUGAAGUAGGAAAAGGCCCCAUGAAAUCUAUACCCCAGACAUCAAAAAUUUCAACAAAAAUCAACGGGACCUGGGGCAUUUGAUCUCUACGGGCUAUAUUACCUACCAUUUGACAGCGAUCACAUGACUUACAAAACACAUAGGCAUCUCUAAACAAUGAAGGCCAAUAAAAUCCACUUUCUAAAACCUUAUGAGCAGUUCUCUUAGGUCCAAAAUGACCUCCACAGGCAAAAGUAUGACAAAAAGCUAAAAUUGAUUGAAAUUCCAUUUCACUUACACAUCUCCUCAUCACUUGAUCGGCACACCUCUUCCAUAGGUACGGGUCAUCCCAGAUAAAAUACUUGGCAUCGCUCUUCAAUUUAUCCCUCUUCGAUUUCGGCCAACCUGCAGGAAAAUUACCAGUUACCAAAUAAUUGACCAAAUCAGCAUACCAAGGCAACUGAGAAUUUAAGAAAAAUAGGUAUUCUUCGGGGAAUGCAUCCUUCAAUGGCUCGCUAUCCUCUUCAACUAGUAUGCGACUCAAAUGGUCCGCUACUAGAUUUUCUGAGCCUUUUUUGUCCCUUAUCUCCAAGUCAAAUUCCUGUAGGAGCAGUAUCCACCGUAUGAGCCUCGGUUUUGCAUCUUUCUUGGUCAUCAGGUACCUCAAUGCUGCAUGAUCAGAAAAUACAAUCACUUUAGCACCUAACAAGUAUGACCUAAAUUUUUCCAAAGCAAAAAUAACUGCCAGAAGCUCCUUCUCAGUGGUGGAAUAAUUCAACUGGGCUCCAUUCAAGGCCCGGGAUGCGUAAUAGAUGACAUGAGCCGCCUUGCCUAUUCUUUGCCCCAGUACAGCCCCAACAGCGUGAUCACUGGCAUCGCACAUGAUCUCAAAUGGCAAAUUCCAAUCGGGGGGUUGGAUGAUUGGGGGUGAAGUCAGCAAUUCCUUCAGCUUGUUAAAGGCUCUCUCACACUUAUCAUCAAAUUCGAAGGCUACAUCUUUUUGUAGGAGUUGGAACAACGGGGCUCCAAUCUUUGAAAAAUCCUUGAUGAACCUUCGAUAAAAACCUGCAUGUCCAAGAAAAGAGCGCACCUCCCGCACACUCGCGGGGUAAGGUAAUGCAGAAAUAAUGUCUAUUUUAGCCUUGUCAACUUCUAUGCCCUUAGACGAUACAAUAUGACCCAGGACUAUUCCGUGCUCAACCAUAAAAUGACAUUUUUCCCAAUUAAGCACAAGAUUAGUCUCUAUACACCUGAUCAGGAUUAAUUUCAGGUUAUCUAGACAAGUAUCAAAACUAUCACCAUACACACUGAAAUCAUCCAUGAAAACUUCUAUUAUUUUCUCAACAUACUCGGAAAAGAUGCUUACCAUACAUCUUUGGAAAGUCGCAGGUGCAUUGCACAACCCAAAUGGCAUUCGUCUGUAGGCAAAGGUCCCGAACGGGCACGUGAAGGUUGUCUUCUCUUGAUCCUCCGGGGCAAUUGCUAUCUGAAAGUAUCCUGAAAAUCCAUCCAAAAAGCAAUAAUAAGCCCUACCAGCUAAACGUUCAACCAUUUGGUCAAUGAAAGGGAGAGGGAAAUGGUCCUUUUUGGUGACGGCGUUUAGCCUACGGUAAUCUAUACAUUGCCUCCAUCCAGUGGGUUUGCGCACUGGCACGAGCUCACCAGUUUGGUUGGCCUCUACCGUCACUCCUGCAUUCUUUGGGACUACCUGGACCGGACUCACCCAAGGGCUAUCAGAUAUUGCAAAAAUGAUGCCCACAUCUAGCAAUUUUAGAAUCUCUUUCUUUACGACUUCCAUCAUGAGGGGAUUGAGCCUUCUUUGAGCCUGCCUAACAGGUUUGGCAUCGUCUUCCAGCCUAAUCCGGUGCAUACAAAUGGCCGGGCUGAUCCCCUUAAUGUCUGCGAUUGUCCAGCCUAUUGCCUCUUUAUGCUCCCGAAGGACCCGGAUCAAUUUCUCUUCCUGGGUCUUUGACAGUGCCGAUGAGAUAAUCACUGGGAGUGUCUCAUUAUCACCUAGGUAUGCGUAUUUCAGGUGCUCUGGUAGAGGUUUCAACUCCAGUACAGGUGCCUGCACCACAGAUGGCAAUACCCUCUGGUGAGCCUUGGGAGUAAAAAUAGGUAAGACUUCAUACCUUUUCGUGGUGGUCUGCAACGAGUGUAAUGCACCUAUUGUGCAUUUUAAAUCCUCGCUCCACUCCACCUCAGGAGUUGUCUCCAACUCGAGGUGCUUGGUUAAAGCCACCUCCAGCUCAUCCCUGCCAUCAGUUUCAAACACUUCCUGCACUACAGGGUCAAUAGCACUCACAGAAAAAACUGAGCUAAAGUUGGAGUUAGAGGGGUACUUCAUAGUAUCAAAAAUAUUAAAAUGCACAAUUUACCCAUCAAACUCCAUGGACAAGGUACCCUUAUUAACAUCAAUUUUCGUCUGCGCAGUGCUCAUAAAAGGUCUACCCAAUAACAAAGGUGAGGGAUCAGGGGAGUGAUCAUCAUCCAUAUCUAGUACAUAAAAAUCAGCUGGAAACACCAAAUCAUUAACCUUUACCAACACAUCUUCAAUCAACCCAUCAGGAUAUGCAUUAGUUCGGUCAGCUAAUUGAAUAAUUAUUCCAGUUUCUUUUAAUGGACCUAGUUUCAAAGAAGCAUAGAUAGAUUUAGGCAUGACAUUAAUUGAUGCUCCCAGAUCCAGCAUGGCCCUUCUGAUCACAGUAUUACCUAUCUUACAGGGAAUAGUAAACAUACCUGGGUCCCCGCACUUUGGUGGGAGCUUUCUCUGCAGGACCGCAGACACAUUUUCUCCAACUAUGACCCGUUCAUCUCCCCUCAACCGCCUUCGGUUGACACACAAGUCCCUUAGGAACUUGGCAUAUUUUGGUACUUGUUUGAUGGCGUCUAAGAGGGGGAUAUUUAUCUCAACCUUGCGAAAAACCUCCAAGAUCUCCUUCUCCUUAUCCUGCUUCUUCGAUUUUUCCAACCUGCUAGGAAAAGGAGGCGGGUUAGUUUUAACUGUAAUUAUUGGGUCAGGAAGUACCUCUGGAUCUGCACCAUUGCUGUCCUCCCUUUCGAGCUCAUUUUCGAUCUUCUCUUCAUCCUUGUCCUUGGGAAUCACAGGUUCAGGCCCCUGAAUUUCUUUCCCACUCCUUAGGAUCAUUGCGCUCACGUUCUUCGGAUUCAACUCCGGUUGAGAUGGCAGCUUCCCUUGGUUCUGGGACUCCCAACGGUUCAUUCUGGUGGCCAAUUGACCUAUCUGAUUCCUUAUGUCCUGCAUUUCGGAGUCCGUCUUUUGCUGAUUUUGCAUAAUAGCUGCCUCCGUCCUUUGCUGAUUCUGCGCCAUGGUUGUCAUCAUUUGUUUCAGCAUCUCAUCCGUAGAUGAACCAGAUUGAGGGAGCGGAGGUGGUCGGGGUUGGUAUUGCUGCUGGUACCCUGGUGGCUUAUUUGGCACAAAGUUAGACUGCCUGUUUGGCGUGAAGUUGGAUUGCCUAUUUCCACCAUAACUGAGGUUGGGAUGAUCUCUCCACCCGGGGUUGUAGGUGCUUGAGUAAGGGUCGUACUGCUUCCUUGGCGCGGGCGCGUGGUCAGCCAUGUUCACCUGUUCCGCAGUUUCUUCCUGAAUCAUUGGGCACAUGUCUGCAGAGUGACCUAUACCAGUGCAAAUCCCGCAUACCCUGGCUUGUGAUGCAUUUCUCACAGCCUAUUGCCUAACGAACGCAGUCAACUCAUUUAGCUGCUGCUGCACAGAGGGUGUCUCUAUCUCAUUCACCCUACGUAUUGGGACAUCCUAUCUUGUACUGAAUUGCUGUGAAUUCUCUGCCAUCCCCUCUAUUAACUCCCGUGCUUCCUGAGGGGUUUUGUUCACCAGUGCCCCUCCACUUGCAGCAUCAAUGAUGCUCCUGUCUCUAAAAAUGAGCCCCUCAUAGAAAUAUUGUAUGAUCAACUGCUCACUUAUUUGGUGAUGGGGGCACCUGCGCAACAAGCUCUUAUACCGUUCCCAAUACUCGUAAAGUGACUCCUCGGGAUGCUGCUUGAUCCCACAAAUUUCUUUCCUUAGACUCGCAGCCCUGGACGCAGGAAAAUAUUUAUCCAGAAAUUUUUUCUUCAAUUGGUCCCACGUGGUGAUGCUACCUGGUGACAGGUAGUACAGCCAGUCCUUCGCAGAAUCUUUCAAGGAGAAGGGGAAUGCCCUCAUUUUUAUCUGCUCUUCUGUGAUUCCCGGGGGUUUCAUACUGUUGCAAACGACAUCAAACUCCUGCAGAUGCUUAUACGGCUCUUCACCUGGUAAACCAUGAAAAGAGAGUAAAAGCUGAAUCAGACCAGAUUUUAGUUCAAAUGGAAUGUUGUCAUUUAAAGCUGGGAAAGUAAUGCAUAACGGCUGCUGAGUUAAAUCAGGAGCAGCCAACUCCCUUAAUGUUUAUGCAUUAGCCAUGGUGCCUUCCUGCUGGUCAGAGUCACUCGAAGUGUUACCAAACGAAUCUGUUGGUUCAACUUCUGACUCGGGUCUUUGAGAUGUAGCACUAGAGUGCUCUUCUCUGAGCUGUCUGGUUUCCUUUCUCGUUCUACGCGCGGUCUUCUCUACCUCAGGAUCAAAAACCAAAUCACCUGUGCGACAAGAUCGAGGCAUACACUAGAAGAAAACCAGAAAAUUAGGACAAAAUUGAAUUUAAGAAGAAACAAAUAAUAACGCCAGUCCCCGGCAACGGCGCCAAAAAUUGACAGGUCGUCAACCUGUGCAAUAAUAAAAUUAAACCUAAUUGCCAGUUAAAAUGACCAAAACCCAAUUCCAAGUACUGGAGCAGGGACUCUAGGUGUGCAAUGGGUUACUUGAUUCACCCUGUUCCCGAAGAGUUUGCUUGAUCCGAUAUACCCGAAUGGAAUGGUUAUUCCUUUUCACAAAUGAUUAGGAAUUUGUAGACAGGGCAAGUAGGGUCGUAUCCACAGAGACUGGGUAUAUUUGUUUCUUAAGAAAUCCAAAGUAACACAGGGGGUGAUUUUGUAGGAACGACGAUAAUUAAAUAAAUUCAAAUGAGAAAGUAAAAAUAAAUAAUUAACUAGAAAUUAAACCACAAUUUACUGAACUCAGGAUAACAAUAGUUAAAGGCCUCAAUUAAUUAAAAUAAGGAAACAAUCAAAAAUAAAAUAAAGUAGGUAAUUAAAAGUCAAAUGGCAAUCCACUACAAUCAAGGAAAUAUUAACUAAAGAUCUAGCCAAGAAAUAACUUCAGCAAUGGUUCACCUAAUCGAUCAUUGAUGCAAAGCAAUCCCAAUUAUUUACUAAUAAAUAGGUUAUAACUACCAAACAAGCGAUGGCAGUCAACCCCUCCUUACUGUGUCGGUGAUCAAGGUACGCCCGUUAAUCACUGCUCUAAUUGAGAAAUAAUCCUAGGUACGCCCGUAGAAUUUAAUUCCCCAACUGCCUUACGUAUUAGAGGAGCCCUAUUCUACCCAAAUAACACACUACCAGGGUUAUUUUAGAUUAGCCCGCGUAUCCCCCUGACACGAAUCUAAUCGUGCCAGUUGUCACUAAUUUGAGGUAAUUAAACAAUUACGGAUUCAAUACCCCAAUUGACAAUAGAUUAUCAAACCAAUGAAUUAUCCGGAUCCAAGACAAUCAACUAAUUAAAUAAUCAUAAGCACUGCAACCAAGGAAUAUGCGAAUACCAAUAAAUAAAGGAAAAGAUAAAAUUAAAUCGAUCUCACAAUUUACAGGUGAUCCAAAGCAUCAGUCGUUUCUUGACUAGAACGAGGGGGUUAGCUCAUAUUGGAUGAACUAAGCCCGCGGGAAAUUCCAGCAAAAGUCACGGCCGUUGUAUGCAUUUCAAGAGCCGCAAUUCGUCAAACACUUGGAAAGCGAAUGUAAGGCACGGGUAACAAUUGAAGCUUUCUAAUUGUUCCUAGCAUUCGUAAAGCAAAUUCACUCCAGAAGUACAGUGAGGAAAAGUCAAAGAAAGUGGGCUUCAAUUCCUUGCUCCUGACAUGCGUGGAGACAAGCCAAUGCAAGACUACAAUAAACUAACAAGGAAAAGUCAAGAAUUGGAGCUAAGCUCCCCUGCCAUGCGCAGGAAUCCGAAAAGUAAAAAGUAAAGCUUCAAAGAAAAGUCAACAAUUCUUCCUAAGCUACAGACGGAAGAUCCAGCACAAAAGCCAGCUCCCUUUUUUAUCCCUUUUUCCCCCUUCUUAUUGCGGCGGCUCACCAGGAGAGGAGAGCCCUCCGUCCGUCCUUUCUUCCGAAAAUUACCAAAAUGGGCAUGACAUCUUCUCUUCCAAAAGUGCCCCUGGGACAAGCUUUCUCAUCUGAAUUCUUUUUUUUUCCAAUUUGGCACCUGUUAUCAUAUUUAUAUUCUACUCCCUGAAAUAAACGUCAAAUACUAAAAGUGAGUAGAAUCCAGCAAAUAAAUCCACAUCAAGUCAGGUAAUAGGAGGAAUUAAUAAUAAAAUAAAUGAAUAAAUUGCACCCUAUCAGAAAAAUGCAAAAAUUUGUUAUUUAUCAUUAAGGAUCAUAUCGCAUAUAACAUCAAAAAAUAGUAUAUUAUUUAUAUCUUUCACUUAAUAUAAUAUCCAAAUUACUCUUUUCAGUUACAUACCCAUUGUUAGACAAAAUCAACAACAAAUAACCAAAAAAUUUGCAACCAAAAUAUUACCAAAAAAAUAAACUUUAACAUCAUAAAUAUUUUUAUCAACAUAUUAAAGUUAGUUAUUGAAAUUUUUAUGGUGUUAAACUUCACUCUUAGCAAUAUUUUGGUUACAGAUUUUUUUGAUUAUUUAUUGUUGAUCGUGUUUGACAAUGGAUUUGUAACUGAAAAGAAUAAUUUGAAUCUUACAUUAAGUGAAAUAUAUAAAAUAUUAUACUAUUUUUUAUGGCAUAUGUGAUUCUUUUUUUUUUUUUUAUCAGAACGGCAACAUUGUAUUAAUAGUAAACCAAUUACAGUAUAGGUGGGCAACCGCCCUCACAAUCUGCCUGGACUUGUUCCAGCAGCCAAACUGGGAAGUUUUCCUUCCAUUCAGUAUUUUGUUCCAAAGUAAUAGCUACUUUAGCUAGUUUAUGGCUAACAAAGUUGUUCACCCUAUUUGCAAAGGUAAAACAACAUUCAUCAAAUUUUAUUCAUGUACAAUUGUUGCUAUCACCACGUCCUCCUCCUCCUCCUCACUGCACACUACUUGACUACCACCCUUCGCCAACCUUGCUGUUGCAUGUGCAACUAUCAUGGCCUCUCUUAGCGCCUUUGCUUCUUCGACCUUUGGACUGGCACAGCUAAAAUUUGGAACAGCCCAGGCCCACCCGCAAUCUUCCCAACCAAUCCCUGGCCACCCUUUUCCCACCCAGCUUCUAUGGCAUGUGUGAUUCAAUCCUUCUUGAUAGGAUUGGUAAUAGAGGCAGAGGGGGGAGCCGGCUGCAUCCGGUCUACUUUUCAUAGAUAGUACAAUAUUGCGAAAUCGAUCGCAUUCACACAAGAAUAUUUCGAAGUCAUUGCAUCGCUAAGUUGCAAAAAAGUACAAACACUUGUUAUUAUAUAGCUUAAGAUUCAAAACUUUAGAGCACAACCCUCCACCUAACACAAUUGAAUAAUGAAUAUUCACGAUUGUCAAAUCUGUCAAAGCACAGUUUGAGGACAACCCAUUCCAACCUGCAAAAGAUUUUUGACUUUUUUAAAGUUGUUGAGAGCUGUAAAAAGACUUACCAUGCUUACAUCUUCCGAGCCUUGGGAGUUAAAAAUGAAGGCACUGAGUGCUAUAAAAAGGGGGCUAGAGGCUGCCUAGAAGCAUAUCAGCCUAAAACAAGAAUUUGUAGUUAUGAUGGGAAGCAAAGCAAAAGCAAUGGGGUCUGGGCUGACUCCUCUUCUUACCACUGUUUUAGUGGUAUUUGUUGCUCUUGGCUUGCCCUCAGAAACUGCAGCUGAUGAUCACUACAAGUAUUCAUCUCCUCCUCCUCCUUACCACUAUCCCUCACCACCACCUCCAGUGCAUUUACCUCCACCAGUGUACAAAUACAAGUCCCCACCACCACCUCAUCAUGUUUACAAGUACAAAUCUCCACCACCCCCACCACCACACCCAGUUUACAAGUAUAAGUCGCCACCACCACCUCCUCAUCCGGUAUACAAGUACAAGUCUCCUCCGCCACCUCCUCAUCCGGUACCACACCCAGUUUACAAGUAUAAGUCACCACCACCACCUCCUCAUCCGGUACCACACCCAGUUUACAAGUAUAAGUCUCCUCCGCCACCAGUUUACAAAUAUAAGUCUCCUCCACCACCACCUCCAGUGUACAAAUACAAGUCUCCACCACCACCAGUUUACCACUACAAGUCUCCACCACCUCCUCCCCCAGUUUACAAAUACAAGUCUCCACCACCACCACCACCAGUUUACCACUACAAGUCACCACCACCUCCUCCCCCAGUUUACAAAUACAAGUCUCCACCACCUCCUCACCACUACUAAGCAAUUGCUUCUGAGGUAAUAACACUUGUUCAAUAUACCCACUUCUGCAUGAUAAAGCAUAUCUCUAUCAACACAAACUGUCAUGUCUAUCAUGCUAAGUGCCUUCACUUCAUCCACCAAAAUGACUGCUAGAAAAUUUUUUUUAUGUUACCAAAGAAAGGCAUCAUUUUUUCCCUCUGUUAUCAAGAACUUGUACAGUAUAUAGAUUAAAGAGUAUUUUUUUAACUAGCUUAUCAACUGAGAAAUGCAUAUAGCUGAUAGCCAGCUGAAUAUUUGCAGGCAAAGGAGAAGGAAACCAGUGUUUGAGACCUUCUUGAAGAUGUAGAAGCAUAAGAAUUAAAGCCCAAUGUGAAGAUGAUGAUUUCAAGUUUUUCUACGUUACCAUUUCUUUAUCUAAAUUGGUUGUAGCGCCUUAGUUCCUUUGUUUAUGGGAUUUGUAUCGUUUUACGUACCAUGCAGUACAUGUCAUGUUUGUAAGGUUUUCUAUCCUGCCGGCAAACCGCAGGUUCCAUGUAAUAAAUCAAUACUAUUUAUAUUACGACACUUUUCUCUGUUUCUCUUAUAUUUUGUCGUCUUUAAUAUUCUUAAUCAUAUUUUUAACAAAAAUAUUCAAACACUUAGGCAAUCUGGUCUAAUGCUAAUUGUAUGUUUUACUUUUCUUUUUCACCUGCUCCCCUUUUCAACUCAAAAGGAUGCAAUAGUUUGUGAUCACUGUUGAAGACGGAAGCAUGAUACUAAUGAAUAUAUCAUUGAAACUCAAGGAAACUAACAUUAUGAAAAGUGUAAAUCUUGAUUUGAUGCAACUAUUUAUUCGUGGAAUCUAUAGUUACAAAACUCAAACUCUGACUGCGCCAUUGAUAAAUUAUUAAUGACGCUAUCAUCAUUAUUUAUCCCCAACUAGUUUCGACUACAACUGAACCCAAUAUUUUCCCCAUGAUAAAAGUUUUUUACUAUUUUACUGGCCUCUCUUCAAAUUUUAAAAAUUACACUAAUCUUCAUUGAGAUUAAUUAUCUUGUAGCAUUUAAGUCCAAUUAAUAAUUAAAAAAUAAUAUUAUGAGAGAGAAAAUAAUAUAAUUUUAUCAUUGCCCCCCAUCUUGCUAUAUUAUUUAAUUAAUUUAAUAGCAACCCACACAUUAAAGAAAAAUACUAAAAUUUGCUGCUUUUCAUUAAAGAUCAAAUUGCAUAUGCCAUAAAACAUAGUAUAUCAUUCUAUAUGUUUCACUUAAUGUAAGAUCCCAAUUGUUCUUUUCAAUUACAAACCCAUUGUCAAACAUGAUCAAUAACAAAUAACCAAAAAAUUUGCAACCAAAAUAUUACAAAAAAAAACUUUAACAUCAUAAAUAUUCUUACCACCUCUAGUGCAUUCACCCUCAUAAAAUAAUUCAAGACCCUACUGUCAUAAAAUGACUGAUCAACUCCUGUAAACCUAAUUUGACAACAUUUAAAUGGAGAACUUUAGCUAAAAGAAUUAUGGUCAAGCUAAAGAAAAAACCAGUUAUUUUCCAACAUAUGCAAUCAUUGAUCAGGGAAAAAAAAAAGAAGCAAAAAGACAUCUUCAAUCAUUUAAUAGCUUACAGGGCAAAUUAACCCCUAAGCGAAAACUGGUUGCUCUAGAAUCAAAAUUUUACUUUAGUUACCCAGGCAACUUUUUUUGUUGCCUUUUCUUUUUCUUUUUUGGGUAUAUAUAUAGCUCCAGUUUUGCCCCCUCUGUCAAGCUUAUAUAAUUAUUAAGAUAAUAAAAGUGCCUUUAAUAGUAUUAAUAUAUCCAUUGACUUGAGCUGUCAUCGAUCGGUUUGGGCUACUUCGAUUCCAUGAGAACAAAUGGUAAUAAAAGUACUCAGAAAAUGGGGAGUCAUGAAACCCUUUUGUUCUAUUCAUUGCUAAGAUGCUUUUCUCUAUAAAGACACUUCCUAACGAAAAUACUUUGUAGAUUUCUUUACUCCAAGUGGUGCAUGGAAAAUUAAUAUUUUCAAUUAUCAAAUAAAAUUCCCUUUUUUCGGUGUAGAUUUCAUCCAUUCAGCUGUUAACACUCCGAAUUGACUAAUCUUUUCGUUUCCAUUUUCCAACUUGCGAAUACGGCAUCUUACAUAUUGUCUGCUGAAUAUGAAUACAUAUCCCUUUUCUGAGCAGGUGCAGAGUCAUUAUCAUUUUUAUUCCCACCUAACAAAUUAGUUAAUAAUCUUUUAAAGAACAUGUUAAAUUAAUUUAUUGGUAUGAAUAGUAGUCAAAGAAGUAUGUUAAAGUUAGUAAUCUUUAAAAUAAUAUGUUAAAAUUAUUCGUACAAAUUAGCCAGAGAAGUAGCAUAAACACCGCGAUGCAAUUAAUACUUUCAAUCUCAAGGUCUCUAUUAUGGAAAUUUGCAUCGGUCAACAUACACAAAGCAUUAUUGUAUGCACGUCUCUCUAUUAUGGAAAUUUGCAUAGGUCAAUAUACACUUGGCAUAGUUGCAUGCACGUCCAAUUUUUUUUUAUUUUUAUUUUUGGUAUUUUACUUCCUGCCUUAAGUUGCCUGCAGAUGUUUGUAUUACAAAUAUAUGGUAUACUAAAUAUAUAGUAUGCACAUUAAUUUCUUUGGGUUGCUUAAGGGUAUAUUGUUAAUAAUAGGGGGUUUAACCAUAAAUUAUAACAAUGAUGAAGUAAUAUAUAUUAGAAAAUUAACACAAUUAUGAUUUUUUUUUUUGUAAAAUUCAAAUUUUAUUAAUAAGAAAUGAAAUAGGCAGUAAGCAUUUACAAACCGAAAACAAAAUCCUACAACAACUCUAGGACUCUACACCUUAUUAAAAAAAAACAUUUUGAUAGCGUUUUUCCAAAAGCAGAAGAUGGAAAAUUGCCCAUUUGUACUGGGGAGUUCGUGAUCUUUUCCUCAUUCUAGUCUACUUACAAUUCUUGGAAAAAGGAAUACUCACAUCUCAAACAACAGCCUGUUCAUCUGCAGUGUCCUGCCGAAUUCUAGAAAGUUUGGUGGCAAUGUUAAUUACAUUUCAAAAUUGACUGCUGCGAUAACUAAUUCGAUGGCUUACUACAUGGUCAACGUUUGGAUCUCUUCCUGUCCUUUUUGGAUGCACAUUUUUUUUCUCUAGGUAAUAUAUAAUCUCCCAACUCAUUUCUUUACAAAUGCACCUUUAAUCACCACCAAAAGGUGUGGACAUGAUCUUUACCCUAGAAAACUAUUCACCGACAGGCAAAUUGACGUCAGAAAUACUAAGAGGAAUUCUAGUUUCCUUCGGGUUAAUGCCAUUUUGUACCCUUCAACUGUAACUCAAUUUCUAAGCUGUAAUUUGUGACAUUAUAGUCCUUAAACUAUGAAACCCUUUCUUAUUUAAUUACAAUGGUUAAUACAAUGCCCGUGACUAGACAAGUAUGAAGCAACCAUAACAAAAAAAAAAUCCAAAAUUAGAGAAAAGAAAGAAGUUGCGACCAAAGUAUGUAUCAAGGCAUAGUAUAGAAAUAAAAGUGUCAAAAUUAAGAGUUUAGGGAUAAAAAAGAAUCAAAAUAUAGUUUAGGAAUUGAUUUGUCUCAAUUAGAGUUUAGAUGUCAACUAAGAAGAGAGAUAUAGUUGAAGGGUAGAAUAUAGAUAUAACAGUUCAAUGAUUGAUAUCAACGAGACAAUGACAACUUUGGAUUAUUACCAACCUCUUCUUGAUGGAAAAGGAAAUAGAGAAGAAAGUCGGGCCUGGUCUAAGCCUGUUUCGGAGGCAAAACAACAUUAUGAAAUCACCGGCAUUCACACAAAUAUGUCAAAGUCACCGGCAUGCUAAGUUGCAAAAUUUAUACAAACACUGAAUAUUAUAUUCUUCUCAAAAUUUUUGUUUAAGAUUUAACAAUUAGAGCACGGUACACGAAUUAGCAAUAUUAAAUAAUGAAUGUUCACGAUUGAUAAAGUUAUCAAAGUACAGUUUGAGGACAACCCAUUCCAACGUGUACAAGAUGUUUAGCCUUUGAAAAGUUAAUUAGAGAAGGUGACGAGAUUUUACUAGGCUUACAACUUCUAGGCCUUGGGAGUAAAAAGUGAAGACACUGAGUGCUAUAAAAAGGGGGCUAGAUGUUGCCUAGAAGCAUAUCAGCCUCGGACCACAUUUUGUAGCAAUGGGGAGCAAAGCAAAAGCAAUGGGGUCUAGGCUGACUCCUCUUUUUACCACCGUUUUAGUGGUAUUUGUUGCACUUGGCUUGCCUUCAGAAACUGCAGCUGAUUACGACAAGUAUUCACCUCCUCCUCCUCCUUACCAUUAUUACUCACCACCACCUCUUGUGCAUUCACCUCCACCACCGCCAGUUUAUAAGUCACCCCCACCACCUUAUCACUACUUCUCACCACCACCUCCAGUGUAUCCAUCUCCACCACCAUCUGUUUACAAGUCACCUCCACCACCUUCGCCAGUAUACAAGUCCCCACCACCACCUUAUCAAUAUUCCUCACCACCACCUCCAGUGCAUUCACCUCCACCACCACCGAUUUAUAAGUCACCUCCACCACCUCCUCCAGUUUACAAGUCCCCGCCACCACCUUACCAUUAUUCCGCACCAUCACCUCCAGUGCAUUCACCUCCACCACCACCGAUUUACAAGUCACCUCCACCACCUCCUCCAGUUUACAAGUCUCCAUCACCACCUUACCAUUAUUCCUCACCACCACCUCCAGUGCAUUCACCCCUACCACCACCGGUUUACAAGUCUCUGCCACCACCUUACCAUUAUUCCUCACCACCACCUCCUAUGCAUGCACCUCCACCACCAAUAUACAAGUCACCUCCACCACCUCCUCCAGUUUACAAGUCUCCACCACCACCUUACCAUUAUUCCUCACCACCACCUCCAGUGCAUUCACCCCUACCACCACCAGUUUACAAGUCUCCGCCACCACCUUACCAUUAUUCCUCACCACCACCUCCUGUGCAUGCACUGCCACCACCAAUUUACAAGUCACCUCCACCACCUCCUCCAGUUUACAAGUCCCCACCACCACCUUACCAUUAUUCCUCACCACUACCUCCAGUGCAUUCACCUCCACCACCACCGAUUUACAAGUCACCUUCACCACCUCCUCCAGUUUACAAGUCUUCACCACCACCUUACCAUUAUUCCUCACCACCACCACUCUUCAAUUUGGAUGUAAUUCAAUUUUCCUUGUAAUCGGUGGCCCUCCUUCGGAAUCCAAAUAGUCAUUGAGUGCAGCCUUCUUUCUUUAUUUUUUACUCAUUUUCACCUCAUAAAUUGCUUUCAUCCCCUAAAACUUGUUCGCUGGAAUUUUGAAUUUACCCAUACAACUAAACUCAGAAAAUUCUUACACAAAGGGAUUAGUAGCAUGAAUAGCAAACACAGAAUAAGAGAUAACAGUAUGUUUUAUUGUAUUAAAAAUAUUAAAGUGGAUUAUUUCUCCAUCGAAUUCCAUUGUGAGAGUAUCGUUACUAACAUCAAUCUUAGUUUGAGCAGUACUCAAGAAUGACCUUCCUAAUAUAAUGGGUGAUGGAUUUGGGACACUUUCAUCAUCCAUAUAAAACACAUAAAAAUCAACAGAAAAAAUUAAUCCAUCUACUUGAACUAAAAACAUCCUCAACUACCCCAUUUAGAUAAGCAAAUAUACGAUCAGCCAAUUGAAUUAUUAUCCCUAUUUCUUUUAAAUGUUCUAAAUUUAGGGAAUCAUAAAUUGAUUUAGACAUCACAUUAAUAGAAAUCUUUAAAUCUAUCAUGGCAUUUUUUAUAUUAGAAUGUCCAAUCUUACAUGAGAUAGUAAACAUACCUAGAUUCUCGCAUUUAGGUGGUAGUUUCCUUUGUAAAAUUGCUGAAACGUUCUCAUCUACCACAAUAUGCUUGUCCUCCUCAAUUUCUUCUUGUUGACACACAAGUUUUUCAAGCAUUUAACGUAUUUUGGAACUUAUUUGAUUUGCGUCCAACAAAGGGAUAUUGAUUGCCACCUUGCGAAAAUCUCUAAAAUCUCCUUUUCUUUAUCUUGUUUCUUUGAUUUCUCUAACCUGCUUGGAAAAGGUGGUGAGUUAGUUCCAACUCUAAUUAUAGAAUCAACAAUUACCUUUGGAUUCACAUUUCUCAUUCCUUCCUCCUCAAGCUCUUUGUCGAUUCGAUCUUCAUUUUUAUCCUUUGGAAUCACAACUUCGGAUCCCUGAAUUUUCUUCUCGCUCCUUAAGGUCAUUACACUUACAUUCUUCAGGUUCAGUUCAGGUUGAGACGACAAUUUUUCAUAGAUUUGGGAUUCCAGGCGGUUGAUUGCUAUUACCAUCUGACUCAUCUGACUCUGCAGUGCUUGCACCUGUCCCAAUUGAUUCCUCAUACUUUGCAAGUCAAAAUCCAUCUUUUGUUGAUUAGCAAUUAAUUGCUUCAUUAUCUCUUCUAUAGAUGGACUUGAGUUUGAAAGAGGUGGUGGCGGGCGAGACUGAUACUGUUAUUGAUACCCUUGCUAUCUAUUUGGUGCAAAAUCUGGCUACCUAUUUCCUCCAUAGCUGAGGUUGGGAUGAUCUCUCCAACCAAUAUUGUACGUAUUCGUGUACGAGUCGUAUGGUUUUCUUGGCACGGCGCGUGACCAGCCAUGUUCACUUGCUCCGUACUUUUCUCUUGAAUCAUUGAGCACAUCUCUGUAGAAUGACCCAUAGCAGUGCAGAUCCCACACAUCUUGACUCGUGAUGCAUUUCCUAUAGCUAAUUGCCUAACAAAGGAUGUUAAUUCGGUCAACUGCUGUUGGAUAGAAUAUGUUUCUACCUCAUUUACUUUGCGUGUUGGGGCAUCCUCCCUCGUACCAAACUGUUGCGAAUUUUCCGCCAUUCCUUCAACUAGCUCCCACGCUUCUCGAGAAGUCUUGUUCACCAAUGCCCUUCUACUUGCAGCAUCAAUUAUACUCCUGUCUCUAAAACGCAGCCCCUCGCAAAAAUAUUGGAUGAGCAAUUGCUCACUUAUUUGGUGUUGAGGGAACUUGAUGCAUAACUUCUUGAAUCGCUCCCAAUAAUCAUAAAGCGACUCUCCUGGAUGCUACUUGAUACCGUAUAUCUCCUUCCUUAGACUUGCAGCUCGAGAUGCAAGAAAAUAUUUGUCCAAGAACUUUUUCUUCAGCUGAUCCCACGUGGUGAUGCUACCUGGUGGUAGAUAGCACAGCCAGUCUUUUGCGGAGUCCUUCAAGGAGAAGGGAAAUGCCCUCAUUUUUAUCUAUUUUUCUGUAAUUCUCGGAGGUUUUAUGCUGUUGCAAACGACAUCAAACUCUUGCAAGUGCUUAUACGGUUCCUCACCUGGUAAACCAUAGAAAGAUGGCAAGAGAUGAAUUAGACCAGAUUUUAACUCAAAUGAAGUGUUAUCAUUUAAAAAUAGAAAAGUAACUGAGAUGCAGCACUGGAAUGUUCUUCUCGAAAUUGUCUGGUCUCUUUCUUUGUUCUACGCGUAGUCUUCUCUACCUUAGGAUCAAAAAUUAAUUUACCUGUACGAGAAGAACGAGGCAUACACUAGAAAAACACUAGAAAAUUAGAACAAAAAUGAACAUAAAAAGAAACAAAUAAACCAACGUCAGUCCCCAGCAACGGCGCUAAAAAUUGACAAGUUGUCGAUGCCUGUGCAAUAAUAAAAAUAAACCUAGUUACCAAUUAAAAUAAUCAGAGCCUAAUUCUGAGUACUAGAGCAGGGACUAUAGGUGUGCAAUGGGUUACUUGAUUCACCCUAUUCCUGAAGUUUGCUUAACCCGAUAUACCAGAAUGAGAUUGCUUAUUCAAAAGGAAUUAUUGAUUUGUAAACAGGGCAAGUAGGGUCGUAUCAUCAGGGAUUGAAAAAAUUUGUUUCUUUUCAAAUCCACAGUAACAAGGGGAUGUUUUUGUAUAAAUGAUAACAAUCUAAGGAGUGCAAAUAGAAAUAAAUAGAUAACUAGAAAUUAAAUGACAAUUCACUAAAAUUAGAGUAAUAAUAAUUAAAGGUCUAGCUAAGAAAUAACUUCAGCAAUGGUUCACCUAAUUGAUCAUCGACGCAAAGGCAAUUCCAAUUAUUUACUAAUAAAUAGGUUAUAACUGCAAAACAAGCAAUGACAGUCAACCCCUCCUUACUGUCGGUCGGUGAUUAAGGUACGCCCAAUCACUGCUCUAGUUGAGAAAUAAUUUUAGGGACGCUCGUAAGAUUUAAUUUUCCAAUUGCCUUACGUAUUAGAGGAGCCAUAAUCUAACCAAAUAACGCUACCAGGAUUAUUUUAAAUUAACCCGUGUAUUCCCUUGAUACAAAUUCAAUCAUGUCAGUUGUCACUAUUUCAAGGUAAUGAAACAAUUACGGAUUUAAUAUCCUAAUUGACAAUAGGUUACUAAAUCAAUUCACUAUUUCGAUCCAAGAUAAUCAAUCAAUUUAACAACUAAUAGCACUGCAAUCGGAGAAUAUGUAAAUACCAAUAAAUAAGAGGAAAAGAUAAAAUUAAAUCGAUCUCACAAUUUUUAAACAAAUCAAAGUAUCCGUUGUUUCUUGACUAGAAAAGAAAAUUUAGUUCAUUCCUAAUGUGAAAGACCCACGUGAGAAUUCAAAAAUAAUAUUCACGGAUAUUGUCUUGAUUCAAUAGAUUCAAUUGCGUUGGAAUAAGGAUAAAAAGCCAAACUAUAGAGAGUGAUUCAAUGUUUUGUUUCGUUUGCAUUUUUUCUACACAUAUGGAAGAAGAAAAACAACUAAAGGACGAAAAAAAAAAGUCAAAGAAAGGCACCCAAAGUAGUGCUUGGUCUCUACCAUCCUAUUUCCUAUCUAAUUACUACUUCCCUUCUGCGGCUGCCUAGAGGAAGAAAGAGAAAGCAGACUUCAGGUCUUGUUCCAUCUCCUCCCUUUUCGGCAAUUCCCCAAAAGUAGAAAAGUUCCUCCGUUUACCAAAAUGCCCCUGGAAUGAGGACUGCUACUUGAACUCAUUUUCUUGAUAACUGUCAAAUUAGCACUUGUUAUGGUAUUUGCGUCUACUUCCUGUAAUAAAUGUAAAUUGCCAAAAGUGAGUAAACUGAUAAUUAAUUUACAUCAGGUCAGGUAAUAGGAAAAAUUAAUUAUAAAAUAAAUGAUAAAAUUGCAACCUAUCACUUAGAAUAACCAGAAAUAAAACAAAACAAGAAAUGAAAGAAAUAAGAGGGUAGCAUAGACAUUUUGGAUUUUUCUGUUAAUUUGGAUGAUUUCCACCUACGGUCUAAUUUAAUCCAAAACACAAAUGGAUUAUGUGGAGAUUUUUAAACAAUGAGGGAGUAUCGUGACCGAAUCCCAAACCACAAAGGGGAUUUACUAUAUUUUACUCUUAAAUUUUGGUUUCAUCUCAUAGCAUACAAGAGUACUAUUUCACUGUCUGUCGACCAGGGAGGAGGGUUGGGUUGGGUGGUACGGGGGAGGGAGUCUAAGUAAGAGGUCUCAGGUUCGAAUCCUCCUGUUUAUACUAAAAAAAAAAAUUUACUAUCUGUCGACAAAGAUUUUCUAUGGUUGAUGUACCAUAGGAAAAAUCUGCCUAUACAAUUAUUUGGAAAAAUUAUCCAUCCAAACAUAGUCACGAUAGCAUUUUUUCAAAAACACUAGAUGCAAAAUUGUCCCCUUAAACGUGGAAAUUCAUGAUCUUUCCUCGACUAGUCUACUUGUCAAUUUUUGAAAAAAGAAUACUCACGCCAAAAACACGGCCUCUUCAUCUGCAGAAUUCUAAAAAGUUACGUAAACUCUAUAAACAAGUUGAUAGGUACAAUCGUACCCAAGAUCAAGUACAGAUAGUUGUACAUUCACUGCUGCAAUAACUAAUCUGAUGACUUACAAACACAUCAUGGUCAAUCGUUGAAUGGUAAUGAGUCUUUUGUUAUGCAUUAGUAUUAGUGUGUACACUCUAAUAGAUUGAUACUUAUACUCUUUAAAUUAUCAUAAUAAUACCCUUAAUUAACUUUAACCCUUAAAAAGAAUACGUGUUAAUACACGAGAGUGUGUAACCUGAAUUGUUACUUAUACAUUAGUGUGUAAUAGAACGGCAAGCAUUAUGGUGGUCAUUGAGCAACUUAUAGGAGAAAUAGUCCUAUAAGCUGUUCAAUGACCAAUCACAACUUGCUAAUUGGAUGACUAAUAUAGCUCUAGCUGUAAUGUUUUAAUUAAAUUCCACACUAACGUUGGGAUGACUUUUUAAUCAAAAAAAAAAAAGCCUUAGUUCAAGCUUUUCCCCUUAUUGUGCAUUUUUUAAAACAUUUGAUAGGCACUGCAAAUCUGUCAUUUUGGACAUUUUAUUAUUAACUAACAAUGAAAGCCGUGGACAUCAACCCAUAUCCAACAAAAUAUUAAAUUAAUAUUAGAAAAAUUAUUAAGUAAUUGGAAAAAAAAAAGAAGAGGCUAAUUUUCAUUGAAACCCACCGACAAACUAUCCGUGUCCAUAGCUUUUGAAUAGUGCAUUCAACGUUUAAUUGUAUGGUCCAGUUCAUUGCCGAUUACAUGGAGUAAAGAUUGUGCUCUUUCCUUUUUCACCCCUUUUGGAAUCGAUACUGUGGAGAAUUGGGUUUUUCCCUCCUUUUUUUCUUUUCUUUCCUUCUGUGCUUUGCAAAACAUACGUAAAAAUAUGAAAUCCGAAGCAUUCUUUAAUUGGGAUUAAGUAUUGUUGUUGAAAUUAAAAAGAAGAAAGAAAGAACAACAAAAAUCCCAAUCUGGGUUGAUUGUUGAGCUCUAGAUUGGCUGCAUCGUGCUUCCAUAGAAGUUCUCUUAGUGUGAUACGCUGCUUUCAAUCAGUUUUAAUAUUUAAGUAGAGUGCAAAAUAACUUUACUAUUUAAUGGGUUAUAAUGCACCAUUUGGUACCUCUCACCCACCUAUGAUUUGAUUUACUACUGGCAUGGUAAUGGACAGAGUUGGGGGAGCAGGAGGAGGGAGAUGGCGGUACCAGUCCGUCAACCACAGCACACCCUCCCUCGGACUUUGCGUGGUAGCGAAGUGGAGGCAGAUCGAGCACACAUGCACUAACGCCUUAAGUAUGUACAAUAUAUGUAUGCCAAAAGCAUAGCCAAGCCUACCAGCGCAUUUCAAUAAUAUAACCCGGAAAUUAAGGGCAUUGAAUUAAGUACGAUGAAUCAUAUUGGUGCACAAUUACAGUUUGAAGCUACCGAUUCGAGUAAAUUUAAGCGUAAGCACAAUCAAUCGCCAGUCAAAUGCUGAAAUAUGCAUAUGCAUGGAUGAAUGUAUGGGUUUCUUAGUUCCAGACCAAAGGCCAACAAUAAGGGAAGGAAGGACAGUUCUCAUUUUUAGCACGGACAAGGAGAUGAAGAAAAGUGUAUGUAGCUUGAGACAGAACAAUGGCAUGUGACCGCUCCUGAGACCACAUAACGUGGGGUGGGGAUGGGACGGCCAAGAAUGAAGAUGCCUGUCGGUCUCUCCGUGCUGCUACCAUAUGAAUCCCCCGUUAACCAAUUCAAGAUAAGCCUGAAGUUCUUUUCAUCCCCAAACCCUGUCCCAUCUGUGUAAAUCCAACAUCAUCAUUUACGACCUGCAACUCAGGUUAAGCAUGUUCUAUUGAGAUUCAGACACCACCCUUCAAAAGAUAUACUACUGUGAAACCAGCAGCUUAAUAUCAUUGUAUAAAAAAAAAAAAAAAAGAAAGAAGAAAAGACAUGAAAAGCAAAUUUUGUGGGGAUAAUUUCAAAAUCUCUCCUAAAGUUUUUUACUAUUUUACUGGCCUCCUUUCAAAUUUUAAAAAUUACACCAGUCUUCCUUGAGAUUAUUUAUCUUGUAACAUUGAGGUCCAAUCAAUAAUUAAAAAAUGAUAUUAUGAGAGAGAAAAAAAAUAAACUUUAACAUCAUAAAUAUUCUUAUCAACAUAUUAAAGUUAGUUACUGAAAUUUUUAUGGUGUUAAACUUCACUCUUUGUAAUAUUUUAGUUACAGAUUUUUUGAUUACUUGUUGUUGAUUUUUUUUUUUUUAGUGUAAACAGGAGGACUCGAACCUAAGACCUCUCACUUACACUCCCUCCCCCCGUACCACCCCAACCCAACCCAACCCUCCCCUCGUUGUUGAUCAUGUUUGACAAUGGAUUUGUAAUUGAAAAGAACAAUUUGGAUCUUACAUUGAGUGAAAUAUAUAGAAUGAUAUACUAUUUUUUAUGGCAUAUGUGAUUCAAUCCUUGAUGAUAAAAGCAAAUUCAAGUGUUUUCUUUAAUGUUUGUGCUGAUAUUAGAUUAAUUAAAUAAUUUAGUAGAUGAAGGAAAAUGGUGAAAUCAUAUUAUCUUCUCUUUCCUAAUAUCACUAUUUAAUUAUUGAUUGAACUUAGAUAUUACAAAUAAUAAAUCUCAAGGGAGAUUAGUAUAAUUUUCAAAUUUUGGAGAGAAGCUAAUGAAAUAGUCAAAAACCUUAAGGGAGGUUUACAAAAUUAUCCCAAAUUUGUGGGAAUUAGAAUAAUUGUACUGGACGGCACUGCCGCAACAGAGGGAAAGAGGAGGAGGUGCAGUUAACUUUUUGUUGUUUGAAAUCCUUGGUGAAAUAUUACAGAAAGACAGAUAAAACAGUUAGUACAUAGAUGUAUAUGACAGGGAAAAUGGUACGUCUGUUAAUCACAUUUGAAACACUUUCAUUGGUGAAUGACGAAAACUAUCAGGCUUGCCCAAUAGUUGAUCAUUGACCAAGACAAAUCUUGCCAUGCUAGAGGUACCAUCUUUUCGUACCUCUUUAGUGCACAGGACAUUCCUUUGUUUCAUCUAGCUAAUAAUCUACCAACUCAUUUCUUUGCAAAUGCACCUUUUAUGGUCACGUCUACGAAAGCUUUACAGGAUCUUUACCCAAAAAAUCAAUUCACCGACUCGCAUUUGAUGUCAAAAUUUCUUUACUUUACUCCAAGAUUGACUGUUAAUAAUAAUGCCACUUUGAAUUAUCACACCAUCCUUCUUGAUAGGAUUUGUGCUAGAGGUAGGGAGGGAGUCGCUGCAGCCGGUCUUCUCUUCAUAGACAGUACAAUAUUGCGAAAUCGAUCGCAUUCACGCAAUAUUAUAUUUCCAAGUCGUUGCAUGGGUAAGCUGCCAAAAAGUACGAACACAUGUUAUUAUAUAGCUUAAGAUUCAAAACUUUCGAGCAUAACCCUCCACCUAACACAAUUGAAUAAUGGAUAUUCACGAUUGUCAAAUCUGUCAAAGUACAGUUUGAGGACAACCCAUUCCAACCUGCAAAAGGUUUUUUUACUUUUCUAAAGUUGUUGAGAGCUGUUAAAAGAUUUACCAUGCUUACAUCUUCCGAGCCUUGGGAGUUAAAAAUGAAGGCACUGAGUGCUAUAAAAAGGGAAUAGAGGCUGCCUAGAAGCAUACCAGCCUAAAACAAGGAUUUGUAGUUAUGAUGGGAAGCAAAGCAAAAGCAAUGGGGUCUGGGCUGACUCCUCUUCUUGCCACUGUUUUAGUGGUGUUUGUUGCUCUUGGCUUGCCCUCAGAAACUGCAGCUGAUGAUCACUACAAGUAUUCAUCUCCUCCUCCUCCUUACACUAUCCCUCACCACCACCUCCAGUGCAUAUACCUCCACCUCAUCCUGUUUACAAGUACAAAUCUCCACCACCCCCACCACCACACCCAGUUUACAAGUAUAAGUCACCACCACCACCUCCUCAUCCGGUACCACACCCAGUUCCUCAUCCGGUGCCACACCCAGUUCCUCAUCCGGUGCCACACCCAGUUUACAAGUAUAAGUCACCACCACCACCUCCUCAUCCGGUACCACACCCAGUUCCUCAUCCGGUACCCACACCCAGUUUACAAGUAUAAGUCACACCACCACCUCCUCAUCCGGUACCACACCCAGUUUACAAGUAUAAGUCACCACCACCACCUCCUCAUCCGGUAUACAAGUAUAAGUCUCUCCGCCACCAACACCCAGUUUACAAGUAUAAGUCACCACCACCACCUCCUCAUCCGGUGCCACACCCAGUUUACCACUACAAGUCACCACCACCACCUCCUCAUCCGGUACCACACCAGUUUACCAUACAAGUCACCACCAAUCCUCACCCAGUUUACAAAUACGAGUCUCCACCACCUCCAGUUUAUAAGUACAAGUCACCACCACCUCCUCCACCAGUUUACAAGUAUAAAUCUCCUCCACCACCACCACCAGUUUACCACUACAAGUCUCCACCACCUCCUCCCCCAGUUUACAAAUACAAGUCUCCACCACCUCCUCACCACUACUAAGCAAUUGCUUCUGAGGUAAUAACACUUGUUCAAUAUACCCACUUCUGCAUGAUAAAGCAUAUCUCUAUCAACACAAACUGUCAUGUCUAUCAUGCUAAGUGCCUUCACUUCAUCCACCAAAAUGACUGCUAGAAAAUUUUUUUUAUGUUACCAAAGAAAGGCAUCAUUUUUUCCCUCUGUUAUCAAGAACUUGUACAGUAUAUAGAUUAAAGAGUUUUUAUUUUAACUAGCUUAUCAACUUAGAAAUGCAUAUAGCUGAUAACCAGCUGAAUAUUUGCAGGCAAAGGAGAAGGAAACCAUGUUUGAGACCUUCUUGAAGAUGUAGAAGCAUAAGAAUAAAAGCCCAAUGUGAAGAUGAUGAUUUCAAGUUUUUCUACGUUACCAUUUCUUUAUCUAAAUUGGUUGUAGCGCCCAAGUUCCUUUGUUUAUGGGAUUUGUAUCGUUUUACGUACCAUGCAGUACAUGUCAUGUUUGUAAGGUUUUCUAUCCUGCCGGCAAACCGCAGGUUCCAUGUGAUAAAUGAAUACUAUUUAUGUUACGACA